CAAAAUUGAAAUUUCAUGAAAAGGUUUUUGCAUUGGUGUCUUAUAGCGAGCGAUAAAUUCGUUGGACACGAGUUGCAUUGUAGGUCGAGACUUUGGUUGAGAACGCAAGCAUGAAAAUGCUACUGUUGAAACAAGAAUGAUAUCCUGCCUAAUCUUUUGAUCCACCGGAGGUGAGAAGCGUGGGUCCAGCAAAUCAAUCAGCUUAAUAUUUUUAUCUAAUGACGAAGAUAACGAUGAGAGGAGCUCUCCAGGAUGCUUUCCCAUUAGUACUUCUAGUGCCUCCACUCCGAAGCUAUAAACAUCAGAUUUCUCCGUCACAAUCAUGGUAUAGGCCAGUUCUAUCGGAAAACAGAAGCCUUUAUUAGUGAUAUUUCGUAUAUAAUAACAAGAGCAAUUUGUUUAUAUUUUUGAGCUUCUGCAGCAAGGUAUGACAAAGAAACAUAUGUUUUUAAUUGAUAUUUAAACUGUGUAUUUUUUUUUUUUUUAAAAAAAAGUUAAACGGGUAGGCAAAGUUCAAAUUUAUCUUUCUAGCUCCUUACCUAUUCCAAAAUUCGAACCUAAGUAGCUAACUAAAUAAAACUGCUUAAAACUUACUUAACAGAGUGCAUAUAGAAAUUAAUUAAAAGAAUAAUUAAAGAAGCAUAAGAAGAACGGCUAGAAGAUUACCUGGAGCAAUAUAUCCAUAAGUGCCAGCUAACAUGAGCCAUGCCCCUCACAGUGUUCACCCUUUUAGCCCAAUCCAAAUCAACAGCUUCCUCAUCUGUGCGUAGAACACAGAACAAGCUUCCCAUUUCCAUGUACUCAUAGAUUAAGAACAUGCAUUUCCUGUGCAAACAAAACCCGUAAAGCUUUACGAUAUUUCGAUGCCGUAUUUGGGACAGUAGACGAGCCUCAUUCCGGAAACUCUCGAGGGAAGCUAACUCCUCAGUUUCUGAACGGUGAAGCUUCUUCAAAGCAACUACUUUUCCACUGGGUAGUCGUGCUCUGUAAACGCUGCCGUAGCUUCCGGUUCCAAUGCAGUAUUUGAUAUGGAAAUCCUCGGUAGCUUCAAUCAUGUUUUGAAAUGUAAUUUUACCGUCGUAAUUCCAAAUUGCAAACUCAUCAGCGCACUUGGUGAUUUCUCCUGUCUCAGCUGGUUCAACUCUCUUAUCCCUUCGUCUACGGACAAACAAGAUUCCAAAUAUCAAGGCAAGCAAUGCGACCAUAGGGAGAAUAAUUGCAACCAAGCGAGUGGCAAUCUUUUUGUGAUGUGGCGGUGGCGAAUUUGCCGAAGUAUUUGGGAUUUUUACCUCGAAAUUGUUGCCUGACACAUAUAAGAGAGGCACUUUUUUGACAGAUUCAGGGAUACUACCGGAGAGGUUAUUCAUGGAAAGGUCCAUGGUGCGUAUGCGUGGAAUUUCUCGAAGCUGGGAAGGUAUUUUACCAUUAAUGGAGUUAUGGCUCAGAUUAAGAUAAUUUAGUUCUUGAAGUUUGUUAAUCUCUGACGGGAUGCUUCCACUUAACAAGUUGUUUCCCAAAUCUAAUUCCCACAGCUUUGAGCAAUUCAUGAGUUUUGGAGGAACUCGACCAUCAAGUUUGUUGUCGUACAGGUCAAGAACUUGAAGAACCUUCAAACUCCCGAUUCCUAAUGGGAUGGAACCAUUAAUUUGGUUUGAGGCAAUAGCCAAAGUAGUUAGCUGGGUUAGAUGACCUAGAGUUGGAGGGAUAUUACCAUGAAGGGCGUUAGAAGACAAGUCCAAAAUUUUCAAUUUGCUUAGAGACCAAGAGUUGGAGGGAUAUAUCCCAAGAGGUAAUUAUUAGAUAGAUCCAGGUGGACCAGAUUCCUCCAUCUCCCCAUCUCUGAAGGGAUAAUUCCUGUUGCGCAUGUGAUUUAUGAAAAAUGAAAUCAGUAUUCACUAUCCUCAUAUAAAUAAAAUUUAUAAAGAAAUGCUUAGGUUGUAAAAAUUAAUAGAUUUUUUAGUGCUCCAAUAGUUUUUUUAUUCUUAUUUUUUGUUGGGGCUCGUCAAUGCUGCAUAUUUUUUACUGAAAGUUAAAUCCGCAGAUGCAACAAAUAUAUCAAUAAAUUAAUACAAAACUAUGGAGAGUGGAGAGAAUCACUCUCAGUGCUCUCAAUUGACUAUCCUAUUGUGUAAAUACAAAAGUAAAUUUAGUAAAUUAAUGAGGAACUGUAUAUGUGUGAAAUUAGAAAUAGUGCUUUUGAUUUUUAAUCAUAUCUUUUAUAGGAUAACCCUGAAUUUUAAUGCAAAGGGGAAAAAAAGAGAGGAAAAGAUACAAACCAAAAAUGCUUAAACCUGCCUUCCUUAAUAAUUACGUACAACUUGUAAUCGCCCAAUGUAACAAUUGCAAUUGAUGGAUGCAAUUUGGAAAAGAAACUGACACUUGAAGCCGAUUCAUUUCAUACAAAAAUUGAAGGAAAAAAAGCCAACCAGCAUAUUCUCCAAAUUAAAACACUACCGAAGUAAUAAACAAAGAUGUAGAAAUUUAUUAUAUAGUUUCACUUUCACACAACAAAAAUGUGCUUAGACGACCAAGAGUUGGAGAGAUAUUACCAUCAAUGCCGUUAGAAGACUAUAGUUUCACUUUCACACAACAAAAAUGUGCUUAGACGACCAAGAGUUGGAGGGAUAUAUCCCCAGAUGUAAUUAUUAGAUAGAUCCAGGUGGACAAGAUUCCUCAAUCUCCCCAUCUCUGAAGGAAUAAUUCCUGUUGCGCAUGUGAUUUAUGAAAAACGAGAUCAGUAUUCACUAUCCUCAUAGCAAAUAAAAUUUAUAAAGCAAUCCUCGUAAAAAAAAACUUCUUCAGUGUUGUAAAAACAGACGCCUGCUUCAAGCAUGAGCACGACUUCAUACAUACAUACAUACAUACAUAUAUAUAGUGAAGUUUCGUAGCAUACCGGUAAGAUAGUUGGAGGACAGUUCAAGAGUUUGGAGCAUUGAAAGGGCAGUAAUUUCAGAUGGAAUGCUCCCAGAGAGAAGAUAAUUUGAAUGAAUUUUGAAACUUCUGAGGUUCGGAAAGCAAGAGAAUUUGAAACGACCAAGCUCUCCUUCGAUGUUAUCAUUUUCAUACCAGAGUAAGCUGACCCCGAGUACGCUUCCCGCUGAAUUGCAACUGAUGCCAGUCCACUUAUAAUGAUCGGACGUGGAGUUGCCCGUCGCCCAAUUGUUGAUCCACCAGCCUGUACCAAGUAUAGCUUCCCUUUCUAACUGUAUGGGUGACGACAACAAUCCUGCAGCUGAUGCUAUUACAAAUACUGUCGUAUCACUUAUAGCACCAACAUUUAUUAAAAUUAUAAUGACCACCAGUCUCGAAACAGAGGACGCUGAUGCCAUGUUUAUGGUGGUUUUCGGUUGAUUGAGCAUUUGAUUCUCAGCAAAGCGUUUAUAUAAGAAUUAAUUGUUUUGCAACUUCCCGGUGUUAAUUUCCAACACGCGUUUUCAAAUAGUGUGAGUCAAGGUCUUCUCUAGAUGGAUUUAAUCAUGGAGAUAUAACCUUAUCGGCUUGUAUUUGUGAGGUGUAGAUCUAUUUGAACAACAUUGCAGAAACAUGAGAUAAUACGGACAAUAUUAGAAAUAAUUAAUAGCAUUAUUAGUAGUAUAAGAUAUUAAGUAUUACCCAAAAUAAGAAAAGGAAAACCGUUCAAAGAAAAUAAUUGUUAUAAAUAAUGGCUCAAAUAGGAAAAUAAACAAGACUAAUCAUAUCUUUUGUAACAUACAUACCAUAGCUCAUGGGCUAACUAACAUUUUUUUUUUUAACCCUAAACAUCAUAAAUGAAAGAAGAUGAAAUUUUCAUUACCGCUCAAUUUUUCUGCACGCAACCAAAUUUUUUUUAAAAAAAAACAAAAAGAAAGUGUUAGAAAAAUAAUGCGCAAGUAGCUACUUGAGGCAUGAUUUUGAAUGAGACCUUUUUGGUAUAAGUGAAAAUUCAGAAAUUGUUUCGCAUAUUCCUCUAUGAGUACUUCGGAAUGUUAUCUAUACGAUCAAAAUGAUCCUCAAGUGAAUGAGAAAUUAUUACUCAAAGUGCACUCAUGAAUUUGAAAAAUUAAAGGAAAAUACAUUUGUCCCACAUUGGAAAGAUUUAUACAUAAUUACUAGAUGAACGGUAAGCUAUUAUAAGCAAAGGGGCGUUCCUUGUGCACGGUCACGGGAGUGCAAAUUUUAACCACCCCAAUUAGCUUAACCAGUGUUCAUAUUGGGGGUGUUUACCCGACCCUUAGUUGGGGUUAGCUAAUGUGGCAACUUAGUUUGCCUUUUUUUUUUUUUCUCUUUGUAAUAAUAAUAAUAACAAAUUAAUAUAAUUUUUUAAUUUAAUAUUAUAUUACAUAAUAUUAAAUUAUGUUUUAAUUUUUAUUAUUUUAAAUAUAUAACUAAACAUUGUAUUAUUUAAUUGUAUUAUUUUAAUUAAUAUAUAAAAUUAUAUUAAUUAAUCUUUAAUAAGUUAAUAUAAUUAGUAAUAAAUACUUAAAUAAUAUAAUAUUACAUUAUUAAUUAUAGUACAAUAAUUAAUUUAGCUAUUUUUAAAUAAUUUAAUAUAACUAACAAUAAAUAUUUAAAUUUGAAUAAUAUUAAUUGAAAAUUAAUAAUAUAAAUAAUUACUGGAUUAUUUAGCUCAAUUAUAUCACUUUAUUAUUCUAUAAUUAUCUUGUAAUAUGUAUAAACUUUUAUUCUAUCAUCCUCAAAUGAUUUUUGAAUUAAUCUUGAAGAUUUCAACUAUUUAUUUAUGUUGUUAAAUUAUUUAGUGAUUAUUUGAUUAAAUUAUUUACUUUGAUCUUUAUUUCAUAAGUUAUAUAUUUAGAAAAUACUAAAAAAUACACUUCCAAAAAUUUAAGACUAUAAGCUUCGGAAGAAUUAUGACAUUUCAAUAUAUAUUUUUAAUAAAAAUGUUAAAUUUCCAAAAUUUAAGAAUUUUAUAUUUAUUAUUUUUAAGUACUAAUAAAUAUUAUUUUCUAAAUAUAUAAUUUAAAUUAAUCACAAAAAAAUUAAUACAGUACAAUGUAACGCCAAACAUUGUACAACAUUAUUAUAAUACAGUGUUAAUGCAAUACAACAUAAUACAAUACACCUGCAAUAAAAUAAUGCAAUACAACAUAAUACAAUACAGUUUGUCAAACACACCAUUGUAUUAUUGUUUCGUUCUCAUUGUAUAAUUGCCGUCCAUACCUGUGCAAAACAUUAAGAGUUAAAAAAAUAUAUUUUUAUGAUUAAUUUUAGAUAUUUUUUAAACUUUAAUAAUGCCAUAUUAUUUAAUAUUACAAUUGCCGUUCGAACAUGUGCAAAACAUGAAGACUAAUAUAUAUAUAUAUACACCAUAUUAUUUAAUAUUUAAUUUUUAAGGCAACUUUUACUUAAAAAAAAAAAAAUUUAAGGCAACUUUUUUAGUUGAGGGCAGGGAACCCCUACGAUACCUAAUUCCAUAACACGCUCAUCUAAUCACCUUGACUAUAAGACUUCUCCUAGUCAGCAAUUAUUUGGAAAAAAACGUCUUGACAUGUGCUGUGGAAAUUAAAGAAUGAGGUGGACUUACGAAGUCAAGGGGUUUUUCUAGUCUACAUAUUUUAAUUUAUAUGUGUAGAAAAUUAGAAAUAUUCAAUGUCUAAUCUGAUUCUACAUAAACACUAAUGCCCCAAGAUUGUGAUUGAAAUGCUAUAAGCAGUUUAUUUUAUAAGUUUAGAUAAAAAUGAGGUUUGAUGGCUUUGUUAAAAGUUGCUUCUUUCACAAUUUUCUCAAUUUUGACUAAAACUUCUAAAAACAGGCAGGAGAUUAUUUUGAUAAGCAACUUAUUAAAUAAGUUGCUAGAUCUUUUUAAAUGUUCCUAUAAUAAUCUUAAUAUUUUAAGAAAAGAAUAAUUAUAUCUUUCUUUUCUAUAAGCUCUAAUAUAUAAAUAAAACACAGUUUAAACUUAUGUCUAUUUUAGUGAUUAAAUAAUACAACACAUUCAUAAUCAAAUUUACCAAACACGAGCAAGACACUUUUUUAACCAUCAACUUAUUUCAUCCUCACAACAAAAAUAACUUAUUUUAUCAGCCACCGCCAUCCUAAACUUGAUGCUAAGUCACGUUUGGGAUUGCAUUAGAUUGUCAAAUAAUUAAGAGAAAUAGCCAUUAUGGAGAAGAAUAGGGAGAGGUUCGCCUAAAGCAAUAUACUCGUAAGCUUGGCUACUAAUAAACGGAGCAUAUAAGCAUAAACACCUAACUUUUGAGGCAUAUAAGGGAUCUAAAAGUGCGGAAACGUUUGGAAAAACUUUAAAACCACAGGGUUUUAAAGGUUUAAACCGCAUGGUUUAUGUGUUUUCCUAGAUAUUCCCGCACUUUAAAAUUUCAGAUUAAAACAUUUCCAUAUGUGUGUGUGUGUGUGUGUGUGUGUGUGGAGGGCAAAUCUUUGACUCUCUCCAGCUUCAAGUACCUAUACGGUAACUCUUAAAUCAAAGGGAGAAAAUGGUUAACCCAAUCUUAUUGUAUAUGAAUUGAUAUUCACCAUAUGAUUAUUACAUAAAGAUUGAGCCUUAAGUGCUUUACAUUAAGUAAUAUUGCACACCUGUUCUACACAUUUAGACAACUCAGAGUAAAAAUAAUGAAAAUGACAACCAAAUCCAAACUACCUGUUCUACACAUUUGAACCCUAAUUUUUUAUUUUAUAGAAAAAUUUAAAUACCGUUUCUUGUUGUCACUGCUAUUAUACUGUCUGAUAUAUCUUCCAGAAUCCUAUAAUCCCCCCCCCCCCCAAAAAAGAAGAAACAAAAAAAGGUAUAUAAUUAAACAGGUAACUUCGAUAGAAAAGAGUGUACAUAAUUCUUAAGCUUAAUUACCCCUCGCUAUUAUAGGGAUCACGAAGGCCAUUAGAGAAAAUAAUGUUGCUACCAAAUCUCUUUAAAACCACUCUUAUAUCUUGCAAAUUAAAAAGAAAUAGAAAUCAAACAAAACUUGAGGUGAACUUUAUAAUUAAAACAGAAAAUGAGAAACCUUAAAAUAUUAGAAGAAUUAAUUUGGGGAUUAAUCGACACUUACAUUACCACUUUAAUAAGUUGUAAUCCAAUGUGGUCUUGGAACCACUCCAUAAGACUUAUUGCAUGAAUCCAUAUAUUCUGUCAGAUUAAAUGUGUCUGCUUGAAACAUUAUGUCGUUUUUGCCAAUUCCAAUUGGUGAGACCAUUUCACUGCAUGUCUGCAUGAGAAACCCCCCAAAAAUAAAAAAUAAUAAUAAUAAAAUAAGAUAAAGAAGAAAACUAUUUUUAAUCAUUCAUAAAUAUAAAGUCUCAUAAAUAAAAUUAAGAGAUGUACAUAAAAUAGGUAUUGUUCUCAUUGCCACAUGUUGUUUAUUUAACGGUCUCAAUAGAACUAACCAAUGAAAUCAUGUCACUUGUAAUUGCAUACCUGUCUGCCCCAGCUGGAGUCCAAUGUUGCAUCGGAGAAGAAUUCAUCAACAUCAUGGCAAGAAUCCUCCCCUCUUAAAUCAACAAUUCCUGAGAAGAUCCGGUCUAGGGUAUCUGUGCCUUCUAAAGCUCCAUCAAUACCAUUACAGGCUUUGUUCACUGGGCUUUCCUGAGGAUCAUCAUACUGAGCUGCACCCGUAUACAUAUACUCUAAAUAAUCUUUCAAUUCUGAAACAUCCUUCAGAGGCCUGUAAUCAAAUAAACAAUAACAUAGAAUUAAGUGCCACAAGGUCAUUAACUUUAUAAAAGAUCUUUCAACAUACUGUCUUAAAAAUGUUGUUAUAUUUAGUUAGAUUACAAUAAACUUUAUAAGUAUGAAGCUAUUGAUAUUCUCAAAUGCAAACGUUCAAAUUUGGCCUCAUUUGAUUAUCAGAGUUUUGCGUGGUUUUGUAGUUUAAAUUUAGAUUCUGCAAAAUAUGGACGUCUGAACCUAAGCACCAGUAUACUAUAUAUGGUAACGCAAAGGCCGUGUAUAAGCCCAAAUCCAGAUUUUUACUUUGUAUAUUACACGUUAAUCGAAAUGUAUAUACACGCUGAGGAUGACAGAUAAUUAAUUAGACAUGGUACAUUCGAUAACGAUGCUAAAAUAACAUUGCAUUAAUUGUAAUUAAGGGAAAAUCGGAUGGAUAUACAAUAUAAGCAGUUAUGUAAAGUAAUAUGAUUAAUUACUUGCAGGUUUUGAACUUUAUAGAGAGAAAAGCAAGUCCAUUUUUUCCAGCAGCGACUUUAUCGAUUUCAGCCUAGGACUGUUUGAUGGUCUUGUAGCAGCUCUCGCUGGCUUCCUGCAUCAUUAAUUUUUAAAAUUCAAUGGCUAAAUUUUAACAAGAAAACAUAAUCAUGCUUAUAUAAAAUUUUAAUUAACUAAUUUAUUUCUUACCCGAAAGUCCUUGGUGACAAGAUCAUAAUAUGCGUUUGACGGUGUGAUAUUCUCAAAGUAGAGAACUGGGGCGGAUGAGGCAACUGCUCCCAAAGCAAUGUGAAGAUACUUCAAGUGAAACCAUGCAGCAAGCAUUGUUGAUAACAAACCAACAAACAAGUAACUCUCGAAACCAUAUCACAUCCCAGAUCUGAUAAAAUAGGAUGAAUUGAGAAGAUUAUUUUUAAAUACAUAAUUAUCUUGAAUAUAUUUAUUAUUUCUUGAUUUUACGAUCGCCAAGAGUAUUCGUUAGUUGCAAUAUUAAAUAAAUUUGUAUCAUAGUAAUAUUGCCGUAGUCAAUAUCUUGAUCGAUCAAUCGUGAUCUAAAUGAGUAAAAUGAUGUGACAGAUGACACGACAUUAAUCAAAAGAUGUAAGUAAGUUAAUAAUAUUAUAAUUUACUUCCUCCAUAAGAUGCUCCAACAACCAUAAUGGGAGACAUUUCGUCCGAUAAAUUUUUCUGGAUGUGUAAGAGAAUCUCUGCGUAAUCAGCCAAAGCUUGAGCAGAGUUGAAAUAUCCACGAAGAGUUGCAUUCUUUGGGGCAUCUUUGCUUGAUACAAAAGGUAUUGAUUUUCCAUAGAACCGAUACUGCAUAAAAAAUUGAAUUAAAAAAAAAAUCCAUCACAACUUUUCGUAUGUGAACUCUAUUUCAAUUAUUAUCAAGCUAGCCUGAUAACAUAUUCUUUACUUACCUCUAUGUAAACUUGUAAGGCUUUAAAUCGAUGAGCACUAUUAGUUAGCCAUCCAAUGCCACCAAGGUCAUCAUAUCAAGACUACUCUCUUCACCAAGAUAUGCCAAUAUCGGCGCCGCCAUGGCUCUGCCACCGCCCCAAUGCUUGAAGUUCAACGCAUAUCUAUGAGGAAAAGUUAAAUAACUUUGUGGAUUAUAGUUAAAGUGAUCAAGUGUUUGAUAAUAAUAGUAAGUUUCGAGAUCAUAAUAGUAACUUUGUGGAUUUUUUUGCUAGGGUUUUGAAAAAUAGUCCUUCCACGAACAGCACCAAGCUUUGGGAUGUUCUUUAAUGGUGAAGUGGAAGCAAAAGCAAAAUUUGUGAGGAGAAGAAGAAAAAGGCAUGGAAGCCACCGACCUUUCAUGGCAAAGUUGUAAAUCCUUAAUUAGCAGGAUGAUUAUGUAAAUACAGAAGAAAUAGAGUUAAGAUUAGAUUAUAAAUUCAGCUUCAAAAUCGACGUGUUUGUUAAUAUAUCCUGGAUUUGUUGUUAUCGUAUAAUUUAAUUAAUGUUGGUUUUAGUUUUAUAUUAGUAUGGAUCUUCAUUUUUCAUAAAAUUAUAGUGUGUCGAAUAUAUAGUUAUCGGUUUCGUAAUUAAUAAAAAUUUUUAUUAUUUCUUUCCUAGUAAUUAAUUAUCUUGUGCUUACCAGAAUAUCACUAACCACAACUUCUGCAGAAGCUUCCUCACCUUCGGAUGACAUCAGCGGUGCGUCCAGGAUGUUUGAUCGGAUCAGCUAAAUUAAAAAUUUAUUGUAUAUGUUUGUGUGAAUAUUUACAAAGGAGUGAAAAAAAACUAAUAUAUUGAAUAACGCGACAUCAAGAACUUCGUUCUGAAUGAAAUUUUUAUAUAUAAUUUGCAAAAUAAGCUAAUAAAUAGAAUGACAAUUUACCCUUUUUAACUUGUAGAGACACAACCUUAAAUUCCUUAAUAUGCUGGUUAAUUCAGAUCAUUGAGAUGGAGACAAUUAGACAAACCUUAUUUUAUCAGAGUGAACUGCGAAAGUACUAGCUUUACAAAAGAGACUAAUGUCGUAGUGUGAAUGGAAUUAAAAAAUACUAAGGCAGACAAUUCGUCGAACACAUAAUAUUUGCUACAUUGCUACUACCUAAUAAUUUCACAACCAAUUAACAGUCUCCUUUAUUGGAAAAAUCACAUUAAUCAACCAAAUACAUUUCUUGGUUUCUAAGCUCCAAAAUUGAAAUUUCAUGAAAAGGUUUCUGCAUUGGUGUCUUAUUGCGAGCGAUAAAUUCGUUGGACACGAGUUGCAUUGUAGGUCGAGACUUUGGUUGAGAACGCAAGCAUGAAAAUACUACUGUUGAAACAAGAAUGAUAUCCUGCCUAAUCAUUUGAUCCCCCGGAGGCGGGAGGCGUGGGUCCAACAAAUCAAUCAGCUUUAUAUUUUUAUCCAAUGACGAAGAUGACGAUGAGAGGAGCUCUCCUGGAUGCUUUCCCAUUAGUACUUCUAGUGCCACUACUCCGAAGCUAUAAACAUCAGAUUUCUCUGUCACAACCAUGGUGUAGGCACGUUGUAUAGGAAAACGGAAGUCUUUAUUAGUAAUGUUUCCAUAAACAAUAACAAGCACAAUUUGUUCAUGUUUUUUAGCUUCUUUAGCAAGGUAUGACAGAGAAGCAUAUGUUCUAACUGAUAUUCAGUGUAUGUGUGUUUUGAAAGGUAAAGGGAUAGGUAAAGUCUAAAUUCAGUUAUAGCUCCUUAGUUUUUUCAAAAUUCGAACCCAAGUAGCGAGCUAAAUAAAGCUGGUUAAAAACUACUUAGCAGAGUAUAUAUAAAAAUUAAAUAAGAGGAUAACUAAAGAAGCAUAAGAGGAAUAGCUAGAAGAUGACCUGGAGCAAUAUAUCCAUAAGUGCCAGCUAACAGAGUUCGAUUGGAUGAGUCAAAAUUUAACAAUCUAGCAAUACCAAAGUCAGCAACAAAAGCUUCGAAUUCUGAGUUGAGUAGAAUGUUGUUGCUUGAUAUGUCGCGGUGAACAAUUGGUGGUGUGCAGUGAUGAUGCAAGUAUGACAAAGCAUGAGCCAUACCCUUCACAAUGUUCACCCUUUUAGUCCAAUCCAACCCAACAGCUUCCUCAUCUGUGCGUAGAAUACAGAACAAGCUUCCCAUUUCCAUGUACUCAUAGAUCAAGAACAUGCAGUUCUCGUGCAAACAAAAGCCGUAAAGCUUUACAAUAUUUCGAUGCCGUAUUUGGGACAGUAGACGAGCCUCAUUCCGGAAACUCUCGAGGGAAGCUAACUCCUCAGUUUCUGAACGGUGAAGCUUCUUCAAAGCAACCACUUUUCCACUGGGCAGCCGUGCUCUGUAAACGCUGCCGUAGCCUCCGGUUCCAAUGCAGUAUUUGAUAUCGAAAUCCUCAGUGGCUUCAAUCAUGUCUUGAAAUGUAAUUCUACCAUCGUAAUUCCAAAUUGCAAACUCAUCAGCGCACUUGGUAAUUUCUCCUGUCCCAGUUGGUUCAACUUCCUUAUCCCUUCGUCUACGGAUAAUCAAGAUUCCAAAUAUCAAGGCAAGGAAUGCGACCAUAGCAAGAAUAAUUGCAACCAAGCGAGUGGCAAUUGUUUUGUGAUGUGGCGGUGGCGCAUUUGCCAAAGUAGUUGAGAUUUCUCCUCCCAAUUUAUUGCCUGACACAUCUAAGUGUGGCACUUUUCUGACAAAUACAGGGAUUCCACCGGAAAGGUUAUUCAUGGAAAGGUCCACAGUGUCUAUGCGUGGAAAUUCUCCAAGUUGGGAAGGUAUUUUACCAUUAAUGAAGUUACCGCUUAGAUCAAGAUAAUAUAGUUCUUGAAGUUUGCCGAUCUGUGACGGAAUGCUUCCGCUUAACAAGUUGUUUCCCAAUUUUAAUAUCCUCAGCUUUGAGCAAUUCAUGAGUUCUGGAGGAAUUGGGCCAUCAAGUUUGUUGUUGUACAUAUUCAAAGUAGUUAAUUGAGUCAAAUGACCCAGAGACGAAGGGAUUGGGCCAACAAGUUUGUUUUGGGACAAGUCUACACUUCUCAACCACUUUAAAUGGCCAAGUGUUGUAGGAAUUGAACCUCCAAUUUCAUUUCUGGACAGGUCAAGAGCUUGAAGAACCUUCAAACUCCCGAUUCCUAAUGGGAUGGAACCAUUCAUUUGGUUUGAGGCAAUAGCCAAAGUAGUUAGCUGGGUUAGAUGACCUACAUUGGAUGGGAUAUUACCGACAAGGGAGUUAAAAGACAAGUUCAAAAUUUUCAAUUUGCUUAGACCACAAAGAGUUGGAGGGAUAUGUCCCAUGAGGUGAUUAUCAGAUAGAUCCAGGUGGACGAGAUUCCUUAAUCGCCUCAUCUCUAAAGGGAUAAUUCCUGUUGUGCAUGUGAUUUAUGAAAAACGAGAUCAGUAUUCACUAUCUUCAUUAAAAAAAAAUUACAUAGAGGGAGAGUCAAGCUCAAGUGCGGACGACUCACACUUCUUUAGUGUUGUAAAAACAGACGCCUGCUUUAAGCAGCAGCGCGAUUUUAUACAUACAUAUAUAUAUAUAUGGUGAAGUUUCACAGCUUACCGGUAAGGCCGUUGUAGGGCAGUUCAAGAGUUUGGAGCAUUGAAAGGGCAGUAAUUUCAGAUGGAAUGCGCCCAGAGAGAACAUAAUUUGUACGAAUUUUGAAAUUUCUGAGGUUCGGAAAGCAAGAGAAUUUGAAACAACCGAGCUCUCCUUUGAUGUUAUCAUUUUCAUACCAGAGUAAGCUGACCCCGAUUACGCUUCCCGCUGAAUUGCAACUGACGCCAGUCCACUUACAAUGAUCGGACGUGUAGUUGCCCGACGUCGCCCAAUUGUUGACCCACCAGCCGGUAGCAAGUAAAGCUUCCCUUUCUAACAGUAUGGGUGACGACAAUAAUCUUGCAGCUGAUGCCGUUACAGAUAUUGUCGUAUCACUUAUAGCACCAACAUUUAUUAAAAUUAAAAUGACCACCAAUCUCGAAACAGUGGAUGCUGCUGCCAUGUUUAUAAUGGUUUUCGGUUGAUUGAGCUGGCUAUUUGAUUCCUUGCAAAGCGUUUAUAUAAGAAUUAAUUGUUUUGCAAGCUCCCGGUGUUAACUUCCAAUACGCGUUUUCAAAUAGUGUGAGUCAAUGUCUUCUCUGGAUGGAUUCAAUCAUGGAGAUAUAACCUUAUCGGCUUGUAUUUGUGAGGUGUAGAUCUAUUUGAACAACUUUGCAGAAACAUGAGAUAAUAUGGACAAUAUUAGAAAUAAUCAAUAGCGCUAUUAAGAUAUUAAAUAUUACCCAAAAUAAUAAAGAAAAAAAAAAGCUCGAAGGAUUGUUGUUGUAAAAUAUGACUCAAAUAGAAAAAUAAACAAGACUAAUCAUAUCUUUGUAUAAAUUUAAGUAUAAAAAAAACUUGUAGGUGUAUUAUUAUAAUAAGCUGUAGAGAAAAGAAUUUGUAGACUUCUGUGAUUUGACAAAAUAAUAAAAUAAUCCCUUUAUUUUUUAAAAUAGUUACAAAACUCCUUUUGCAACAUGCAAACUAUAUGGAAAAUUGGAAAUUCAUGGGCUACCUAAUAUCCCUCUUAUUUUUUUAUUUUUUAUUUUACACCAAAACAUCAUAGACAAAAGAAGAUAAAAAUUUCAUUGCACUCAAUUUUUUUCAUGAAAUCAAACAAGGAAAAGAAGCAAAAAGUGUUGGAAAUAUAGCACAAGUUACUAUUUGAUGCGUGAUUUUGAGUGAGACUUAUCUGUUGUUUCAAAUAUUCCUCCGUAAAUACUUCAGAAUGAUUUUACCUAUAUAAUCAAAAUAACCCUUGGAUAAAUGAGAAAUUGUUACUCAAAGUAAAUUCAUGGAAUUGGAAAAGUAAAGGAAAUUAUAUUUGUCCCACAUGAAAAAGAUAGCAAAGGCAUGAAAGGUUUGUAUAUAAUUACUCAUGUGUGUAUAAGUAAAAUAUAAACCAAGACGCUCUCUCUUCCGUGCCCCAUCCUAAGUACACAAAUUCAAUGUGAUACGAUCCUAUAGUUUCCGUUCAAACCUAUGCACACUUUAAAAAAAGGUUUUUUUUAAUAUAUUUUUUAUGUAUUUUACAUUUUUUUUAAAAUUUAAUAAAUGCCAUAUUAUUUAAAUAUUUAAUUUUAAGGCAUCUUUUUUAAGUUGAGGGCAAGGAACCCCUCCGAUACGUAAUGCCGAAACAUGCUAAUCUAAUCACCUUGACUUUAAAGACUGCUUCCCCUAGUCAGCAAUUAUUUGGAACUUACGUCUUGACAUGUGCUGUGGAAAAUAAAGAAUGAAGUAGACUUAUUGAGUCAAGCUGUUUCUUCAAUCCAGAUAUUUAGUUUAUACGUGUGCAAAUAUUCAAUGCCUAACUUUAUUCUGCACAAAGCCUAAUGUCCUAUUUGGGAUAACGGUUGAAAUACUUAUAAGUUUUGAUAAAAAUGAUGUUUGAUAAAUUUGUUAAAAGUUUAAUUCAUAUUUUCUCCAUUUUGACAAUAACUCUUAAAAUAAGUAUGAGAUUGUCUUUUAUAAGCAACUUAUUAAAUAAAAUGCCAUUUUUUUAAAGUUUCUAUUAUAACUUUAAUAUUUUAAGAAAAGAAUAAGUGUAUCUUAUUUUUUAAAAAAUCCUAAUAUAUAAGUAAAAGACAAUUUAAACUUAUGUUUAUUUUAAUGAUUAUAUAAUAAAAUAUUAUUUUCGUAAUCAAAUUUACCAAACACUGAGUGAGCUACUUUUAUAAUCAUUAGAUAAUUCCAUUCACAUCGCAGAAGCAGCUUAUUUCAACAGCCACCAAAAUCUUAAACUGAUCCUAAGUCAUGUUCGGAAUUGCAUGGGAUUGUCAAAUAAUUAACAAAAGAAGCUAUUAUGUAGGAGAAUAGGAACAGGUUCACCUGGAGCAAUAUACUCAUAAGCUUGGCUACUAAUAAACGGAGCGUGUAAGGAUAAACACCUAAGUUUUGAGAGAUACAUGUAUCUGGAGGGCAAAUUCUUUUUCUCCCACCGGCUUCAAGGACCUAUACAGUAACUCCUAAAUCAAAGGGAGAAAAUGGUUAAUCCAAUGUGGUUGUGUAUGAAUUGAUAUUCACCGUAUGAUUAUUACAUAAAGAUUGAACCUUUGUACGUGCUUUAUAUUAAGUAAAACUGCACACUUGUUCUACACAUUUAGACAACCCAGAUUAAGAAUUAUGAAAAUGAAAUCUACAACUAGCUAGGUGCACUAUUAUUUAUCUUUGCUCCUUAAAUAUUAGAAAGAUAGAGGAGAGGGAGAAAAAGAAAAGACUAAUUUUGUAGUCCAAAUUUAAUCUUAUGCUCUGAUUUUGAAGCAAAUCAGCAGAGUAUUUGAGGAACCAAUCAUGAACCAUGUCCAUUUCAAUCUUUCGCUGCAUUACUAACCAUUCGGGGUCAUCUUCUGUUGCUGGCUGUAUGUCUAAGCAAUGGGAACCUGCUCCAAUUUACACACUAUUAAUUAUGUUAUCCAAUAAUUUAGUUAAUAAUUGAACACUAAUUUUUUAUUUUAUAGAAAAAGUUACAUACUGUUUUUUGUUGUCACUGCUAUUAUAUUGUUUGAUAUAUUUUCCAGAACCCUAUAAUCCCAAACAAAGAAAGAAAAAGAAAAAGGUAUAUAAUAAAACGGGUAACUUCAAUAGAAAAGAAUAUCCAAAAUUCUUAAGCUAAAUUACCCAGCGCUGCUACAGGGAUCGCGGUGGCCAUUAGAGAAAACAAUGUUGCUACCAAAUCUCUUUAAAACCACUCUUAUAUCCUGCAAAUUAAAAAGAAAUAAAAAUCAAACUCAAGAACGAGGUGAAGUUUUUAAUUUAAAAAAGGAAAGAAAAAGAGAAAAUUAAAAGAAUUAAUUUGGGGAUUAAUUGACACUUACAUGACCACCAUAAUAAGUUGUAAUCCAAUGUGGUCUUGGAACCACUCCAAAAGACUUAUUGCAUGAAUCCAUAUAUUCUGUCAGAUAAAAUGGGUAUGCUUGAAACAUUGUUUCCUUUUGGCCAAUUCCAAUUGGUGAGACCAUUUCACUGCAUGUCUACAUGAGAAACCCCCUAUAUUAAUAAUAAUAAUAAUAAGAUAAAGAAGAAAAAUAUUUUUAAUCAUUCAUAAAUAUAUAGUGUUAGAGUGCAAUUUAUGCACUAGUUUUGCAUUGUUUACUUCCCUUAAUAUCGAUGUUUUGCACUUAAUAAUAGUGAUUUACUUGUGUUUUACUUUUGUGGGUGCAGUUCUAUUGAUUUGUGAUAAAAUUGAGCUAUAAGAUGUUGUUUAAAGAUGAUUGUUCUCUUGGAGAAAUUUAGAGCGUCAGAAGAACUUUGUUGAUAAGGCGUGGGCGCGUGCUGUCAACUGCGGGCCUGCAGUUUUUAGUUUAACAUGUUUUGUAUUUUUGGUUAUUUUGUAAUUACGAAUUUAAUAUUUCAGUUAUUAGUAUUUUAUUUUAAAUAGAAUUCUAAAAGAGAAGAGAGAGAGAGUAUUUAAGGGAGGAAUCUAUUGUGAAAAAGGAGACUUUUGGAGAAGAGAAAGAAACCUUAGGUCUAAACUUUUCUCUUCUCUCUAUGAAGCACUAAACCUAUUUUUCUGGUUGAAGGAUAAUGAAGCUUUGAUUCAUCACUACUGUGAGAUCUAUUUUAUGCUUUAAUUGUUUUAUUGCUUUUUGGGUAUUUGUUUAUUCUCUGAAUUAUUUUCAUGAUUAUGUUUGUUAAUUAGGUAAUUGGCCACUAUUUAAUUAUCAACUUAAUCUAUUAUUAAUUAAAGGAUUCAUCGUAUGAAAAUUUUAAUGUUUGUGACAAAUAACAUACCAAUGAGUUGUGUUAUGAGAAUAAACAAUCUAAUUUAAAUGAAUCAUCGUAUGUGUUGAUUAGGAUUUGGGUCUCUCUGGUCUUUCAGGCUAUCAAUUGAUUAAAUCCUAUGAUCGUAUCUAGGAUUGUCUAUUGAUUAGGGAAAUAGCCAACGGUCGUACCUUGGUUAUCGACUAGUUAAGGAGAGAUUGGCUAUUAGAGGGUCUCAGUAGCUAUAACCGGUCUAUUCAUAAGUAAUAAUAAUCUAUAUUUGAAUCAAUGAUCAGUAAUCGAAUCUAGCUGAAUUAAUUCCUUCAACCAGAGCUUUCUCCAAUUUGAAUUACAACUUUAAUUUGCAUUCUUGUUAUUUUAAUUUGAUUUUUAUUAUUGUCAACAAAACCCCCAUUUUAUGUUUUACGUUUUAAAAGGAUUUAAAUAAUUACCGAUCUCUGUGGACACGACCCUGCUCAAUCACUAUACACAAUUUAUUUAGAGUAGGAAUUUAUUUUUGUUGGCUUCGACAACCAUCGUAUAGUCAUAUAAAUAAAAUUAAGAGAUGUACAUAAAAUAGGUAUUGUUAGGCGAAAGACUAAUUCAUUGCGACAUGUUGUUUAUUUGAUGGUCUCAAUGGAACUAUCCAAUGAAAUCACGUCAUCUGUAAUCGCACUUGAGCAGAGUUGAAAUAUCCACUAAGAGUUGCAUUCUGUAGGGCAUCUUUACAUGAUACAAAAGGCACCGAUUUUCCAUAGAACUGAUGCUGCACAAAAAAUCAAAUUAAAAAAUAUAUAUAUAUCACAACUUUUUAGUUGAUAUUAUAGAUUAAAUUUAUCUUUAUUAUUAUUGUUUCGCGUUCGAACUCUGUUUCAAUUAUUAUCAAAUUCUUUACUUACCUCUAUGUAAACUUGUAAGCCUUUAAAUCGAUGAGCAUUAUCAGUAACCUGGAUUUGUAUGUUAUUAGGAGGUCGUUGCUUAGAGAUUCCCAUGUCCACUCUUAGUGCCAAAAGACUUGGUCUUGAUGCACAGGUGACAAGUUUGUUGGGGAGUACAUUUGGACUCGCUAUCUUGAUUUAGUUCCAAACAUCAUAGCAUUUGGUUAUUUAUGUUGGUCAAAGUUCGCAAGUUCAGUUUGCGUGGUCAACUCAAGUAGACGAGAGAGUUGUGCAACUCUUGACCAUGCGUGCAAAUGCCAAUGUAUGUGGCUUUAAAAUUUGGCAGUGAGGACGUAUGAUCCCCCACAGCCUGGAAUCAAUGUGUGUCUGAAACCUUUUUUGAACGAAAACACGGAGCAAAUGUGAGCUUCUCGCAGGCUAAGGUUCCAAGAGAGGUUACAUAUGUUUACCAUGAAGUGUCAUAUGAACUUGUACAGAUUGAUUUCCGAUGUUUCUUUUUCCCGGUAAUUUCUUAUUUUAAAUCUUAUUGCUUGUCUUUGUGUAUGUGCGUUGGGCUGGAGGCUCCAUUGAAAUGGUGUUUCCUCAAAUUAUGAAUUAUAAUGCUCGUAAGUGUUAAUAUCAUCUCUUCUAGUCCAGCUUAUUAAGAAAGUCUUUCAGAAUCCUAUUCAAACAUAUUCCUUUUUUUUUUGUUUUUUGGAAGGAAAGAUUUUCUUGCUGGAAAUGUUGUUAAUUAACAAGGAUUCUGGUUGUAUUAACUAUUUUGUAAACAAAUUCUUUCAUCUGUACUACAAUAGCAGAUGACGGAGCUCACUGGGAAUAUUUUAUAUUUUUACCAUUGAUGUGAUAACUAAUAUAAGGCAUAAUGGUUUCUGUACCAUUUCCAGCCUCAGCCUGAUUCCAAUACUUGUGGAUCAAAGCAGAAAGUUGCCACACCACCUGUAGGUCCUGGAGAGCUUCCUUCAACGGGUUCAAACAAACCCAAGGAGUGGAGUUGUGCCCUCUGUCGGGUCAGUGCUACUACCGAGAGAGGUCUAGAUGAGCAUCUUCAAGGUAGGAAGCACAAGGCCAGGGUUUCAGGACUAAUUAGAGAUAAGAAAAUGUGCAGUAACUCCACUUCAUCCACGUCAAAAAAAUCUACUGAAAGCAGAGAUGGUGUUGGCCAAGAAAUGAAGACUAAAGUACAAGAGGAAUCAGUUAAAGCUAAUAAAACUGUUGUUGGUCUAGACCAGAAAGGGGAGGUUGGUCUAGAUGAGCAUCCUCAAGGUAAGAAGCAGAAGGCCAAGGAAGAAGAACUACUUGGAGCUCAGAAGUGGAUAAAAAAUCUAAUGAAAGCAGAGAUAGUGCUGGCCAAGAAAUGAAGACUAAAGUAGCAGAGGAAUCAGUUAAAGCUAAUAGAACUGUUGUUGGUUUAGACCAGAAAGAGGAGGGUUGUCAAGCCCUGCAGGUUAAGCCCUAUCCCAACCUUUGUGGAUCAAAGCAGGAAGCUGCCACACUACCUGCAGGUUCUGGUGAGCUCCCUUUGACCAGUUCAAGGAAACCCAUGGAUUAAAGCUGUGCCCUCUGUCAGGUCAGCACUACUCACAACAGAGAUCCAGAUUAGCAUCUUCAAGGCAAGAAGCACUAGGCCAAGGAAGGAGGACUACUUGGAGAUGAGAAGAUGUGCAGUAACUCCACUUCCAGAAACUCUACUGAAAACAGAGAUAGUGCUGGCCAGGAAAUUAAGGCUACUCUAGAAGAGGAAUCAGUUACACCGAAUAAAAAUAUCGUUGAUUUAGACCAGAAAGUGGAGGGUGGUCAAGAUGAGCAUCUUCAAGGUGAGAAGCACAAGGCGGAGGAAGCGGAGCUAAUUGGAGCUCAGAAGAUGUGCACUACCUCAUCUUCAUCGACAUCAAAAGAUUCUGGAAAGACAAGUAGACCAGAAAGUGGGUUAAGACCAGAAAGUGCUGGCCAAGAAAUGAAAGCUAAAGUAGAAGAGGAAUCAGUUAAAGCUAUUAAAACUGUUGUUGGUUUAGACCAGAAAGUGCAGGGUGAAGAAGAUUCAGAGAACAAAAAUAAGGAGCUGCUAAAGAAGGACUUGAAUGCAAACACUCAGAAGAUGACAAAUGGAAUACCGACUGGAGAGACGAUGAAGAGAAAACUUCCCCUUAGAGAGAAUUUCGAAUUCUGGUGUGAAGUUUGUCGAGGAGCUCAGAAGAAAUGAAGAGAAACUUCAUAUAUGCAUGGUUAUGACAUUGGACUCUUCGGCUCAAAGCAAAUUUUUCUUGAUCAUGACCUGACAUUAGUUUAUCUUUUGCUGGCAGGUAGUUGGCGGGAUAUCACUAACCACAACUUAUGCAGAAGCUUCCUAACAUCAGCGGUGGGUCCAGGAUGUUUGAUCGGAUCAGCUAAAUUAUUGUAUAUGUUUGUGUGAAUAUUUACAAAGGAGUGAAAAAACUAAUAUAUUAAAUAUCAAGAACCUCGUUCUGAAUGAAGUUUAUAUAUAUAAUUUGUAAAAUAAACUAAUAAUUAAAAUGACAAUUUACCCUUUUAACUCGUAGAGAUACAACCUUAAAUAAUAACAAGAGAGGAGCUCUCCAGGAUGCUUGUAGUGUCUAAAAAAUUAUCAUCAAUGAAAAUGGGAAUGGGAGGGCGUGGUGGGGUUGAUGAUCUAAGACUCUUUGCUCAUCACUGGUGGCCGUAAUAAUGGGGGCUUGGAGCACCUUCACUUCAACCCCCAGCAGCUCCUCGGCCUUUACCACUCAAUGAGCAAACCCUCUGGCGGCAGCAGCAUCUCCUGUGGCUAUCAUUGUUGCUGAACGAUAAAUUUGUGCUGCCCCUGAGAAGCUGAAAUUGCAAGAACAAGGCAGCAACUCAAAAACCAGCAAUCUUUUAAAUGUAAGCAAGCAUAAUAAUUAUUCAUAAAACGUUGAAACACAAAGUCCUGCUAGAUUCAAAAUUUAGAAGACUCGUGAUACAAUAAGAACUUAAAGUGUAUAUACGAUUAUGCAUUACAAGUGAAGUUGCAUGCUAUAUGAAGUUUUAAAAUAUGUCUCACUUUUCAAUGAUUUCUGGUAAAUCGCUAAUCCGAUAAUAUCAAAUAUCCUUCAUAAUCUUCAUCUUCCUCUUCUUCGUCGUCAUCGUCUUCUUUAGAUAUUUUUCCUCCUUCAACACCGUUAACCAUAUUUUUCAACUGCAAUGUCAGUUUGGAAGUAAUAUUUAUGAAGUUCAACAAGUUUCAAAUUUUGAUAUUGUUUGAAAUGUGAAUGAUAAGUACAACUUCUACCAUUAUUUAUAGAAAAAUAUGCAAUAUUGGCUUUGAGGAAAUAUAAUAAAGUUUACAAUUAAGAAAGGUGUAAUCCUAAAUCUCGAAAAAUCUGAUACUAAAUCUUAAAAUGUAAAUAUUUAAAUCCCGAAGAAUCCGAUGCAUAUUCUAACAGAUAGUGUUAUAAUUGUUGGAUUUACAUGGAGUCUAAUUAUAGUAUUAACGUUAGUACUCGAAUUCUCAUAUGAUCUAAACUUCUCUUGAGUAAAACUCACAUGGGAGAUUUGUGAUCCAUAAAUAAUUAUAUAAAAAAAAGAUAGUAAUUAAAUCAUAAUCGGGAGCGCUUAGAUCUUUUUUAUUUUUACUAUGAAGAGCUCAAUCGGGAGAAAAUUUAAAUUUUUAAGGGGAAAAAGCAACCCACACUCCCGAAGUUUGCUUAAAUAGUCACACAAACCCCCUUAAUUUCAUAAAUGAUGGAUUGCAUACCAUUAAGUCUAAAUUUCAUAAAUACUGUAAUAUUUUUAUCUAAUGAUGAAGAUAACGAUGAGAGGAGCUCUCUAGGAUGCUUUCCCAUUAGUACUUCUAGUGCCACCACUCCAAAGCUAUAAACAUCAGAUUUCUCCGUCACAACCAUGGUGUAGGCAAGUUCUGUAUGAAAACAGAAGCCUUUAUUAGUGAUGUUUCCUAAAUAAUAACAAGAGCAAUUUGUUUAUAUCUUUGAGCUUCUGCAGCAAGGUAUGACAGAGAACCAUAUGUUUUUAACUGAUAUUUAAAGUGUAUUUUUUUUUUAAAAAAAAGUGAAACUGGUAGGCAAAGUUCAAAUUCAUUUUUCCAGCUCUUUACCUAUUCAAAAAUUUGAACCUAAGUAGCUAAUUAAAUAAAACUGCUUAAAAAUUACUUAACCGAGUAUAUACAAAAAUUAAUUAAAAGAAUAAUUAAAGAAGCAGAAGAAGAAUAGCUAGAAGAUUACCAGGAGCAAUAUAUCCAUAAGUGCCAGCCAAUAGAGUUCGAUUGGAUGAGUCAAAAUUUAAUAAUCUAGCAACGCCAAAGUCAGCAACAAAUGCUUCUAAUUCUGAGUUGAGUAGAACGUUGUUGCUUGAUAUGUCGCGGUGAACAAUUGGUGGUGUGCAGUCAUGAUGCAAGUAUGACAAAGCAUGAGCCAUGCCCUUCACACCGUUCACCCUUUUAGUCCAAUCCAACCCAACAGCUUCCUCAUCUAUGCGUAGAAUACAUAACAAGCUUCCCAUUUCCAUGUACUCAUAGAUCAAGAACACGCAGUUCUCGUGCAAACAAAAGCCGUAAAGCUUUACGAUAUUUCGAUGCCGUAUUUGGGACAGUAGACGAGCCUCAUUCCGGAAACUCUCGAGGGAAGCUAACUCCUCAGUUUCUGAACGGUGAAGCUUCUUCAAAGCAACCACUUUUCCACUGGGCAGCCGUGCUCUGUAAACGCUGCCGUAGCCUCCGGUUCCAAUGCAGUAUUUGAUAUGGAAAUCCUCAGUAGCUUCAAUCAUGUCUUGAAAUGUAAUUCUACCGUCGUAAUUCCAAAUUGCAAACUCAUCAGCGCACUUGGUGAUUUCUUCUGUCUCAGCUGGUUCAACUCUCUUAUCCCUUCGUCUACGGACAAACAAGAUUCCAAAUAUCAAGGCAAGGAAUGCGACCAUAGGGAGAAUAAUUGCAACCAAGCGAGUGACAAUCUUUUUGUGAUGUGGCGGUGGCGAAUUUGCCGAAGUAUUUGGGAUUUCUACCUCGAAAUUGUUGCCUGACACAUAUAAGAGAGGCACUUUUUUGACAGAUUCAGGGAUGCUACCGGAAAGGCUAUUCAUGGAAAGGUUCACGGUAUCUAUGCGUCGAAUUUCUCCAAGCUGGGAAGGUAUUUUACCAUUAAUCAAGUUAUGGCUUAAAUCAAGAUAAUUUAGUUCUUGAAGUUUGCCAAUCUCUGACGGAAUGCUUCCGCUUAACAAGUUGUUUCCCAAUAUUAAUAUCCGCAGCUUUGAGCAAUUCAUGAGUUCUGGAGGAAUUGGACCAUCAAGUUUGUUGUUGUACAUAUUUAAAGUAGUUAGCUGAGUCAAAUGACCCAGGGACGACGGGAUUGGACCAACAAGUUUGUUUUCGGACAAUUCUAAAUCUGUCAACCUAUUUAAAUGACCAAGUGUUAAAGGAAUAGAUCCAGUUAGAUUGUUAUAUUCCAGGGACAGAGAUGUCAAGUUGACUAAACCAGCUAUGGUGGAAGGAAUUGGACCUUCAAGUUUGUUGUCGGACAGGUCAAGAACUUGAAGAAAGUUCAAAUUCCCGAUUUCUAAUGGGAUGGAACCAUUGAUUAGGUUUGAGUGCAUAUAAAAAGUAGUUAGCUGAGUCAAAUGACCUACAGACGAAGGGAUUGGGCCAACAAGUUUGUUCUGGGACAAGUCUAAACUUCUCAACCUCUUUAAAUGGCCAAGUGUUUGAAGGAAUUGAACCUCCAAUUUCAUUUCAGGACAGGUCAAGAACUUGAAGAAAGUUCAAAUUCCCGAUUUCUAAUGGGAUGGAAACAUCAAUGUGGUUUGAGGCAAUAGCCAAAGUAGUUAGAUGGGUUAGAUGACCUACAAUGGAGGGGAUAUUACCAACAAGGGAGUUAGAAGACAAGUGCAAAUUUUCCAAUUUGCUUAGACGACCAAGAGUUGGAGGGAUAUAUCCCCAGAGGAAAUUAUCAGAUAGAUCCAGGUGGACGAGAUUCCUCCAUCUCCCCAUCUCUGAAGGGAUAAUUCCUGUUGCGCAUGUGAUUUAUGAAAAACGAGAUCAGUAUUCACUAUCCUCAUAGAAAUAAAAUUUAUAAAGAAAUGCUUAGGUUGUAAAAAUUAAUAGAUUUUUUAGUGCUCUAAUAGUUUUUUUUUUCUUAUUUUUUGUUGGGGCUCGUCAAUGCUGCAAAUUUUAGACUGAAAGUUAAAUCUGCAGAUGCAACAAAUAUAUCAAUAAAUUAAUACAAAACUAUGGAGAUUAGAGAGAAUCACUCUCAGUGCUCUCAAUUGACUACCCUAUUGUUGUGCAAAUUUUAAUGAACUCGCAAGCGCACGAAUCUAUUGUAGUAUAGACUAAUGGUGACGAGUGUCGAUCCCACGAGGAGGUGGAUUUUAAUUAUAUAUAGAAUUAAUUUUGUAAAUGGGUGGUUGGAAUUGUGGUGGAAGUGAUUUAAAUUAUCCUAAAAUUGGAAUUGAAAUGGCGAUAAUAAAUUCUAAAAUUGGACUUGCAAUGGCGAGAAUAAAUUGAAGAGAAAUCUAUUAAAAUGACUUAUUUGGGUAUCUGGAUCCGUAUCAACAUGCAUCAUGGGCUAAAUAUUCCUUAUUAAUGCCAAUUAAAUCAUGAGGGGGGAAUCCACACCUCAUGAACCACGCUCUAAUCAAUAUGGUGCUAAGGGCUUAUCGUGCCAAAUAAUAAUAACCUUGUACUAGAGGGCCGGUGAAACCAAGGCGGUACUAGACAAGAUUAGUAUUAUUUGUCGACGAGAAGUCAAAACAUCCACAAAAACUAGAGGGGAAGAGAAAAUAAAUUUACCAAAUUAAGCCCAUGACACAUGUUGAGACUUCACCUUCAACCCAAGCUUGAAAGAAAAUUAGCCACUCAUAAUUGAACUAGGGGCAAAAUGAGAAUUUAUUAAAAUACGAAGAAAAUACAAGAUAAAGAAGGAAUUACAGAAAAUAAAGUCCAAAAAUGGAUUCAGCGAUAUCAAAUUAGGGGGGGGAGGCCCCCUUUUUAUAGAUACAUGGAGUAAAUUAUGGCCAUCGGAUUAAAAACAGUUUGGACGCUCAGGAUUACGCCACGUCAUCAGUCAACAGUCCACGGUUUGACCACGUGGAUGAACAGUAAUACGGUUUGACUCGGAUGAACAGUAACGCGGUUUGGUUGAAAAUAAUCCUGUGUGAUGCAUGUACCGUACGCGAGAUUUUUCGUCCACUGAUAUGCUGCCACGUCACCAUCAACAGUACAUAAGAAUUUUAGCCCAACAGGAUCGUGACACCUCAUCAGUCAAUGCCACAUCAUCAUCUGUCUAUGUGAACAGUGUCGUGAACAGUAACGUAUAUACAGUACCGUACACGUGAAUAGUACCGUACAUGUGAUCAGUGCCAUUUUUCUUUUUAUGCUUCUCCUAAGGUUUUCGACCGUCCUGAGUUCAAAAGUGAUGUCCGUUUUGCCAUCUGAUUUCUCGUUUAUUGUGAAAUGACUAUGAUGCCCCUAAAAUACAUAAAAUACUUAAUUAAAAUAAAACACAUGUAAUUAAAUCACAAGAAAGUUAAAUACAUAAAAGUAAGGGUUGUUAAUAAGACUUGAAAUGUAAAAUGACGGUUUUCUCCUUUAUAAAUAUGCAUUUUCUAACACUCAACACACCCCCCAACCAGUUUAUUGCUAGUCCCUAGCAAAUAAAGCGAAAACAAAAAAAAUAAUUUUUUUUAAUAGAAACACUCAUAUUUAUUCCAUCAGAUUAAUGAUAGCAAUUAAAUAAAAGUAUAAGCAUUAUCUCCAGUCUAAAGCAACAUCACACCCACAUCAACCAUCCACAUGAAUCAGCCCAGUAGACUUUGUCAUAGCUACUUUCAAGAAUGACAUGUCAAACCCCAAACUGGAAGUAGUGACACUCUCACAAAGAAAUUAAAACCAAUAAAAAUAGUCACUCCAAUGAAUGGUAAUUGAGAGAGAAAAUAAUAAAGAAGUGAUAUCACAUGCUCUCACCAAAAUGAAAUAAAUAUGCCCUCAGCUUAGAAAUAAUACGAUCUCAAGUCAAAUAAAAAUGCUAGUUAACCCAAUUUAUUUGUCUUAUUUAUUUAUUUAUUUAUUUUUAUUAUGCAGCACUACAUCUUUUUAGCUCAUAUAACUAGCUUCUACUUCAGACUAUAGUUCCCUAAACUCAAGAAGGACUUUUAUUAGGACGUACCGUAGGUUAGGGACAUGGUUAACAAAGAAGGGAAAUAAGGAAAAUAAAGUGUAUGUUUGAGAAAAAAAAAUUGCAGGGAUUUUUUUUUUUUUGGAAGUUGCAAGGUGGAUUUCACCUAUUGUUGUUAUUUUUUUAUUUUUUAUUUUUCUUUUGAAACAACAAUUUUUGUUUUUUUGUUUUUUGUUUUUUUUUUACUUUUAUUUGGCAUAACUUCACUGAACAAAAAUACUUAUUUACAUUUUUCUCAAACAUAAAUAGGUGAUGGAACUUAUAAGACAUUGGGUAAUACUCCAAAUCGGAGUGGGUCAAGAUAAGUUAAACAAAUAAAAGGUUUUUUUUUUUUUUAAAAAAAGGCUCAAAAUGGUUAACUAUGGAUAUUUCACAAAAGGGAUGGCUAGAAAGGCUCAAACGGAUCAAAGAUGGCCUUUCCAUCGUCUUUUAGGGCUCUAAAUAAUCAUCCAUAUCUACUAGUUAGAUGGGCCUCCCAAUGUAGCAACAUACAUUUUUUUUUCUUUUUCUUUUUUUUUUAUUUUACCAUUUUUUUUAAGGGUUAACUCAAAAGAAAUCUAGAGAUCGUGUAUAAAAUAAUAAACUGCUAAGCUGUAUAGAGAAUGGGCAAAAGGGUUACUCUCCAAGAAAAUGAUAGGCUCAACAACUCACUUGGCAUUUAUUUAUAGCAUGUUCAUUCCUUCAAGCAACUUAUAUUUGUCUCCGACAUCAACAUGUAAAGUAGCAAACAUAGCGUAACAUCACUUAAGACUAAAGAUAAUACAAAUACUAAAAUUUGAAAUUAAUCAUGUCAUCCAAUGUUAAAACAAAUCACACAAAUUAUUAUUAUUAUUUUUUAAACAACAUUCUACCCCCCAACCUAUUCUAAGCAUGAAAGGAAAAUAUGCAUGCAGAAAUGUGAAUAUGAUGCAGAAAAACUAAUUAGAAAAGUUACACUUAAAAUGAUGGAAAACCAAAAUGAUUUUUUUUUUAAAGAAGAUGCGUUUCUAGAGGAACUACACUCCAUAUUCAGCCAUCUUCGACUCACAAGUUGGAAAAUGUAUAUUUAUAGAGGAGAAAUUAAAAAGAAGAAAAAUAAACAUAAAAACAUAAUACAGAAAAAGAAAAUGUCUGAAAUUUUUUUAAUUUUUUUUUAAUUUCUUUAACGAUGAAGAUGCGUUUCUAGAGUAACUAUACUCCAUAUUCAGCCAUCUUCAACACAAAAAGUUAGCAACAGUUAGUUUCUACAACAAAAAAUUAGUAAAAACUUAACCAAAAUUCCACAUUUGUCGACUAUUCCCUCCCCCCAACCAGAACGAAACAUUAUCCUCAAUGUUUUAAAGGAAAGAAGUAGAGUUUAGAAGACAUCACCUGGGUGGUGCAACACAGAAGAAAAUAUUUAUAGGCGGAGAGUUAAAUCUAAUUUUUACUUCUUACUGCGGCUACUGUUACCAUCAUUAUUUGGAGGCUCCAACCCCAACACAAAGGUCUAGGGGUCUGGGUCCGGUUUAUAAGCUUGUAACAGAUCAAGUAGCUCAUUAGCAGUGUGAGCACAAAUAAAGAGUUUUUUCGCAUUAGGGGGAAUGAAAUAGUUUUUUAUUGCAUGGUUAAGAAAUGCGAUAAAGCCAUCAUAAAAGUUAUUGACAUUUAACAAACCGAUGGGUUUCUGGUGGAUGUACAGAUGGGCCCAAGAUGCUAGUGUGAUAAGUGCCUCUAGUGUUGCAAGAUCUCCUGGAAGGAAAAUAAAAGCAUCAGCAUGAUUAAGCAUUUCAGUUAUUCUUUCUUGCAUACCUGAGACGACUAACUCUUCUCCAGUUGAUGAGUCAAACGAACUACCCAAAGGUUUUAGGGCUCUUGGGAUGAUGCCUAACACUUGGCUGCCUCUGAUAAAAGCUGCUUCUGAGACCAUUUUUGUUAACCCUCGAUUACCUCCUCCAUACACCAAGUGUAAUUUUCUCGCUGCUAUGCUGCGACCAAGAUCUAUGGCUGCCUCAACAAACUCUUUAUGUUUGCCAUAUGAAAAUCCAGAAAGCACACAAAUGUUCUUGAAUUGUCUAUUUGGAGUAGCUGCCAUUGGGAUACUUCUCAAAAAAUAAUUUGUUAGUGCUUGACAAAAAAAAUCACAUUUAAGAGUCUUGGUGACAAUGGGUCACAGUUGUGUAUGAGGUAACAUGUCAGUGUCAAAUAACGCGUAAAGCACGUGGCUCGCGAGUCAAAAAGGAAACAGUAAAAAGGGAAAAAGAAAACAAUAAUAAGGAAAAAGCAAACAGUAAUAAAAUUAUUAAAGACAAUAAUGCACACAGUAAAACAAUAGUGAAAUAAAAUAACAGUAAAGUGAAAGGAUAUUUACAGGUAGUUGCGACUGUGGCUCACAUCUUCCUCUGGUUUUACGUCCAGAAACGGCUUGAACGCCCUCUAUGGGUCGAGGAUAGGCUUCAUAUCCAGUUUUCUUAUAAAUUGGCAAACAGGGUCGUUUAUAGUCAGAUUCCCGAGACUAUAUCGUGCAUGCUCUUUCUGGAAUAAUGGCCAUAACUGGAGAAUCGCUCCUUGCACAUAUCCACUGGGAUGCGUUUCAAGAGGCAAAAGGAUAUCAUCCAAUGACUCCUUAUUCAAGCCAUCCUUAAUGAAUUGAAUCUUAUCUUCCCUGUUAUCAGACAUCAUUCCUAAAGAACAUGGGUUUUUAUUGCAACUCAUUCUGGCACACUUAUGACAAGCAACAGAAAUUCUUCGAGCUCGUCAUUUUCUUGCAUAAUUUCCUUUACCACAACCAGGCAUGUAUGUAAUAAAUUUUGGAGGUAACUCACCUGUCGAUCGUACUUUAGCCUCGAUUAACCAACGGAUGUCAGCAGGUAUGUUAUUCCUCAAGAGUAAUCGGAUGCGUUCGGACCGAACUUUAUAGAUCGUAAGGAGGGCACUCUGACGAAGUAAAGGGAAUCGCUUGUGAAGCUUCGCUAGAAUCUCGUUUCUGUCCAUACUUUCGCCUCAGAAUAUUAGUUAUUAUGGGAAACUGAAGUAACCGACUUGAUUGUCACGGAGUACCGUUAUCCGCCACUUCACCGGGGUAACAAACUAAAGCACACAAAUAGAAAAACAAAUUAAAACACACAAAGAAAAUUAAAAUCGUCCUCUUAUUGAAUUUACCUCAAGCUCCAACUGGAUGUCAUAAACACUUCUCUCAAUGUCUCUGAGUUGGCUUUCUAAACCCUCAACAUAGGCUACUAACUCUGGUGGUUGUAGAGUCCAAAUACGAUGUGUUUUACAAAAUUGAAUCUGUCUUUUGAGAUGAGUUUUGACACGUUAAAGUGGUUUAAGAAUGUUCAGGAGGAACGGUCUAAGUAUGAGACUCAUGAUUAACAAUGAUAAGAGAAAACUUACUAGUUAAACAAACACACUUAUGCAAAAAUAAUUUCAAUUAGCAAAAGAAUAAUAUAAAGAAAGAAAGAAAAAUCAAAUCAACGAAAAGAAAAAUCAAUUCAAAUCUGGUGGGUCACUCAAAUUUAUUUCGGUGUCUUCUCCAUGUGGUUGGUAUUCUAGAUAUGGUUUUAAUCUUUGACCAUUAACUUUAAACGUGACACCGUUCUUUGGGUCCUUAAUUUCAAUUGCCCUAUGUGGAAAAAUAGUAUGAACAAUAAAUGGGCCAGACCAACGAGAGCGUAACUUACCUGGGAAUAGGUGCAAACGAGAAUUGAAUAAAAGCACUUUCUGACCUGGAGUGAAAGAUUUUCUCAUAAUUUGCUUGUCAUGGAAGGCUUUCAUUCGUUGCUUGUAAAUCUUGGCAUUUUCGUACGCGUCAUUGCGAAUUUCUUCAAGUUCUGCCAGCUGUAAUCUUCUUUCUGAGCUGGCUUGCUGCAUGUCAAAAUUGAAUUUCUUGAUGGCCCAAUAUGCACGAUGCUCGAGUUCCACAGGUAGGUGGCAAGCUUUUCCAUACACUAGCCUGUAGGGUGACAUCCCAAUCGGGGUCUUGAAAGCCGUUCUAUAUGCCCAUAAUGCACCAUCAAGUCUUAAUGACCAAUCUUUCCUGUCUGGCCUCACUGUCUUUUCUAAUAUGUGCUUUAUUUCUCGAUUGGAAAUCUCAACUUGGGCACUGGUUUGCGGAUGAUACGGGGUCGCCACUUUGUGUGUGAUUGAAUACUUUGUCAAAAGAGCCUUGAAUGGUUUGUUACAAAAGUGGGCACCACCAUCACUGAUUAUUGCUCGAGGGAAUCCAAAGCGCGAAACAAUGUUGCUUUUCAAAAAUCCUAUCACCACCUUGUGAUCAUUGGUCCUACAUGAAAUUGCUUCUACCCAUUUCGAUAUGUAGUCAACAGCAACCAAUAUGUAUUGAUGGCCAAAAGAAUGGGGAAAGGGUCCCAUGAAGUCGAUACCCCAUACAUCAAAAAUCUCAACCACUAAAAUUGGAUUUAGUGGCAUCAUGUUCCUUCGUGUAAUGCUCCCCAUUCGUUGACACCUAUCACAUGAAGAACAAAAAGUGUAAGCAUCUUGAAAUAUAGUUGGCCAAUAAAAACCACAUUGUAAAACUUUAGUUGCUGUUUUCUUAGCACUGAAAUGGCCUCCACAAGCUUGUUCAUGGCAGAAUGAAAGAAUAUUCUGAAUUUCAUUUUCUGGGACAUAUCGUCUAACAAUUUGGUCUGCACAAUACUUGAACAAAUACGGGUCAUCCCAAAAGAAAUUCUUUAUCUCUGCAAAUAAUUUAGCCUUAUCUUGCUUGGUCCAAUGCUCUGGAAGUUUACCUGUAACAAGAUAAUUAACUAUAUCACCAUACCAAGGCAAUACUUCCGCACUCAUUAAUUGUUCAUCUGGAAAUGACUCAUUCAAUAUUAAUGGCUCUGUAAUUGUGUCAAAAUGGAGACGAGAGAGGUGGUCCGCCACAACAUUUUCUGUCCCUUUCUUAUCUUUGAAUUCCAAGUCAAAUUCCUGCAAAAGUAACACCCAAUGAAUUAGUCUGGCUUUUGCAUAUUUCUUUAUGAGAAGAUAUUUAAGAGCAGCAUGAUCCGUGAAUAUAAUUAUUUUACAACCAAUGAGAUAGGAUCGAAAUUUUUCCAAUGCAAACACUACUGCUAGCAUUUCUUUUUCAGUAGUUGAAUAAUUCAACUGGGCAUCAUUUAAUGUCAUACUAGCAUAGUAAAUAACGUGGGGAAUUCGAUCAACUCUUUGUCCUAAUACUGCUCCUACUGCAUAAUCAGAUGCAUCACACAUGAGCUCAAAUGGUAAGUUCCAGUUCGGGGACUGAAUGAUGGGUGAUGAUGUCAAUAAAUGCUUUAAUUUUUCAAACGCAACAAGACAUGAAUCAUCAAAGACAAAAGGUACAUCCUUAGCAAGUAGAUUGCAUAAGGGUCUAGAAACUUUGCUAAAAUCUUUAAUGAAACGUCUAUAGAAACCAGCAUGCCCAAGGAAAGAUCUUACUUCUCUGACUAUUUUGGGUGGAGGAAGAUUAGAAAUGAGAUCCACUUUAGCUUUGUCAACCUCAAUACCAUUGCUCGAAAUAAUGUGACCAAGAACAAUACCUUGUUUUACCAUAAAAUGGCACUUCUCCCAAUUUAAGAUCAAGUUCUUCUCAAUACAUCUCUGCAGAACUAGUGUUAGAUGAUGUAAACAUUGAUCAAACGAAUCACCAAAGACAGAAAAGUCAUCCAUAAAGACUUCAAGGAAUCGUUCAACCAUAUCAGAAAAAAUGCUCAACAUGCAUCGUUGAAAUGUAGCAGGUGCAUUACAUAAUCCAAAUGGCAUUCUCCUAUAUGCAAAAGUGCCAAAAGGGCAAGUGAAAGUGGUUUUCUCCUGAUCUUUUGGUGCUAUGGGGAUCUGAUUAUAUCCUGAGUAGCCAUCUAAAAAGCAAUAAAAUUCAUGACCUGCUAAUCUAUCAAGCAUUUGAUCAAUAAAUGGUAAAGGAAAAUGGUCUUUACGUGUGACAGAAUUCAACUUUCUAUAAUCAAUGCAUACACGCCAUUCUGUAGUUACUCUAGUUGGUAUCAAUUCAUUAUCAGCAUUCAUAACUACUGUGACUCCUGACUUUUUAGGGACAACUUGUACAGGACUGACCCAUGAACUAUCAGAAAUUGGGUAAAUGAUACCUGCGUCUAAUAGCUUAAGGACUUCAGUUCUAACAACUUCUUUCAUAUUAGGAUUUAACCGACGUUGCAUUUCCCUAGUAGAUUUAGCAUUUUCAUCGAGGUGAAUGUAAUGCAUGCAGUCUACUGGGUUUAUACCUUUCAUGUCUGCUAUAGUCCAUCCUAAUGCUCCUUUGUGCUCUUUUAAAACAUCCAACAACUUACCUUUUUGUUCGUCAUUGAGGGAUGAUGAGAUGAUUACCGGCAGAGUGCUUUCUUCUCCCAAAAAUGCAUAUUCCAGAGUGUUGGGUAAUGGUUUGAGCUCGAGUUUCGGUGGUGAUUCUGAUGAUGGGAUGAGUUUCUUCUCUGAUGGUGCUAGUUGUUCAACUCUUGACUUCCAUUUAUUAGUGUCCAUGGAUGGUGCUAAGUCAAGUAGGGCAUUGACCUCAUCGACCGAUCUGUUAAUAUUAAAAUCAAAACCAAAGUGAGUUAAACAUGUUUGUAAAGGAUCAUCACUAAGGUUUGAAAGAAAAGUGUUAUCAACUAUUGUUUCAAUUAAAUCCACAUCAAUAAUUCCAUCAUCUGCAUUGUGAGGUUGUUUGGCAAUGUUGAAGAUGUUCAGUUCCAUAGUCAUAUUGCCGAAGGACAACUGCAUAUUUCCAGUUCUGCAUUGAAUGUGAGCAUCCGCAGUUGCCAAGAAAGGUCGGCCUAGGAUAAUGGGGAUGUGCUUCCUUGAAUCCUGUAUUGGUUGAGUGUCAAUUACAAUGAAAUCAACAGGAAAAUAGAACUUGUCUACCUGGAUAAGCACGUCCUCCACAAUACCACGAGGUAUUUUUGUGGACCAAUCUGCAAGUUGUAACACCAAUGGAGUUGGGUGUAAUUCUCUCAAUCCAAGUUUCACGAAUACUGAAUAAGGCAACAGAUUUACACUAGCUCCUAAAUCCAACAAAGCAUUCUCAAUUGUGUGGUUCCCUAUACUGCAUGAGAUAGUGGGGGAGCCUGGGUUUUUGCAUUUUAAAGGAAUUUUAUGUUGGAGUAUAGAACUAACGUUUUCUGUUAAAAAUGCCUUCUUUUGAACAUGUAUAUUUCUCUUUUUAGUACAAAGGUCUUUAAGAAACUUGGCAUAAGAUGGAACUUGUUUAAUAGCAUCAAGCAAAAGGAUGUUAACACUUACCUGUUUGAAGAUUUCAAGAAUCUCACCUGUGGAUUUUCCCUUUUUUCCUUUAGCUAAUCUCUGAGGAAAUGGAGCUUUGGGAACAUAUUCCCGUGGGUUGGUUUUUUCUUUCUCCUCCGGUGAUGAGUCCUCAAGACUCACAUGUACAAUUUGAUUUUCUUUUGUCACCGACAUCUCCACUUUGUUGUCGACUUCUUUUCCUUUUCUCAAGGUCAUAACUGCUUUGACUUCUCCAUGCUGUUGUAGUGAACUGGUACUUGCUUCAUGCACUCCUUUAGGAUUAGGCACUGGUUGACUUAGAAAUUUACCUUUCCCAACAGUCAUUGCCAAGGUCUGAACUGAAGAAGCCAGUUGUCCCACCAUCUUCUCGAGGCUUGAAACUGAUUGGGCUUAUGAGUUGAAGCCCGCUCUCAAUUCAUUUCGUAGUCCAUCAAUGGUGCGGUUCUGUUGCUCAAUCGUGGAGUGAAUAACAUUCUUGAAAUUCUGGAAUGCAUCCUCCCAUGGUCUGGGUUGAGAGUAGUUCUGGUUUUGAUUGUAUGGACUAAAUGGGGGCUGAGAGGCUUAAGGAUUUUGUGGAAUUUGUUGCAUUGGUGUAGCUGGAGCUGCUGGUCCAUUCUGUUGGAAUCCUUGAGACCAUGAAAAAUUAGGGUGGUCUCUCCAUCCAGGGUUAUAUGUGUUGGAGUAUGGGUUGUAAUUUGAUGGCUUUCUCAUUACACCUAUGGCAUUGGCUUGAUCUGAGUAUAAGUCAUGGUCAUGUGGCUCUGUUGAUUUAGCAGUCGAUAACGAUGCUAUUUGUCGAGCAAGACCUUCAACCAUCUCCUUGACUUCUUUGAUUCCCGAAGUUGACUCGCCAAUUUGAACCUCAUUCACUCCUUUAAUUCUUCUAGUAUUCCGGAGUGAUCGACUCCGUUGUUGGGAAUUAUCCGCUUGUCGUUGAAAGAAUUCCCAAAUCUCUGAUGCACUUUUUGACAUUAGCUCUCCUCCACUUGUUGCCAUUAGCCAUUCCUGCACAUUCGGCAAUAAUCCCUCCAAAAAGUAUUGGCAUUGGUGCCAUUUCUCGUACCUAUGAUGUGGACACUUCAAGAGUAGCCAAUUGAAUCGUUCCCACGUUUCGAAAAACUACUCGUCUUCUCUCUGUGUAAACUCUGAAAUUUCCCUGCGAAUAGCAUUGGUUUUAUGCACUGGGAAAUAUUUAUUCAAAAAUUUUGUAACCAUUUGUUCCCAUGAUGUGAUGCUAUUAGCAGGCAAAGUAUUUAACCAUGAACGAGCUCUAUCCUUUAAAGAAAAUGAGAAUAAUCUGAGUUUAACAUCAUCGUUUGAAAAAUUUUCAUAUUUAAAAGUUUGACAAAUUGCAUGAAAAUCAUUCAGAUGAUUAUAUGGGUCCUCAUUUUCUAGGCCAUAAAAUGUUGGGAGACAAUUUAGCACACUGGGUUUUAAUUCAAAACUUCUAGCAGCUACAUUUGGGUAUCUUAUGCAUGAUGUGCUCAAAUUAGCUAAGGGACUAAAAUAGUCCUUAAAUGGCCUCUCUUGUGGUGCUUGUAAAUCCAUUCCAAUUUUAUUUUUAAUGUGCUUUUGUGUGCGAAGUAUUUUUCAAGUUCAAGGUCUAUAGGUUCAAGAUUGGGUAAUAAUGACCUUCGACCAUGCAUGCAAAACAAAUAAAAUAAAAAAUAAAGAUGGGAACAAAAUAAAUAAAAAUAAAGAAAAAGAAGAAAUUACGAUACUAACCUUAUUGCGCUAUUACAACCUUUCUAUAAAAAUACACAAAAAUAAAUACGUGAAAUAAAUUAACUAAAAAUUAAAUUAAUUAAAUAAAAAAAUUACAAAGAAAAAUAAAUUGAAAAUUAAAUCACAGAAUUUUAAAGAAGAGAAAAAGAAAAGAAAUACUAACCUUUAAAUGUAGAUUCACUUUUUUUUUCUUUUUUUUUAAUAAAAAUAAAAAAAUACAAGAAAACAAAUAAAAGAAAUUAUUCACAAAAAUUAAUUCUAUGAAUUAAAAGUACUUACCUCCCCGGCAACGGCGCCAAAAACUUAUUGUGCAAAUUUUAAUGAACUCGCAAGCACACGAAUCUAUUGUAGUAUAGACUAAUGGUGACGAGUGUCGAUCCCAUGAGGAGGUGGAUUUUAAUUAUAUAUAGAAUUAAUUUUGUAAAUGGGUGGUUGGAAUUGUGGUGGAAGUGAUUUAAAUUAUCCUAAAAUUGGAAUUGAAAUGGCGAUAAUAAAUUCUAAAAUUAGACUUGCAAUGGCGAGAAUAAAUUGAAGAGAAAUCUAUUGAAAUGACGUACUUGAGUAUCUGGAUCCGUAUCAACAUGCAUCAUGGGCUAAAUAUUCCUUAUUAAUGCCAAUUAAAUCAUGAGGGGGGAAUCCACACCUCAUGAACCACGCUCUAAUCAAUAUGGUGAUAAGGGCUUAUCGUGCCAAAUAAUAAUAACCUUGUACUAGAGGGCCGGUGAAACCAAGGCGGUACUAGACAAGAUUAGUAUUAUUUGUCGACGAGAAGUCAAAACAUCCACAAAAACUAGAGGGGAAGAGAAAAUAAAUUUACCAAAUUAAGCCCAUGACACAUGUUGAGACUUCACCUUCAACCCAAGCUUGAAAGAAAAUUAGCCACUCAUAAUUGAACUAGGGGCAAAAUGAGAAUUUAUUAAAAUACGAAGAAAAUACAAGAUAAAGAAGGAAUUACAGAAAAUAAAGUCCAAAAAUGGAUUCAGCGAUAUCAAAUUAGGAGGGGGAGGCCCCCUUUUUAUAGAUACAUGGAGUAAAUUAUGGCCAUCGGAUUAAAAACAGUUUGGACGCUCAGGAUUACGCCACGUCAUCAGUCAACAGUCCACGGUUUGACCACGUGGAUGAACAGUAAUACGGUUUGACUCGGAUGAACAGUAACGCGGUUUGACUCGGAUGAACAGUAACGCGGUUUUGUUGAAAAUAAUCCUGUGUGAUGCAUGUACCGUACGCGAGAUUUUUCGUCCACUGAUAUGCUGCCACGUCACCAUCAACAGUACAUAAGAAUUUUAGCCCAACAGGAUCGUGACACCUCAUCAGUCAAUGCCACAUCAUCGGUCAAUGCCACAUCAUCAUCCGUCUAUGUGAACAGUGUCGUGAACAGUAACGUAUAUACAGUACCGUACACGUGAAUAGUACCGUACAUGUGAUCAGUGCCAUUUUUCUUUUUAUGCUUCUCCUAAGGUUUUCGACCGUCCUGAGUUCAAAAGUGAUGUCCGUUUUGCCAUCUGAUUUCUCGUUUAUUGUGAAAUGACUAUGAUGCCCCUAAAAUACAUAAAAUACUUAAUUAAAAUAAAACACAUGUAAUUAAAUCACAAGAAAGUUAAAUACAUAAAAGUAAGGGUUGUUAAUAAGACUUGAAAUGUAAAAUGACAGUUUUCUCCUUUAUAAAUAUACAUUUUCUAACACUCAACACCUAUCCUGUAAAUACAAAAGUAAAUUUAGUAAAUUAAUGAGGAACUGUGUAUGUGUGAAAUUAAAAAUAGUGCUUUUGAUUUGUAAUCAUAUCUUUUAUAGGAUAUAUUCAUUGUCUACAUAUUUUAAUUUAUGUGUAGAAAAUUAGAUAUAUUCAAUGUCUAAUCUGAUUCUACACAAAGACUAAUGCCCCAAGAUUGUGUAGGGGUGUUCAUAAUCCAAUCCGAUCCGCUCAAUCCGUCUGAUCCGUGAAAAUCCGAUCCGUGGAUCCGUGAAUUGGAUAUGGAUUGAAAAUUUAAAAAUCCGCAGUCGAUGGAUUGGAUAUGGAUUUACUUCUAUAAAUCCGUAAAAAUCCGUGAAUCCGCAAAAUAUAUAUAUAUAUAUAUAUAUAUAUACAUUUAUUUAGUUAAAAAAUUAUUAUAAAUUUAAUUAAAGAAUAUUAUAAAUGUGACAUUACAUAGUUACAUAAGCACUAUAAUAUGUCUUAGCUAUUACCCAAUAAUAAUAUUAAAUAAUUAAAUAAUCAAAUAUACAAAUAUAACUUGUAAAAAUUGUAAAACAAAAUAAAAGCAAAGUCACACGCACUAGCAAAAACAAAGUAACAUAACGCCAAGUUACCAACAAUUUGCAAAGUCACCCAAAAGCAAAGUAACAUAACACCAAGUCACCAACAAUUUGCAAAUAAAAAACCUUAAGCUUCCUUGUUGUCACAUGCAAUAGCAACACUCAAUACUGGUUCGAUACACUCUCGACACUGAUUUGAAGGACGUCGGCCGCACGAUUCCAGCAAGAGCAAGCCAUCUUCUUCCCCGAGCCCAUCGAGCCACUUCACAAUCACUGGUUCCAGCCAAACAAUUGCACUAUCACAACCUUCAAGAUCAUCACCCGUACUUCUCCUAGUUCCAAUAGUUGACGGCUCCAUAAUCACCACUUUUCGACAAGUAUAACAGCCCUGGUGAAGGAUCAUACUGUGUUUGGUUUCAGAAACUUCACCAUUUCAAUUAAUUGUGACUUUAUUUGAAUAAUUAAUUUCGGUGUUAUAUUAAUGUAUUAUUGUAACUUUAUUUGAACAAUUAAUCUCGAUGUACUAUAUUUUGAAACUUUGAAUGUAUUAUUUUAGUUUUAUUUAAAUAAUUAAUUUGUUUAAAAUUUAUUCAAUUUUAAAUUUAAUUGGUAAUAAAAUUAUUUUUAUAUUAGAUUUUUUUUUUAAUUUCAUUAGUUCAUGGAUUGGGGAGAACUAAAAAUUUUUAAUUCGGAAGCUAAUGCGUAAAAUGGUGGAUUGGAUAUGGAUUAAGUUAAAUCCGCAUCCGAUCCGCAUACGUAUGGAUUGGAUAUGGAUUGAGUCAAAUCCGCAUCCGAUCUGCAGACGUAUGAAUUGGAUUUGGAUUGAGUUUAAUCAAUCUGUGGAUUGGAUUGGAUUGAAAAAUUAUAAUCCGCAAAAUUGUGGAUCGGAUAUGGAUUGAUGUCCAAUCCGUAAAAUCUGAUCCGCGAACAUCCCUAAGAUUGUGAUUGAAAUGCUAUAAGCAACUUAUUUUAUAAGUUUAGAUAAAAAUGAAGUUUGAUGGCUUUGUUAAAAGUUGCUUCUUUUAUAAUUUUCUCUAUUUUGACUGUAACUUUUAAAAACAGAACAAACAUUAUUUUUAUAAGCAACUUAUUAAACAAGUUGCUAUAUCUUUUUAAAUAUUCAUAUUAUAACCUUAAUAUUUUAAGAAAAGAAUAAUUAUAUCUUACUUUUCUAUAAGCUCUAAUAUAUAAAUAAAAGACAAUUUAAACUCAUGUUUAUUUUAGUCAUUAAAUAAUACAGCACAUUCAUAGUCAAAUUUACUAAACAUGAGCAAGAUACUUUUUUAAUCAUCAACUUAUUUCGUUCUCACAAUAGAAAUAACUUAUUUUAUCAUCCACUGCCAUCCUAAACUUGAUGUUAAGUCACGUUUGGGAUUGCAUUAGAUUGUCAAAUAAUCUAGAGAAAUAGCUAUUAAGGACGAAGAAUAGGAAGAGGUUCGCCAUAAGCAAUAUACUCGCAAGCUUGGCUACUAAUAAACAGAGCAUACAAGCUUAAACACCUAAUAUAUAUAUAUAUAUAUAUAUAUAGUAGUUUUUUGGCACAGGAUCUUAAAGUGCGGGAAACAUUAGGAAAAACUUUAAAACCGCGGGGUUUUAAAGGCUUAAUACUUAAAGCACUUAAACUGCACGGUUUAUGCGUUUUCCCAGACGUUCCCACACUUUAAAAUUCUAAAUUAGAAUAUUUUUAUGUGUGUGUGUGUGUGUGUGUGGAGGGCAAAUCUUUAACUACCUCCGGCUUAAAGGACCUAUACAGUAACUCUUAAAUCAAAGAGAGAAAAUAGUUAAUUCAAUCUGAUUGAAUAUGAAUUGAUAUUCACCAUAUGAUAAUUACAUAAAGAUUGAGCCUUAAGUGUUUUACAUUAAGUAAUACUGCACUGCACACUUGUUCUACACAUUUAGACAACCCAGAUUAAGAAUAAUGAAAAUGAACUCUUAAACUAGCUAGGUGCUCUAUUAUUUAUCUUUGCUCCAUAAAUAUUAGAAAGAUAGAGGAGAGGAAGAAAAAGAAAAGACUAAUUUUGCAGUCCCAAUUUAAUCUUAUGCUCUGAUUUUGAAGCAAAUCUGCAGAGUAUUUAAGGAUCCAAUCAUGAACCAUGUCCACUUCAAUCUUUCGCUGCAUUACUAACCCCUCUGGAUCAUCUUCUGUUGCUGGCUGUAUGUCUAAGCAAUGGGAACCUGCUCUAAUUUACACAUUAUUAAUUAUGUUAUCCAAUAAUUUAGUUAAUAAUUGAACACUAAUUUUUUAUUUUAUAGAAAAAUUUACAUACUGUUUCUUAUUGUCACUGCUAUUAUAUUGUCUGAUAUCUUCCAAAACCCUAUAAUCUCCCCCCCACCAAAAAAAAAGAAGAAAAAGAAUAAGGCAUAUAAUUAAACGGGUAACUUCGAUAGAAAAGAGUGUACAAAAUUUUUAAGCUUAAUUAAUUACCCAGCGCUGCUAUAGGGAUCACGAAAGCCAUUAGAGAAAAUAAGGCUGCUACCAAAUCUCUUUACAACCACUCUUAUACCCUGCAAAUUAAAAAGAAAUAAAAAUCGAACAAAAAUUGAGAUAAAAUUUAUAAUUAAAAAAGAAAAUGAAAAAAAUUAAAUUAUUAAAAGAAUUAAUUUGGGGAUUAAUUGACACUUACAUGACUACCGUAAUAAGUUGUAAUCCAAUGUGGUAUUGGAGCCACUCCAUAAGACUUAUUGCAUGAAUUCAUAUAUUCUAUCGUCUGCUUGAAAAUUGUAUUAUUUUUUUCAAUUCCAAUUGAUGAGACCAUUUCACUGCAUGUCUGCAUGAGAAAUCCCCCCCUCCCAAAACAAAAAAAAAAAUCAUAAUAAAUAAAUAACUAAAUAAAGGAGAAAACUAUUUUUAAUCAUUCAUAAAUAUGUAGUCUCAUAAAUAAAAUUAAAAGAUGUACAUAAAAUAGGUAUUGUUAGCUAGGUGAGAGAUUCAUUCAUCGCAACAUGUUGUUUGUUUGACGAUCUCAAUAGAAGUAUCUAAUGAAAUCAUGUCACCCGUAAUCACAUACCUGCCAGCCUCAGCUCGAGUCUAGUGUUUCAUCGGAUAAGAAUUCAUCAACAUCAUGGCAAGAAUUCUCCCAUCUUAAAGCAACAAUUCCUGAGAAUAUCCGGCCUAGGGUAUCCGUGCCUUCUGAAGCUCCAUGGAUACCUUCACAAGCUUUGCUCACUGGAUAUUCCUGAGGAUCAUCAUACUGAGCUGCACCCGUAUACAUACACUCUAAAUAAUCCUUCAAUUCUGAAACAUCCUUCAGAGGCUUGUAAUCAAAUAAACAACAACAACAUAGAAUUAAGUGCCACAAGGUUAGUAACAUUAUAAAAGAUCUUUCAACAAGCCGUCUAAAACAUGUUGUUAUAUUUAGUUAGAUUACAAUAAACUUUAUAAGUAUGAAGCUAUUGAUAUUAUCAAAUGCAAACGUACAAAUUUGGCCUUAUUUGAUAAUCAGAGUUGUGCGUGGUUUUGUAGUUCAAAUUUAGAUUCUGUAAGAUACGAACCUUUGGAGGCCUGAAUCUAAGCACCAGUAUACUAUAUAUAUAUGGUAAUGCAAAGGCCGUGUAUAAGCCCAAAUCCAGAUUUUUACUUUGUAUAUUACACGUUAAUCGAAAUGUAUAUAUACUCUGAGGAUGACAGAUAAUUAAUUAGACAUAGUAUAUUCGAUAAUGAUGCUACAAUAACAUUGCAUUAAUUGUAAUUAAGGGAAAAUCGGAUGGAUAUAUAUAAGCAGUUAUGUAAAGUAAUAUGAUUACUUUCUUGCAGGUUUUGAACUUUUUAGAGAGAAAAGCAAGUCCAUUUUUUCUAGCAGCGGUUUUAUCCAUUUCAGCCCAGGACUGUUUGAUGGUCAUGUAGCAGCUCUCCCUGGCUUCUUGCAUCAUUAAUUUUCAAAAUUUAAUGGAUUAAUUUUCAAAAUUUAAUGGUUAAAUUUUAACAAGAAAACACAAUCAUACAUAUAUAGAAUUUUAAUUAAUUAAUUUUAUUUCUUACCUUAAAGUCAUUGGUGACAAGAUCAUAAUAUGUGUUUGAGUGUGUGAUAUUAUCAAAAUAGAUAAUUGGGGCGGACGACGCAACUACUCCCAAAGCACUGUAAGAUGGUUAUUUUUUAAAACGUAAUUAUCUUAAAUAUAUUUAUUAUUUCUUAGUUUUACGAUUGCUGAAAGUAUUCAUUAAUUGGAAUGCAAAAUAAAUUUGUAUCAAAAUAAUAUUGGCGUAAUCAAUAUUUUGGUCAAACGAGAUCAAAAUGAAUAAAAUGAUGCAAUAAAUGACACGACAUUAAUCAAAAGAUGUAAGUAACUUAAUAAUAUUAAAAUUUACUUCCUCCAUAAGAUGCUGUCAAAUAAAGUGGCCAUUUAGAUGGUCUAAAGCAGCCAUCUAGAUGAUCAACAACAAUUUUGUUCAAAGAAGACGAAGAAUUUUGCAGCAAGUUUGAAAGAAAAAGAAGCACACGGCUUUAACAUUUGAAAGAAGAAAAAGAAGGUAAAAAAUAAUAUAGAAUUGAUGAAUAGUGCCAAAGCUUUCUCUAUAAAUAGAAACGAAGAGAAUGGGCAAAUGCAUUCCAUUUAGAAAGCAAUUUAGGGAGUUGAGAGAGAGUUCAAGAGCUUGCAUUUAUAAGUUCUUGUUACAGUGAUUGAGAGAGUUUGGGUGUAUUGGGGUUUUUGGGAAGUGAGCUAAAAUACUACAAUACUUGUAACUCUUUUUCACUAGUAAAAUAUUUCCUUCUGUCUUCGCCCGUGGAUGUAGGCUAAAAGCCGAACCACGUAAUUUUUGGUGUCCUCUAUUGUACUUGUUCUUUAUUUUCCUUCUAAUUUCAUUUUAGCUGCGGUCUUACUUCACCCUCCAAUCCUAACAGUGGUAUCAGAGCUAUUGGUUGUAUUUUUUAGAGUCAGGAACUGUUCACGUAAGGGGUACUAUUCACAUAUACGGUACUGUACACAUAUACAAUACUAUUCACGUAUACGGUACUAUUCACGUGAAACGGUGGAAGUGAUCCAAGAAUUUUGUGGUGCAAAGCAGGAAAUAGUGGUGUGAGUAAAGCAACUGUGUGAUUUUGUACAUGUCUAGGAAAGUUCUGUCACAAAGGCGAUAAGAGCUUAAGGAGUCUGGGUUUUAAGUGGGACCAUUGUGACCCCUCCAGUCUUUCCUGGGAACUUUCCUGGUGUGCAUUCUCACACAUACUCACAACUAUUCAAGGUGGUACACUAACUUGUGUGCAAUAUUUAUCAACAAAAUGGUGGCAAAGUAUGAAAUUGAGAAGUUUAACGGAAAUAAUUUUUCGUUGUGGAAAAUAAAGAUGAAAGCUGUAUUGAGGAAAAAUAAUUGUUUGGCAGCAAUUGGAGAAAGGCCCAUGGAGAUAACUGAUGACAAGUGGAACGAGGUAGACGGCAACGCCAUUUCUGAUCUACACUUGGCACUUGCGGAUGGAGUAUUAUCCAGUGUGGCAGAGAAAAAUACGGCGAAGGAAAUAUGGGAUACUCUCACAAAAUUAUACGAGGCCAAGUCACUACACAACAAAAUCUUCUUGAAAAGAAAACUCUAUACUCUUCGAAUGGCGGAAUCUACAAUGGUGACCGACCACAUCAACACAUUGAAGACUCUAUUUUGGGUCAUAAUAUAGAGGAAAAUGAGCGUGUAGAGCUUCUAUUUCAAAGUCUACCAGAUUCGUAUGAUCAACUCAUCAUCAACCUGAUGAACAACAAUCCAGUGGAGAGUCUAGUUUUCGACGAUGUUGCAGCCUCCGUAUUAAAUGAGGAGAGCAGGCGGAAAAAUAAGGAAAACAGACAAGCAAGUUCGCAGCAAGCGGAGGCGCUAUCGGUGACGAGAGGGAGAUCAACAGAACGUGGCCCCAGUAGGAGUCAAAAUUAUGGUAUAUCAAAAUCCAGAAGUAAGAAGAAUGUUAAAUGCUACAACUGUGGCAGGAAAGGGCACGUCAAGAAAGAGUGUUGGAGUAACCAGAAGAGAAGAGAUGGUAAAAAACAUGAGUCAUCAAAUGCUCAGGGGUGUGUAGCAAGUACCUCGGAUGAUGGCGAAAUACUCUACAGCGAGGCAAUAACUGUUUCAGAAGGCAGAAAACGACUAUCUGAUGUCUGGCUUAUAGACUCAGGAGCUACCUGGCACAUGACCUCUCGGAGAGAAUGGUUCCACACAUAUGAACCUAUCUCAGGAGGAUCUGUAUAUAUGGGUAAUGAUCAUGCCUUGGAGAUCGUUGGUAUUGGUACUAUCAAAAUUAAAAUGUUUGAUGGUACAAUUCGCACAAUUGGAGAGGUACGACAUGUCAAUGGCCUGAAGAAAAAUCUAUUGUCUUUGGGACAAAUGGAUAGUCAUGGGUACAAGACUCAUGUGGAGAAUGGAAUUAUGAAGAUCGUUAAAGGCGCGCUUGUAUUGAUGAAGGCAGAAAAGAUCGGUGCUAAUCUAUUCAUGCUUAAAGGAGAAACACUAUAGGAGGCUGAUGCGUGUGUCGCGUCAAAUGGAGAAGAGUCAACGAUGAUGUGGCAUCUCAAACUUGGUCACAUGUCAGAACAAGGUUUGAAGAUUCUCUCUGAGCGAAAAUUACUUCUGGGGCUCAAAUCGGUAAGUUUACCAUUUUGCGAGCAUUGUGUUACAAGUAAGCAGCAUAUAUUAAAAUUCAGUAGAUCUAUUGCUAGAAGUAAAUGCAUUCUAGACUUGAUUCAUUCUGAUGUUUGGGAAUCACCGGAUAUAUCCAUGGGAGGUGCAAAGUACAUGGUGACUUUCAUUGAUGAUUAUUCCAGAAGAUGUUGGGUGUAUCCAAUUAAGAAAAAGUCAGAUGUAUUUCUAGUGUUUAAAGAAUACAAAGCGCGGGUGGUGACACAACUUAAAAGUAAAUUUUAACUCCCAAGUAUAAGAGUGUCUUGUUGUAUUAUAACUCGGUGAGUCCGAGGUCGAUCCACAGAGAAAAGAUUUAAUUAGUUUAUUUUAUUUUAUCUAAAAAUUGAAAUUAAAACUUGAAUAUAAACAACUUAAUUUAAAUGAAACUAUGGAAUUGAACUAGUUAGGGUUAUGGAUCCACUCUUAGAAAUAAAUAAAACUUAAUAAAUUCUUUUUGCCAAUUUAUUUUAGAUUUAUUACCCAAAAGAUUAAUUAUACAAAUUAUUAUUAUUUUCCCUUUAAUUUUAUGAUGGAUUAAGUAUUUAUUGUGCCAAAAUUUAAUUUGUCUACAAUAAGGCAAAAUACCAUUUCACCAUGCCUUAUAUUAAGAUCUUAAGAAUUUAUUGUGCCAAAUUCAUUUGUUUGUCUACAAUAAAUCAAAAUUUCAAAAUAUAAAACAUGUAUAAAAUUAAAUAGAAAAUAAUUUAAUUUAUAAAAUUAAACAUAGAAUUUGAUUAAAUCAUAUUUAUUUCUUAAGAGUUUCACCUUCCCCUAACUAAUAUUAUUUAGUUAAGCAUAAUUAAAAUAAAAAGUAGUAAAAUUGAAUUACUUGUAAUUAAAAGAAAUAAAAACAACUAAAAUUGGAAAUAAAACUAAUUUUAUUAAUGAAAAUAAUUAUACAAAAUAUUAAAAACACACCUGGAAAUCAAGAUUACAAGGAGAUGGAGAGAAUUUGAGAAGAAGAGAGUUGUAGAGAGAUGAUUAAAACAUAAAAAUGAGGCCUUAUUUAUAGAAAAAUAAAUUCAUAAUCCAGUGCUUUGUGGUCCAUCAUAGGCUUCAUGCAUGUGCUCCUCACAACCCUUAGAUCAAGAUCCAAUGGCUGGUCAAACUUCAAAAGUCAACAUCACACAUGGCAUCAUUUGACUCGUCCGAUUUGCCCAAAGAACGGUUGAGAUUUGGCGGGUUAAUGGGUGGAUCGGGUCGACCCGAAUACAAAGAUUCGGAUCCUCCAACUUGCUUCACCAACCAUUGCCACGUGGCACAAUCAUGGCCAUUGAAUGAUGAACGGUUGAGAUUUAGUCAAGAUUGCCAGUUAUCCCAUGCACUCAUAUCUAUUGUAAGCUCAUUUCAUCAUCCAAUCAGUGCUCGGUCAACAGGAAAAGUCAACUUUUUUUACACAAGCCCAAUUUUAAGCCGAUCUUGACUGAUCUUAAGGUUUUCGGACCUCCGGAAUCCAAAUUUGACCUCCGUUUAUUUGUUUGGAGCCUCGAAGUACGUGAAAUUAAUAAUUUUCCUAAUAAACACAUAAAAAUACACAAAAUUAAAUAUAUUUAAAACAUAAUUAAUAAUUCAUAAUAUAUUACAUAAACACAAAUAUAAAUUAUAACAUAAGCAUAAAAUAACAUAUUAUCGCUUGAUAACUAAACAAUUUUUAAUACUAAUCACACCCCCCAACCAGCUUAUUGCUAGCCCUCUAGCAAUUAAAGCGUUAUAUUAAGAUUUAUAAAAUUCACAUGCAAGUUAAUAGUUGUUCAUCUAUCCUCUAAAUUACCAAAUAAAUGAACUCUCCCAAAUUCCUUUACCACAUUGAUGUUCACUCAUUAUCCAGAAUAUCAUCAAACCUUCUUUUGUGCUCAAGUAAUUAACACAAUACUUAUGGGGCUUCAUUAAAAGAAAAACAACAUUUUCGUUCUAAAAUUCAUUAGAAAUUAUAUCUUUAGGCAAUAGAUUAUUCACACAUUUUUUUUUUAUAUUACAUUUCUAACCCGUUUAGCAAGCUUUAGGUCAGUGACUCCCAGACCAGUUGGCCUUAGGGCACUAGGUGUUGAAGCACCCCUACGGACUUAAUUACUCGGGUUUCUAAUAAACAAACAAUAUAUCUAUUACCCAUGUAGCGAGCUUUAGGCCAGUGACUCCCAGACCAGUUGACCUUAGGGCACUAGGUGUUGAAGCACCCCUACGGACUUAAUUACUCGGGUUUCUAGAUAUAACAAAAUUAAAAACAUUUUUUCUUCUUCUUUUUUUUUGAUUUUUUUUUUUUGGUUUUUUUGUUUUUUUGUUUUUGGAAAUAUACACUUUCUACUACCUUAGAUACUAUUCCUAAUAAAUCAAAAGAACUAAAUGCUGUAAAACUUUAACUUACAACCCACUAGUAUGUGUCAUAGUGUGUGUGUGAAGAAUGAUUCAAUAAUACCUGUUAAAUGAGUAAACAAUUAAAUAACUUAAUAACCAAGUGGAGAGUUCACAAAUUUGAGUAAUUCAAAGAAAAGGGAACAAAAACAACUUACUAUGAAUCUCAAAAUCAAAAUAUAAUACAACAAGACUAUUAGGAUGCGUCUCAAAAGUCGUGACUCUUUACACGGCCAUCCUAGACAAAAAACAAAUUUUUUUUUUUUUGGUUUUUUUUUUAACAAAGAAAAGAAAAGAGAAAAGAGAAAAACAACACACAUAUUUAAAAUAUACGUCAAUUAUCCCCACCCCACAACCUAAUCUAAACAUUAUCUUAACAUUUUAUAAUUUUACAGAUAUGCAAAAAAAUAAAAAUAAAAGAGAAUAAUAAAAGAAGAAGAAGAAGAGAUCUCACCUGAACUUGAUGCAGAAGCUUAAAAGCAAAUAACAAAGAUGAAGAAAGAGUCAAUUUUUUUUUUUAACAACACCCUUAAGAUUAAGAAGAUGCGUUUCUAGAGAGACUACAUUCUCUAUAUCCUGCCAUCUUCGACUCAAAUUUGUCCUAAGUUAGUCUUUACAGAAAAAAAAAUUUUUUUUUUUUUUGUUUUUUGUUUUUUUUUUUUUUUGUAAACACAUAACCAGGACUAAGACAUUCCACAAUUAUCAACUAUUCCCUCCCCCCAACCUGAAAAAGACAUUGUCCUCAAUGUUUUAAAAGGAAAGAGAAAGAGUGUAGAAGACAUCACAUGAACACUACAACAGAAAAUAUUUACAAACGGAGAGUUAAAUCUAAAUCGCACUUCUUAUUAUUGCUACUGUUACCGUUACCGUCAUUAGUCGACCAAUUCAGUGCAACAGUCUGUGGAUCUGGCUCUGGUGUAUAAGCUUGCAAAAGAUCAAGUAACUCAUUAGCAGUAGAAGCAGAGAUAAAUAGUUUUUUUACAGAAUGUGGAACAAAAUGAUUCUUUAUUGCAUGAUUAAUAAAAGUUAGCAAGCCGUCAUAAAAAUCAUUAACAUUUAACAAACCGAUGGGUUUUUGAUGAAUGUUCAAGUGGGCCCAAGAUGCAAAUGUAAUUAGUGCCUCAAAAGUUGCAAGAUCUCCUGGCAAGAAAAUAAAAGCAUCAGCAUGAUUCAUCAUUUCAGAUAUUCUCUCUUGCAUACUUGAUACCACUAAUUCUUCUCCAAUUGGUGGGCCAGACAUGCACACUAGCGGUUUCAUGGGUUUUGGGAUAAUGCCGAGUACUUGGCUUCCUCUGGUAAAAACAGCUUCUGAGACAAGUCUUGAUAACCCUCGUUCACCUCCUCCAUAUACAAGAUGCAGUUUCCUCUCUGCUAUGACACGACCAAGAUCUACAGCUGCCUGAACGAACUCUUUGUACUUUCCAUAGUGAAACCCAGAAAGCACACAAAUGUUUUUGAAUUGUUUACUCGAAGAUGAUGCCAUUGGACUAAUUUUUCAAAAACAAGUUGUGAGUGUUUGAAAAAUGAGCUCAUAUUUAAAGAUCUUGGUAACAUAAAUAAUGAGAAACAGCUGUAAAUGGGUUGGCAAUAUUUGUCAAAUGACGAGUAAAACUCGUGGCUCAAUAAUUCAAAAACAAACAGUAAAAAGAAAGUAAUGAUUAGAAAAAGCAAACAGUAAAAGAAAACCAAAUAUUUAUUAAAUACAAAAUCACAUCGCUAAAUGCAAUAAUGCAAAUGAUAAAAUAACAGUAAAGUAAAAUAACAGUGAAGUGAAAGGAUAUUUACUGGUAGUUGUGAUUGUGGCUCACAUCUUCCUCUGGUUUUACGUCCAGUAACGGCUUGAACGCCCUCUAUGGGUCGAGGAUCGGCUUCCCAUCCAGUUUUCUUAUAAACUGGCAAACAGGGUCUUUUUGAGUCAGAUUCCCAAGACUUAACUGUGCACUUUGUUUUUGGAAUAGUAUCCACAAAUUGUAAAUCUCACGUUGCACAAUUCCGCUUCGAUGCGUCUCAAGAGAUCGUAAGAUAUCAUCCAACGAUUCUUUACUCAUGCCAUCUUUAACGAAUUUAAUUUUAUCUUCACGAGUAUCAGAAACCAUUCCUAAAGAUUUACAAUCUGGUCGUUUGCAACCAAGUCUCACACAGUUAUGACAUUUUGAGCCAAGUCGUUUAGCUCUCCUUUUCUUAGCAAACGUACUUUUACCAAAACCAGGCAUGUAAGAAACAAAUUGACCAGAAAACUCACCUGCUAAUCGGACCUUUGCUUCAAUUAACCAACGAAUGUCAGAAGGAAUGCCAUUGAUCAUUAACAAACGCAGUCGUUCACAACGAGCUUUGUAAAUUUUCCUGAGGGCAUUCUGAGGGAGAGAGGGAAAAUGCUUAUGGAGUUUAUGUUGUAUUUCUUCCAUGUAUGAUUUUGGGGUUUCAGUUAUUGUGGGAAACUGAAGAUACCGACUUAAGAAGUCACGGAGUACCGUUAUCCGCCAUUUAUACGGGAAAAUAGAUCAAAACACACCAAAAUCAAAUCUGCAAAAUCAAAUCAAGCGUGAAAGCGAGUAAAAAGAAGCACACAAUAUAAAAGGAAAAUGAACUUACAUUCGUCCUCUCAUUGAGUUAACCUCAAGCUCCAUUUGAAAUUCAUAUAUGCCACUCUCUACUGUUCUGAGUUGUCCCUCUAGAUCCUCAACAUAGGACACGAAUUCUGGUGGUUGCAGAUCCCAAAGUGGAUGUGAUUUACAGCUUUGUAUCAGGCCUCUUAAGUGAAAUUUUAUACGCCGAAAUCUUUUAAGAUGUGCGAACAGGUAUUUUCUCAUUGAGGUGCUCAUGAUGUAAAAUGAAAAUUGAUGAGAGAAUGUACAACUGUCAAACAAACACGCUUACACAAGAAAAACAAUGUUAAAAAAAAAACUAUGUACAGUGCAUCAAUCUAAGGAAAAAAAAAAGUCAAACAAUGAAACGGUAAAAUAAUAGUAAAACAAAAAAAAAUCAUUAAAAACUUAAUCAAGAAUUGGUGGGUCAUCCAAAUUAAUUUCGGUGUCCUCGUCACGUGGGUGAUGUUCCAGAUAUGGUUUUAAUCUUUGACCAUUAACUUUAAAUGUGACACCAUUAUUUGGAUUCUCAAUUUCUAUGGCCCCAUAUGAAUAUACAUUUUUUACAACAAAUGGGCCACUCCAUUUUGACUUUAACUUUCCUGGAAAUAAAUGAAGACGAGAAUUAUAAAGCAACACUUUUUGACCAAUCUCAAAUGUUUUUCGAAAAAUUCUUUUAUCAUGAAAUGCUUUUGUUCUUGCCUUAAUAAUUCUUGAAUUUUCAUAUGCAUCAUUCCUUAAUUCCUCAAGUUCAUUCAAUUGCAAUUUUCGCACAUUACCAACAUCAACCAAAUUUGAAUUAAAAGCUUUAAUAGCCCAAAGUGAUUUAUGUUCAAGUUCAACAGGUAAAUGACAAGGUUUACCAUAAAUUAACCGAUAGGGUGACAUUCCUAAUGAUGUUUUAAAUGCAGUGCGGUAAGCCCAAAGUGCAUCAUUAAGUCUAAGAGACCAAUCUUUUCGGUUUGGGUUAACCGUUUUUUCCAAAAUUUGUUUUAUCUCCCUAUUUGCUAAUUCAACUUGACCAUUUGUUUGAGGAUGAUAAGGGGUAGCAAUUUUAUGUGUAAUUCCAUAUUUCUUCAUUAAAGACUCAAAUGACUUAUUACAAAAAUGCUUACCUCCAUCACUGAUAAUGGCUCGAGGGAUUCCAAAUCGACUUAAAAUGUUUUCUCUUAAAAAUUUAAUCACAGUUUUACUGUCAUUAUUUCGACAAGAAAUUACUUCAAUCCAUUUUGAGACAUAAUCAACUGCAACUAAUAUAUACACAAAUCCAAAAGAUGAUGGAAAUGGACCCAUGAAAUCAAUUCCCCAACAGUCAAAUAUUUCAAUUUCAAGUAUGGGAUUUAAGGGUAUCAUGUUUCUUUUUGUAAUUGAUCCCAAUUUUUGACAUUUUUCACAACUUUUGCAAAAUUCAUAUGUGUCUUUAAACAUGGUAGGCCAAUAAAAUCCACACUGCAAAAUUUUAGCAGUAGUUUUUCUUGAAGAAAAGUGACCACCACAUGCUUCAGAAUGACAAAAAUUAAUGACACUACUUACCUCAUUAUCAGGAAUACAUCGCCGAAAAAUUUGAUCUGGGCAAUAUUUGAACAAAUAAGGAUCAUCCCAAUAAAAUUUCUUUACUUCAACAAAAAAUUUCUUCUUCUCUUGAGCAUUCCAUUGCAAAGGCAUUUUACCUGUAACAAGAAAAUUAACAAUAUUAGCAUACCAUGGCAUUGAAGUAACAGAAAAUAAAAAUUCAUCAGGGAAAGAAUCAUUUAUGGGUGUUAUAUCAUUGCAGAAUUCGGAUGUGAGUCUUGAUAGAUGAUCAGCAACAACAUUUUCAGCACCCUUUUUAUCUUUGAUGGUAAGGUCAAAUUCUUGUAGUAACAAAAUCCAACGAAUUAAUCUCGGUUUGGCAUCCUGUUUACUCAUCAAAUAUCUCACAGCAGCAUGGUCAGUAAACACAAUAGAUUUAGAGCCAAGCAAAUAUGAACGGAAUUUGUUUAAUGCAAAUACCACAGCAAGUAAUUCUUUUUCAGUUGUAGAAUAAUUCAUUUGAGCACUAUCCAAAGUCUUGCUCGCAUAAUAAAUCACAAAAGGCUUACCAUCCCUUCUUUGUCCUAAAAUAGCACCAACAGCAAAAUCACUUGCAUCACACAUUAAUUCAAAUGGCAAAGACCAAUCAGGAGAUUGCAUAAUAGGUGCAGAUGUUAAAAGACAAAUUAUUUUUUCAAAAGAUUUUUGGCAAUCAUCAUUCCAUUCAAACGGUGCAUCUUUUAAUAAGAGGUUACAAAGUGGUUUAGAUAUGGCACUAAAGUUUUUUAUAAACCUCCUAUAAAAUCCUGCAUGUCCUAAAAAGGAUCGCACAUCUCUAACUGUUUUUGGUUGUGGCAAUUUAGAUAUGACUUCGAUUUUUGCUUUGUCAACUUCAAUUCCUUUAAUAGAAACAACAUGACCCAAAACAAUUCCAGAAGUAACCAUGUAGUGACAUUUUUCCCAAUUCAACACGAGUUCUUUUUCAACACAUCUUUUUAAAACUUUCUCCAAAUUAUCAAGGCAAUCAUCAAAAGAAUUCCCAAACACAGUCAAAUCAUCCAUAAAGACCUCUAAACAAUGUUCAACCAUAUCACAAAAAAUGCUUAACAUACAUCUUUGAAAUGUUGCAGGAGCAUUACAAAGCCCGAAUGGCAUUCUUUUAAAUGCAAAUGUUCCAAAAGGACAUGUGAAUGUGGUCUUUUCUUGGUCCUCAAGUGCUAUAGGAAUUUGAUAAUAACCUGAAUAUCCAUCUAAAAAACAGUAGUAGGGAUGUCCUGCUACUCUUUCUAAGAUUUGGUCAAGGAAUGGUAAUGGAAAAUGAUCUUUUCUAGUGGCUUCAUUUAAUUUUCUAUAAUCAAUGCACAUGCGCCAACUAGAUGUAAUUCGUGUUGGAAUUAAUUCUCCUUUUUCAUUUUUAACAACAGUGAUUCCAGAUUUUUUUGGCACUACUUGUGUAGGACUUACCCACUUACUAUCAGAAAUAGGGUAGAUAAUUCCCACAUCAAGUAAUUUAAGGACUUCUGUUUUGACUACCUCUUUCAUGUGUGGGUUUAAUCUUCUUUGAGGUUGUUGACAUAUUUUAGCAUUUUCUUCCAAAUUAAUUCUAUGUGUGCAGAUUAAGGGAUUAAUGCCUUUAAUGUCAUUUAAAGUCCAUCCUAUUGCAUUUUUAUGCUUUUUAAGAACAGUUAGUAACUUACCUUCUUGGUCGCUUGUUAAAGUAGAAGAAAUCACAACAGGAUAAGUUUGUUCUUCUCCAAGAAAAGCAUAUUUCAAUCCUUCAGGCAAAGGUUUCAAUUCCAUUUUAGGUGCUUCUUGUUGUUCUGUCUUUUCAAUACUUCCAAGCUCCUCAAAUUUUGGCUCGUCAUCAUAAUUUUGCGAAGUCUGCAUAGAAUCAAGCAACGAAUUUAUAUUAGAAAUAUCAAGUUUAAGUUGCUUAUUUGACUCAAUUGAAUUAACUAAACAAACAUUAGAAAGUUCAGAAAAAUCCCCUUUUUGAAUAUUUUCCUCGAUACAAGAUUCAAACAAUUCCUUUUGUUCAUCAAUAUCAUCUUCAUUCUCAUUUUCUUCAUUAGGUUGCCUGCACAUGUUGAAAACAUUCAAUUCCAAAGUCAUAUUCCCAAAGGAUAAAUUCAUUAAACCAUUCCUACAAUUAAUCAAAGCAUUAGCAGUUGCUAAAAAUGGUCGACCUAAAAUUACAGGAAUUGGUUUGUAAUUAUUCACAACAGGUUCAGUUUCCAAGACAAUAAAAUCCACAGGAUAAAUAAAUUUAUCAACUUGUACUAAAACAUCUUCCACUAUUCCUUUUGGUACUUUAACGGAUCUAUCGGCAAGCAAAAGUGUAGUUGAAGUUGAUUUUAACUCACCAAGAUUAAGUUGAAGAUAAACUGAAUAUGGAAGCAAAUUAACACUAGCACCAAGAUCUAGUAAAGCAUGCUCAAUUCUGUGGUUACCAAUAAUACAAGAAAUGGUAGGACAACCAGGAUCUUUAUAUUUCAACUUAUUAUUAGUAGACAGAAUUGUACUUACCUGUUCGGCCAUGAAAGCACUCUUUCUUACCUUCAAUUUCCUCUUAACAGUGCACAAGUCCUUUAAAAAUUUGGCAUAUGAAGGAACCUGCUUGAUUGCAUCUAAUAGAGGAAUGUUAACUUUCACUUGCUUAAAGAUUUCAUAAAUUUCAGAAGAGUGGUUUGAUUUCUUUGGUUUAUUCAAUGCAUGCGGAAAUGGUGGUUCAAGUGGAACACUAGUUAUUUCUUCACUAGGUGUAAGUUCAUUUAGUCAUUCCUUACCCUUUGAAUUUUCAUAAGGUUCAGGCAUAGGUCUAUCAACAACCUUACCACUACGAAGAGUUAUAACUGACUUGACUUGGUCUGUGGGUGAAUUUUGUUGAAUUUUAGGAUUUGGUUGUGGUUGGGCUGGAAAUUUUCCUUUUUCUUGAAUGGUGAGUGCAGAAGCAAUUUUAGCAAGAGUAUCUUUCAAAUAAAAAAAAGUUUGUGCAUUUUGAUUGUUAAUAACAUCUUGCUUUCUGAUGAAUGAAUGCAUUGUGUCCUCCAGAUUUUUCCAAGGUGGUGGAACAUAUGGUGCAUAAGGAUGAGGAUUUUGAAAAUUUUGUGGAGGUGGUGCUUGUGAAGAUUGUGCAUUAUUAUUAUUCCUCCAACUGAAAUUCGGAUGAUUUUUCCAACCAGGAUUAUAAGUCUGUGAAUAUGGGUUUGGUUUAUUGAAAGUGUUAAUGACAUUAGCUUGAUCAUUUAGACAUUCUUUAAGUGCAGGCAAAGUGGGACACUCUUGAGUGAAAUGAUCAUUCGAAUUACAUAUGUUACAUGCAAUUUCUUGAACAGAUUUUACUUGAUCACUCUUUUUAUGCUCCAAAGCUUCAACUUUCCUAACUAGGGAUGCAAAUUUUGCUUGUAAAUCAUGAUCUUCCCUAAGGUUAUGGAUUCCUCCACUAGAUGGAGAUGAUUGUUGCUUAUUUGUCAAUUCAAAAGUUCCAACAGUAUCCCAAUGUUGUGCAUUUUCAGCUAAUUGGUCAAGGUAAUCUAGUGCAUCUUCAGGAUUUUUAUCCCUAAAUUCACCAUUACACAUCAUUUCAACAACCUGUCUACUUUGGGGUAUUAAGCCUUCGUAGAAAUAAGUGACCAAUCGCCAAGUUUCAAAACCAUGAUGUGGGCAUAUGUUAAGCAACUCUUUAAACCUAUCCCAACAUUGGUAUAAUGUUUCUCCAUUUUUUUGAGUGAAAGAAGUGAUUUGCCUUUUAAAAGAAUUUGUUCUAUGAGGUGGAAAGAAUUUUUUCAAAAACUGUUCUUGCAUGUUAUUCCAAGUUCUUACUGAUCCAGAUCUAAGGUUUUGUAGCCAAGUUUUAGCUUUAUCUUUUAAUGAAAAAGGAAAAAGCUUUAAUCUAAUUAUGUUCAUGCUACAAUUUUGGUCCGUGUAUGUAUUACAAACUUCCUCAAAAUCUCUUAGAUGCAAGUACGGAUUCUCAGAUUCUAAACCAUGAAAUGUUGGUAAAAGUUGGAUAAUACCUGGUUUAAAAUUGAAUCGAGAUGCUUCUGGAUGCUCCGGUUCUGGUUGGAUUCAUGUAGUCUCUCAGAGUCCUUGGUUGAUUCUGAUCGUGCCCAUGUUGAGAUUGGUUGUCUCCCUGAUCAAUUUGAGGAUUAAGUUCGCCCAAAACAUUUUCGCCUUCAUUCUCAUCCAUGAUUGGUGGUGGAGAUUGAGAUCUACGAAUUAACCUGCCACUUGAAGAUCGAGACCAACGUCUCAUGCAAGGGUUAUGUUAUAAAGAUAAUAUUUACACAAAUUGAUAAUAAAAUAAAAUAAAAAAUUAAAUAUGCAAAUAAUAUAAGUGUACAAAAGAAAAUUAAAUAACAAUUUUGGUGGUUGAACCCACCAGUUAACAAUAUAAAAUAAAUGCAAAAGAAAGAAAAAGAAAAAAUGGUAGUUAAACCCACCAAUAAAGCAAAAAAAUAAAAUAAAAUAAAAUAAACGCAAAAUAAUAAAAUAAAUAAAUAAAAUGGUGGUUGAACCCACCAAUAAAAAAAAUAAAGCAAAAAAAAAUACAAAAUUAAAUAAAUACUGAAAAUAAAAAUUAGGAGUUAGUAGUUAGUUUGGUGGUUGAACCCACCAAUAAAGCAAAAAUAAAUAAAUACGAAAUUAAAUAAAUGCAGAAAAUUAAAUAACUGAAAUUAAAAAAGUUAGCAGUUAGCAGUUAGUAAGUUAAGAGUCAGUAAUUAGAGUUAGUAGUUAAAGUUAGUUUAGUCCAAAAUAUGUUAGUUUAGUCCAAAAUAUGUCCAAAUAUGUUCAAAAUAUGUCCAAAUAUGUCCAAAAUAUGUCCAAAGUAUGUCCAAGUCUUAAUUAUUUUGAGGAAUUUCGUCUAGGGAUUCUAUUGCAAAUUAUUUUUAAUUUUAUGGUCAAACUGUAAUUUUUAGAAGUUUAGAAUUAGUAAUUUGGGAUGAAAGUGAAACAGUUGAAAGAUAUCGGGGUCCGAACGUAAUUACCAGAAGAUUGGGCUGGAAACGGAAAUUGUUGGGGUGAAACUAGAAUUAUGAAAGAUAUGGGGACAAAAGAGAAUUUAAGAAAAGAAAAAGGGGGUAAACGAAAUUUUACAUAUAAGAGAAAAAUAAAAAACGGAAAAACAAACCAAAUAAAAAAAACUUUUCCCCGGCAACGGCGCCAAAAACUUGACACAUCUUAAAAGUAAUUUUUAACUCUCAAGUAUAAGAGUGUCUUGUUGUAUUAUAACUCGGUGAGUCCGAGGUCGAUCCACAGAGAAAAGAUUUAAUUAGUUUAUUUUAUUUUAUCUAAAAAUUGAAAUUAAAACUUGAAUAUAAACAACUUAAUUUAAAUGAAACUAUGGAAUUGAACUAGUUAAGGUUAUGGAUCCACUCUUAGAAAUAAAUAAAACUUAAUAAAUUCUUUUUGCCAAUUUGUUUUAGAUUUAUUACCCAAAAGAUUAAUUAUACAAAUUAUUAUUAUUUUCCCUUUAAUUUUAUGAUGGAUUAAGUAUUUAUUGUGCCAAAAUUUAAUUUGUCUACAAUAAGGCAAAAUACCAUUUCACCAUGCCUUAUAUUAAGAUCUUAAGAAUUUAUUGUGCCAAAUUCAUUUGUUUGUCUACAAUAAAUCAAAAUUUCAAAAUAUAAAACAUGUAUAAAAUUAAAUAGAAAAUAAUUUAAUUUAUAAAAUUAAACAUAGAAUUUGAUUAAAUCAUAUUUAUUUCUUAAGAGUUUCACCUUCCCCUAACUAAUAUUAUUUAGUUAAGCAUAAUUAAAAUAAAAAGUAGUAAAAUUGAAUUACUUGUAAUUAAAAGAAAUAAAAACAACUAAAAUUGGAAAUAAAACUAAUUUUAUUAAUGAAAAUAAUUAUACAAAAUAUUAAAAACACACCUGGAAAUCAAGAUUACAAGGAGAUGGAGAGAAUUUGAGAAUAAGAGAGUUGUAGAGAGAUGAUUAAAACAUAAAAAUGAGGCCUUAUUUAUAGAAAAAUAAAUUCAUAAUCCAGUGCUUUGUGGUCCAUCAUAGGCUUCAUGCAUGUGCUCCUCACAACCCUUAGAUCAAGAUCCAAUGGCUGGUCAAACUUCAAAAGUCAACAUCACACAUGGCAUCAUUUGACUCGUCCGAUUUGCCCAAAGAACGGUUGAGAUUUGGCGGGUUAAUGGGUGGAUCGGGUCGACCCGAAUACAAAGAUUCGGAUCCUCCAACUUGCUUCACCAACCAUUGCCACGUGGCACAAUCAUGGCCAUUGAAUGAUGAACGGUUGAGAUUUAGUCAAGAUUGCCAGUUAUCCCAUGCACUCAUAUCUAUUGUAAGCUCAUUUCAUCAUCCAAUCAGUGCUCGGUCAACAGGAAAAGUCAAUUUUUUUUACACAAGCCCAAUUUUAAGCCGAUCUUGACUGAUCUUAAGGUUUUCGAACCUCCGGAAUCCAAAUUUGACCUCCGUUUAUUUGUUUGGAGCCUCGAAGUACGUGAAAUUAAUAAUUUUCCUAAUAAACACAUAAAAAUACACAAAAUUAAAUAUAUUUAAAACAUAAUUAAUAAUUCAUAAUAUAUUACAUAAACACAAAUAUAAAUUAUAACAUAAGCAUAAAAUAACAUAUUAUCGCUUGAUAACUAAACAAUUUUUAAUACUAAUCAGGUGGAACUUGAAUCUGGUAAAAAGAUCAAGUGUUUGAGGACAGAUAAUGGUGGAGAGUAUACAAACGGCGAGUUUCUUGCUUUCUGUAAGCAAGAAGGUAUUCAGAGGCAGUUCACAGUGGCAUACACUCCUCAACAAAAUGGAGUGGCAGAGCGGAUGAAUAGAACUCUUACAGAACGGAUAAGAGCUAUGUUAAUGACUGCUGGUCUACCCAAUUCAUUUUGCGCAGAAGCAGCCAAAACUGGCUGUUAUAUAGUAAAUCGAUCGCCAUCUAUAGCUAUUGGGCUGAAGACAGUGAUGGAGAUGUGGACUGGAAAGCCAGCUAAUUAUUCCUACCUACAUGCAUUUGGAUGUCCUGUGUAUGUGAUGUACAAUGCCCAAGAAAGAACAAAGCUGGAUCCAAAAUCUAGAAGAUGUAUCUUCUUGGGGUAUGCUGAUGGAGUAAAAGGGUAUCGUCUGUGGGACCCCACUGCCCACAAGAUCGUCAUCAGAAGAGAUGUUAUCUUUAUAGAAGAUCAACUGCAAAUGAGAGAUGAGGAUGAUGGCACUGCAAAAGAAAAGUCAAAGAUUGUGCCGGUAUAUGUCGAAAAUAAUCUAAAAAAUUUAUAUUCUUCUGAAGCAGUACCAGAGCACGAGGAACAAGAACCAGUCGAGUCCGAGGCUCCAGAAGUUCGUUGGUCAAUGUGGCACUCGGAGUAUGUCACAGAAAUCAAUGUUGUAUACUGUCUUCUAACAGAGGAUGGAGAGCCUUCAACUUUCCAUGAAGCUUUAAACAGCUCAGAUGUUGCUUUGUGGAUGACAGCAAUGUAGGAAGAAAUUGAAGCUCUACACAAGAACAAGACAUGGGAACUUGUACCACUACCACGUUGUAGAAAAGCCAUUGGAAACAAAUGGGUCUACAAGAUCAAACGUGAUGGCAAUGACCAAAUGGAGCGGUAUCGUGCAAAAUUGGUGGUGAAAGGAUAUGCUCAGAAAGAAGGUAUUGAUUUCAACGAGAUAUUUUCGCCGGUGGUUUGACUCACAACAGUCAGAGUAGUCUUGGCGAUGUGUGCUACAUUUGACUUACAUCUUGAGCAGUUAGAUGUGAAAACUGCAUUUCUUCAUGGAAAACUUGAAGAAGAAAUAUAUAUGCUCCAACCAAAAGGUUUUGCAGAAACAGGAAAAGAGAACUUGGUCUGCAGGUUGAAUAAAUCUCUAUACGGUCUCAAACAGGCGUCGAGGUGUUGGUAUAAGAGAUUUGAUUCCUUCAUUAUGAGCCUUGGAUACAACAGACUCAAUUCAGACCAUUGUGCAUAUUACAAGAGGUUUGAAGAUAGUGAUUUCAUCAUUUUGCUGUUGUAUGUGGAUGAUAUGUUGGUAGCAGGUCCCAACAAAGAUCGAGUCCAAGAAUUGAAGGCACAGUUGGCUAGGGAGUUUGAAAUGAAGGACUUGGGACCAGCAAACAAGAUUCUAGGGAUGUAAAUUCACCGAGACAGAAAUAACAGGAAGAUUUGGCUUUCUUAGAAGAAUUACUUGAAGAAAAUCUUACGACGCUUCAACAUGCAAGAUUGUAAGUCAAUUUCUACCCUACUUCCUAUUAAUUUCAAAUUAUCCUCAAGUAUGUGUCCAAGCAAUGAAGCAGAGAGGAAGGAAAUGUCUCGAGUACCGUAUGCAUCAGCAGUGGGAAGUUUGAUGUUCGCUAUGAUAUGUACUAGACCGGACAUUGCACAAGUAGUGGGAGCAGUCAGUCGAUACAUGGCGAAUCCUGGUGGAGAGCAUUGGAUAGCUGUGAAGAGGAUUCUAAGAUACAUUAGAGGAACCUCAGAUGUUGCAUUAUGUUAUGGAGGAUCAGAGUUUACUGUCAGGGGCUAUAUGGAUUCAGAUUUUGCAAGAGACCUUGAUAAAAGGAAAUCCACUACUGGUUAUGUGUUUACACUUGCGGGAGCAGCUGUAAGUUGGGUUUCGAAACUGCAGACCGUUGUGGCUUUAUCUACAACAGAAGCAGAAUACAUGGCAGCUACACAAGCUUGCAAGGAAGCUAUUUGGAUACAAAGAUUAUUGGAGGAGCUAGGGCACAAACAACAGAAAAUUCCUGUGUUUUGUGACAGUCAGAGUGCCUUGUACAUUGCAAGGAAUCCAGCCUUUCAUUCCAGGACAAAGCACAUAGGAGUUCAGUAUCACUUCGUUCGUGAAGUAGUGGAAGAUAGAAGUGUGGAUUUGCAGAAAAUCCAUACCAAAGAGAACCUAGCAGAUGUUUUGACCAAGCCGAUAAAUACUGAUAAGUUUGUCUGGAGUAGAACCUCUUGUGGCUUAGCAGAAACGUAGGCAACAUGAUUAUGGCGAAGCAGAAAGGAUGGUGUGGAGAUUGAUUGAUUCUCAAUCUAAUCUCCAAGUGGGAGAAAUGUCAAAUAAAGUGGCCAUCUAGAUGAUCUAAAGCUGCCAUCUAGAUGGUCAGCAACAAUUUUGUUCAAAGAAGACGAAGAAUUUUGCAGCAAGUUUGAAAGAAAAAGAAGCACACGGCUUUGACAUUUGAAAGAAGAAAAAGAAGGUAAAAAAUAAUAUAGAAUUGAUUAAUAGUGCCAAAGCUUUCUCUAUAAAUAGAAACGAAGAGAAUAAGCAAAUGCAUUCCAUUCAGAAAGCAAUUUAGGGAGUUGAGAGAGAGUUCAAGAGCUUGCAUUUAUAAGCUCUUGUUACAGUGAUUGAGAGAGUUUGGGUGUAUUGGGGUUUUUGGGAAGUGAGCUAAAAUACUACAAUACUUAUAACUCCUUUUCACUAGUAAAAUAUUUCCUUCUGUCUUCGCCCGUGGAUGUAGGCUAAAAGCCGAACCACGUAAUUUCUGGUGUCCUCUAUUGUGCUUGUUCUUUAUUUUCCUUCUAAUUUCAUUUUAGCUGCGGUCUUGCUUCAUCCACCAAAUUUCCUAACAGAUGCUCCAACAACGAUAAUAGGAGACAUUUCGGCUGAUAAAUUUUCCUUAAUGUGUAAGAGAAUCUUUGCAUAAUCUGCCAAAGCUUGACCAGAGUUGAAAUAUCCACGAAGAGUUGCAUUCUUUAGGGCAUCUUUGCGUGAUAUAAAAGGUACUGAUUUUCUAUAGAACCGAUGCUGCAUAAAAAAUCGAAUUAAAGAAAAAAAAUCCAUCACAACUUUUCAGUUCAUAUUGUAGAAUAUUCUGAUUAAGAUUUGUCUUUAUUAUUAUUAUUUUGUAUGGGAACUCUAUUUCAAUUAUUAUCAAGCUAGCCUGAUAACAGAUUCUUUACUUACCUCUAUGUAAACUUGUAAGGCUUUAAAUCAACGAGCAUUAUCAGUAAGCCAUCCAGUGCCACCAAGGUCAUCAUCAAGACUACUCUCUUUACCAAGAUAUGCCAAUAUCGGCGCCGCCGUGGCUCCACCACCACCCCAAUGUUUGAAGUUCAACACAUAUCUAUGAGAAAAAGUUAAAUAACUUUGUGGAUUAUAGUUAAAGUGAUCAAGUAUUUGAUCAUCAUAAUAAGUUUCGAGAUCACCCUUUGGUUCUGAAGUUAAUAUUUUUUUACUAGGGUUUAGAAAAAUAGUCUUUCCACGCACAACACCAAGCUUUGGGAUGUUUUUUAAUGGUGAAGUGGAAGCAAAAGCAAAAUUUGUGAGGAGAAGAAGAAAAAAGGCAUGGAAGCCACCGACCUUCCAUGGCAAAGUUGUAAAUCCUUAAUUAGCAGGAUGAUUAUGUAAAUACAGAAGAAAUAGAAUUAAGAUUCGGUUAUAAAUUCAGCUUCAGAAUCGACGUGUUUUUUAAUCUAUUCUGGAUUUUUUAUUAUCCUAUCAUAUAAUCAUUGGUGGUUUUAGUUUUAUAUUAGUAAUGAUCUUUAGUUUUCAUAAAAUUAUGGUUUUUCUAAUAUAUAUUGUUAUCAGUUUCGUAACUAAAUACGUUGCGGUGAAAAUUAUUAAGUCUUUCCUUAGUAAUUAACUAACUUGACAUACGUAGUUCUAAUGGUUGGACACAUAUUUCUAAUUUAAUUAACUUGUAAUUAAUUAUUUGCUAGUAAUUAACUUGAUUUAGUAUGUGGUAAAUACAUAAUUUUGAUAAAAUCAGUAAAAAAAUAGUAAAUUUUCUAUCAUGUAAGUGUAAAAUUAAAGAUAUAAUUUUUUUUAAUUACAAUAGCUAAUAUUUACUUGAUACUUUAAUACUGUAACUUUUAAACUAAGCUACCCAAACAUGGUUGUAAUUUUCUAUAAUCAUGCUACCAAAGAUGUCAGGAUUCCAAUCAUUGUUUACGAGGCUACUAUAUAUGUUAAUCAUGCUAAUGCUAUAAGCCUUGGAUUGGAAGUAAUGUAAAUCCAACCGUUGGGUAACGUAGCUAGCCUAAUUACACUUUAUUAAGAGAACAAUACAAUUAACAAUAGUCUCACAUGAAAGGGUGGCAAUUCAUUAUCCGAAUUUGUGAAUUAGACACUAACACAUCAUAUCGAGAAGAUUUUUUAUGACUAUUAUGACAACUUGUUCACGUCCAACAAACCAUCCCAAAGCCAAAUGGAGAAUGCACUGAAGAUCUGCCUCGCAAAGUCACUGAAGAGAUGAAUGCCCAGCUAAAUCAGCCCUAUACAGAAGCAGACAUCACAGAAGCUUUGAGCCAAAUGCACCCUACAAAAGCCCCUGGUCCAGAUGGCCUUCCAGCUGCUUUCUUCCAAAAGCAUUGGAAAUCAGUAAGUCAAGGUGUUACUACCACAUGCUUGCAGGUCCUAAAUAACAAAGGUAACCCUACUCCACUAAAUCAUACUUACAUAGCUCUGAUUCCAAAGGCUGAAAAACCUAAGAAAAUGGCGGAUUUUAGACCGAUCAGCCUAUGUAAUGUAAUUUAUCGGAUAAUUACAAAAACCAUUGCCAAUAGGUUGAAGCUGGUUUUGAACGAUGUAAUCUCACCAGCUCAAAGUGCCUUUGUUCCAAAUAGGCUCAUAACCGAUAACAUAAUUAUUGGUUACGAAUACUUACAUAAAAUAAGGCUUAGUAUGGGGAAAAAACAUGGGCUAGUGGCUUUGAAAUUAGACAUAAGCAAAGCAUAUGACAGGGUGGAAUGGGACUUUUUGAAAUGUACCUUAGAAAAAUUGGGAUUCUCGCUUGGCUUUGUUGAAUUGAUAAUGCAAUGCAUAACUACCUCUUCAUUUUCUGUGCUGAUAAAUGGGGUGGCUAAAGGGCUGAUCCAACCUCAAAGAGGAUUAAAGCAAGGAUGCCCAUUGUCCCCAUAUCUUUUUAUUCUCUGUGCAGAGACUUUUACAAAUCUUUUACAGCAAGCAGAAUCUCAGCAACUGAUUCAUGGGAUAAAAUUCAGCAAUGAACUUUCCAUCACUCAUCUUUUGUUCGCUGAUGAUAGUUUGAUUUUUACAAGAGCCACAAGGGAGGAUUGUACAAAUUUAAAGAAGAUUUUUUAGUGUUAUGUUGCAGCCUCUGGGCAGAUUUUCAAUUUCGAGAAGUCGUCUAUGUUUUUCAGUGAGAGUACCAAGCCGUAGCAGAUUUCCUCAAUUACAACCAUCUUCCAAAUUCAGGUGGUAUCCAGGCAUGCAAAAUACUUAGGGCUGCCCUCCAUGGUGGGUAGAAAUAAGACGAGUUUUUUUAAGGAUAUCAAACUCAGAGUUCUUGGAAAGAUUUCGAGCUGGCAAGCAAAUUUGUUCUCUUGUGGGGAGAAGGAGGUGUUGAUAAAUGAUGUAGCUCAAGUGGUGCCUGCAUAUGCCAUGAGUGUGUUUAAGCUCCCCCUAGGACUUUGUGAUGACAUGCAAAAGGCAAUUGCUAGUUUUUGGUGGGGAAGCAGCCGAGAUCACAAGUCAAUCCAUUGGUCGAAAUGGAAUAAUUUGUAUCAAGCAAAGAGUAGAGGUGGGCUGGGAUUUCGAAACUUGUCCAGCUUNNNNNNNNNNNNNNNNNNNNNNNNNNNNNNNNNNNNNNNNNNNNNNNNNNNNNNNNNNNNNNNNNNNNNNNNNNNNNNNNNNNNUUUUAAAAAUUCAAGUCUGAUGCAGGCUCAGUUAGGCUCAUAUCCUUCCUUUAUAUGGAGGAGUAUUUUAUGGGGUCGAAAUGUAUUAGAAAAAGGGUUGCGCUGGAGAAUUGGAAAUGGUGAGCAGCUGCUAGUGUAUCAAAGUCAAUGGAUUCCUCGAUCUAUAACUUUUCAGCCAAUAUCCCCCCCAUCAUUGAGCCCAGAUACAAUUGUUGCAAAGCUGAUAAGUGAGGAGCAAAGCCGGAAAGAAGCUGUAAUUAGGCAACAUUUUCUAAAAGAAGAUGCUGAUCAAAUUUUGAAAAUCCCUUUGCCAAGACAACCAAAACCUGACCAAGUGUUGUGGCACUAUGAUAAGAAGGGUAAUUAUUCAGUUAAAAGCGGUUACCAAGUGGCUAUGAAAAUGAAUUUUCCUGAGAAGCCAAGCUGCUCGAGUGAGAAUGAUAAGUAUUGGCAUGCUAUUUGGUAUUUGCAACUUCCGGAAAAAGUUAAAAUCUUCAUGUGGAGGGCGGCAAAUAACUUGUUGGCAACGGCAGGAAAUCUUUGGAAGAGGACAGUGGUGCAAUUCCCUUGGUGCCAGAGAUGUAAGUUAUCAAAGGAGACUAUUUUUUCACACUCUCUAUGAAUGCAAAGCUUCAAGGAAAAUUUGGAGGCUAACCCCUUUUGGGGAGGAUAUUGAGUUUAGCAAUGGAAGAGAUGUUCUAAGCUUGCUGUAGGAUUUGAAUGGAAAAAGGAGAAAAUCUGAGAUGGAACUGAUUGUUGCUGUGUGCUGGAGCAUCUGGCACUCAAGGAAGCUUUUCCUCUUCAAAAACAAAAAAGAAGAUCCCCAGCUAUCAGUUGCAGCAGCAGAAGCAAUGGUGCAAUCUUAUAGCAGAAUCCAAAUGCCCCAAAUGCAAAGUAACUCCCAGCUGAGUACUGCUAAUCAGAAACAAUGGAAACACCCUCCAGAGGGCUGGUUCAAAGUUAAUGUUGAUGCAGCAGUAGGAGUGGAACAACAAAGAGCUGGCCUGGGAAUUGUUAUAAGGAAUUCAGGAGGAAAGUUUAUAGCUGCAGCAAUGAAGCCCUCAAAGUUUAUUGGCAAGAUUGAUUUUGCAGAAGCUGAAGCUAUCAGGCUCGGGCUGGAGAUAGCAGAAAAUGUUGGAUGCUUUCCACUAAUUGUGGAAUCUGACGCCCAGGAAGUGGUGGACUUAGUCAAUUUCAAGAAAAGCUCAAGAGCUGAAAUAUUCUGGGUUGCUUCUGAAAUGCAAGACCAAGUAAAGAGGCUGAACCAGGUGAAAGUAGAAUAUACCCCAAGAGGGUGCAAUACAUUAGCUCAUUCUCUUGCAAGACUAGCAUUAGAGCUAAAUGAUUUUGUUUUUUGGGUAGAAAAUAUACCCUCAAAUUUUUUGUACCUAUUCACACAGUUGGAUAAAUGAAAGUAAUACUUUCUCUCAAAAAAAAAAAAAAUUAUCAUGUCAAAUCUCUGUAUCCUCUUCACUAAUCAAUUCGUUUUUGCACUUUGACUUCCCCACAGGGAAUUCUUAAUUAAUUAAUUUAUUUUUUUAAAUAAGUGCAAAAUUUAUCCCGCCGAGUAUAAUCAAGGGGUGCACGUCAAGACAAAACAAGCAACAGCUGCGACAUGGUUUCAGAGUCAUAUCAUCUAUAAGCCAAACGUGUGUCUGCUCAAUUAGACACCAUAACCUCUAAAGACAAAACAAAUGCAUGCAACUUACCAUAAAAAGAUGAAUGACGAAGUCAUUAUGCAAACUAGAAGAAAUGUAAACUGAUAGGCAAUAAUUGAAAUAAGAUGCGAAAUUAUUUAUAACACAAUUAACAAUUCAACAAUCAGAUGUGUUGAUUUAUUUUCAAUCUGACUUAGACACUAUGUUAUAUUUUAUUAUGUUUUAAUAUAUAUAUAUAUAUAUAUAAAUAAUCAAAAAAUUAUAUAAAAUUCACCAUGAAAAUAAGGAAAACGAAAAAAAAAAUCGAACGGGCCCGCUGAUGGAUCACCAAUGAACGAAAAAGAGCAACUGAAACAAACGAAAUGCAAUGGCAUUUUGGGGAAUCUAUCAAAAGCUGAUACCCUUUUUGCCGAUUCCCAGCCAACCUCUAUAAAUUGCCCGCAAUUGGAAAAAUUCGACCAAAAAAAAAAACAAAUUCACUUCAAAAAGUUCACACACACUCACACACACGCGCGCGCGCGCGCGCGGAAGCCUACUUCUUCUUCUUCUUCUUCUUCUUUCAAUUCUCUGGUAAAACGCAAUAUUUUUUUGUCGUUUUUUCUUCCUGUUAAUACUUAAUGCUUGGGCGUUUUGUGUAUAAUGGAAAUGGAGUCUCGUGUCUGAUUUAUUAUCGCAGGGAACGAUGAAUUAUGCUGAUCUAAAUCGACGUAUCACCGUUAAGGUAACUAUAUAAUUUUUUAAUUUCAAAUUCAUUUCUUUCUUUUCUUUUGUUUUUUAAAAGAGUAAUAUUAGCUUCAACUGUGAUGCUGUUCAGUAGCAGUGCUGACCUUUUUAUUCAUAAAUGUCUUCAGAUAUUUCAUAAUAUGGAAUAUUCUUCUUUAUUCUGUUCUAUUUAUUUACUGGUUUUAAUGUACAUAUUGUCGAGGAGCUAAAUACGCGAGUAUAAAAAUUAACUUCAACUGAUAAUUGGUAGUCUGAUUAUGCCAUUAGUUUUAUCGAGUCCACGUUGAUUCAGUUUGUUGUUUGAUUUUUAUGUGGAACUGUUACUUGAUUAUACAUGAACAUUCACUUGUGCAAAUUUAAUAAUGCCACAUUAUUUAAUAUUUAAUUUUGAAGGCCACUUUUUUAGUUGAGGGCAGGGAACCACUACGAUUCCAUAACACGCUCAUCUAAUCACCUUGACAAUAAGACUUCUCCUAGUCGGCAAUUAUUUAGAAAUAACGUCUUGACAUAUGCUGCGGAAAUUAAAGAAUGAAGUAGACUUACGAAGUCAAGGUGUUUUUCUAGUCUACAUAUUUUAAUUUGUGUAGAAAAUUAGAAAUAUUCAAUGUAUAAUCUGAUUCUACACAAAGACUAAUGCCCCAAGAUUGUGAUUGAAAUGCUAUAAGCAGCUUAUUUUAUAAGUUUAGAUAAAAAUGAAGUUUGAUGGCUUCGUUAAAAGUUGUUUUUUUUAAUAAUUUUCUCUAUUUUGACUGUAACUUUUAAAAACAAAAUAGAGAUUAUUUUUAUAAGUAACUUAUUAAAUAAGUUGCUAUAUCUUUUUAAAUGUUCAUAUUAUAACCUUAAUAUUUUAAGAAAAGAAUAAUUAUAUCUUACUUUUCUAUAAGAUCUAAUAUAUAAAUAAAAGACAAUUUAAACGCAUGUUUAUUUUAGUCAUUAAAUAAUACAACACAUUCAUAAUCAAAUUUACUAAACGUGAGCAAGAUACUUUUUUAAUCAUCAACUUAUUUCGUCCUCACGAUAGAAAUAACUUAUUUUAUCAACCACCGCCAUCCUAAACUUGGUGCUAAGUCUCGUUUGGGAUUGCAUUAGAUUGUCAAAUAAUUAAGAGAAAUAGCUAUUAAGGAGAAGAAUAGGAAGAGGUUCGCCAGAAGCAAUAUACUCGCAAGCUUGGCUACUAAUAAACGAAGCAUACAAGCUUAAACACCUAAAAUAUAUAUAUAGAGAGUAGUUUUUUGGUACGGGAUCUUAAAGUGCGGGAAACAUUAGGAAAAUUUUUAAAACCUCGGGAUUUUAAAGGCUUAAUAAUUAAAACACUUAAACUGAACGGUUUAUGCGUUUUCCCGGACGUUCUCGUACUUUAAAAUUCUGAAUUAGAAUAUUUUUAUAUGUGUGUGUUGUUGUCCAAAUUUUAAUGUACUCGCAAGCGCACGAAUCUAUUGUUGUAUAGAUCAAUGGUGACGAGUGUCGAUCCCACGAGGAGGUGGAUUUUAAUUGUGUAGAAUUAAUUUUGUAAAUGGGUGAUUGGAUUUGUGGUGGAAAUGAUUUGGAAUAUCCUAAAACUUAAAUUAAAAUGGCGAGAAUAAAUUCUAAAAUUGGAAUUGAAAUUACGAGAAUAAAUUGAAGAGAAUUCUAUUAAAAUGACGUACUUGGGUAUCUGGAUCCGUAUCAACAUGCAUCAUGGGCUAAAUAAUCCUUAUUAAUGCCAAUUAAAUCAUGAGGGGGGAAUCCACACCUCAUGAACCACACUCUAAUCAAUAUGGUGCUAAGGGCUUAUCGUGCCAAAUAAUAAUAACCUUGUACUAGAGGGCCGGUGAAACCAAGGCGGUACUAGACAAGAUUAGUAUUAUUUGUCGACGAGAAGUCAAAACAUCCACAAAAACUAGAGGGGAAGAGAAAAUAAAUUUACCAAAUAAAACCCAUGACACAUGUUGAGACUUCACUUUCAACCCAAGCUUGAAAGAAAAUUAGCUACUCAUAAUUGAACUAGGGGCAAAAUGAGAAUUUAUUAAAAUACGAAGAAACUACAAGAUGGAGAAGGAAUUACAAAAAAUAGAGUCCAAAAAUGGAUUCAGAGAUAUCAAAUUAUGGGGGAGAGGCCCCCUUUUUAUAGAUACAUCAAGUAAAUCAUGGCCAUCGGAUUAAAAACAGUUUGGACGCUCAGGAUUGCGCCACGUCAUCAGUCAACAGUACGCGGUUUGACCACGCGGAUGAACAGUAACACGGUUUGACCUAGAUGAAUAGUAACGCGGUUUGACUCGGAUGAACAGUAACGCGUUUGAUUGAAAAUAAUCCUGUGUGAUGCAUGUACCGUACGCGAGAUUUUUCGUCCACUGAUAGGCUGCCACGUCACCAUCAACAGUACAUAAGAAUUUUAGCCCAACAGGAUCGUGACACCUCAUCAGUCAAUGCCACAUCAUCGGUCAAUGCCACGUCAUCAUCCGUCUAUGUGAACAAUGUAGUGAACAGUAACGUAGACAGUACCGUACACGUGAAUAGUACCGUACAUGUGAAUAGUGUCAUUUUUCCUUUUAUGCUCCUCCUAAGGUUUUCGACCGUCCUGAGUUCAAAAGUGAUGUCCGUUUUGCCGUCUGAUCUCUCCUUUAUUGUAAAAUGACUAUAAUGCCCCUAAAAUACAUAAAAUACUUAAUUAAAAUAAAACACAUGUAAUUAAAUCACAAGAAGGUUAAAUACAUAAAAGUAAGGGUUGUUAGUAAGACUUGAAAUGUAAAAUGACGGUCUUCUCUUUUAUAAAUUUACAUUUUCUAACACUCAACACACCCCCCAACCAGCUUAUUGCUAGUCCCUAGCAAAUAAAGCGAAAACAAAAUUCAAAUUCAAAAUAAAUUUUUUUUUAAUAAAAACACUCGUAUUUAUUCCAUUAGAUUAAUAAUAGCAAUCAAAUAAAAGUAUAAGCAUUAUCUCCAGUCUAAAGCAACAUCACACCCACAUCAACCAUCCACAUGAAUCAGCUCAGUAGACUUUGUUAUAGCUACUUUCAAGAAUGACAUGUCAAACCCCAAAAUCUCACUGGAAGUAGUGACACUCUCACAAAGAAAUUAAAACCAAUAAAAAUAGUCACUCCAAUGAAUGGUAAUUGAGAGAGAAAAUAAUAAAGAAGUGAUAUCACAUGCUCUCACCAAGAUGAAAUAAAUAUGCCCUCAGCUUAGAAAUAAUACAGUCUCAAGUCAAAUAAAAAUGCUAGUCAACCCAAUUUAUUUAUCUUUUUUUUAUAUUUAUUUAUUUAUUUUUAUUAUGCACCACUACAUCUCUUUAGCCCACAUAACUAGCUUCUACUUCAAAUUAUAGUUCCCUAAAAUCAGGAAGGACUUUUAUUAGGAUGUAACGUAGGCUAGGGACAUGGUUAACAAAGAAGGGAAAUAAGGAAAACAAAGUAUAUGUUUGAGAAAAAUGCAGAGGACUUUUUUUUUUUUUUUGGGAGUUGCAAGGUGGAUUUCACCUAUUAUUGUUAUUUUUAUUCUUUUGAAACAACAAUUUUUUUCUUUUGUUUUAGCAACAACAAUUUUUUAUUUGAACUAGGCAUAACUUCAUUGUACAAAAUGUUUAUUUACAUUUUUCUCAAACAUAAAUAGGUGAUGGAACUUAUAAGACAUCGGGUAAUACUCCAAAUCGGAGUGGGUCAAGAUGAUAAGUUGACAAAGAAAAGGUUUUUUUUUUUUUUAAAGGCUCAAAAGGGUUAACUAUGGAUAUUUAAUAAAAGGGAUGGCUAGAAAGGCUCAAACGGAUCAAAGAUGGCCUUUCCAUCGUCUUUUAGGGCUCUAAAUAAUCAUCCAUAUCUACUAGUUAGACAGGCCUCCAAAUGUAGCAACACACUUUUUUUUUUUAAUUUUACAAUUUUUUUUAAGGAUUAACUUAAAAGAAAUCUAAAGAUCGUGUAUAAAAUAAUAAACUGCUAAACUGUAUAGAGAAUGGGCAAAAGGGUUACUCUCCAAGAAAAUAAUAGGUUCAACAACUCACUUGGCACUUAUUUAUGACAUGUUCAUUCCUUCAAGCAACUCAUAUUUGUCUCCGACAUCAACAUGUAGAGUAGCAAACAUAAUGUAACAUCACUUAAGACCAAAGAUAAUACAAAUACUAAAAUUUGAAAUUAAUCAUGUCAUCCAAUGUUAAAACAAAUCACACAAUUUUUUUUUAACAACAUUCUACCCCCCAACCUAUUCUAAACAUGAAAGGAAAAUAUGCAUGCAGAAAUGUGAAAAUGAUGCAUAAAAACUAAUUAGAAAAGUUACACGUAAAAUAAUAGAAAACAAAGAUGGUUUUUUUUUUUUUAAAGAUGCGUUUCUAGAGGCACUACACUCCAUAUUCAGCCAUCUUCGACUCAAAAGUUGGAAAAUGUAUAUUUAUAGAGGAGAAAUUAAAAAGAAGAAGAAAAAUGAACAUCAAAACUUAAUAAAGAAAAAAAAAUUAUUUUUAAUUUUUUUGUUUUUUUAAUUAAUUAAUUUUUUUUAAAACAAUGAAGAUGCGUUUCUAGAGUCACUAUCCUCCAUAUUCAGCCAUCUUCAACAUAAAAAGUUAGCAAUAGUUAGUUUCUACAACAAACAAUUAGUAAAAACUUAACCAAAAUUCCACAAUUGUCGACUAUUCACUCCCCCCAACCAGAAUGAAACAUUGUCCUCAAUGUUUGAAAGGAAAGAAGUAGAGUUUAGAAGACAUCACCUGGGUGGUGCAACAUAGAAAAUAAUAUUUACAAGCGGAGAGUUAAAUCUAAUUUGUACUUCUUACUGCGGCUACCGUUACCAUCAUUAUUUGGAUGCUCCAACACAAAGGUCCAGGGGUCUGGCUCCGGUCUAUAAGCUUGUAACAUAUCAAGUAGCUCAUUAGCAGUGUGAGCACAAAUAAAGAGUUUUUUCGCAUUAGAGGGAAUGAAAUAGUUUUUUAUUGCAUGGUUAAGAAAUGCGAUAAAGCCAUUAUAAAAGUUAUUGACAUUUAACAAACCGAUGGGUUUUUGGUGGAUAUGCAGAUGGGCCCAAGAUGCUAGUGUGAUAAGUGCCUCUAGUGUUGCAAGAUCUCCUGGAAGGAAAAUAAAAGCAUCAGCAUGAUUAAGCAUUUCAGUUAUUCUUUCUUGCAUACCUGAGACGACUAACUCUUCUCCAGUUGAUGAGUUAGACGAACUGCCCAAUGGUUUUAGGACUCUUGGAAUGAUGCCUAACACUUGACUUCCUCUGACAAAAGCUGCUUCAGAGACCAUUUUUGAUAACCCUCGGUUACCUCCUCCAUACACCAAGUGUAAUUUUCUCUCUGCUAUACUUCGACCAAGAUCGAUGGCUGCCUCAACGAACUCUUUAUGUUUGCCAUAGGUAAAUCCAGAAAGCACACAAAUGUUCUUGAAUUGUCUAUUUGGAGUAGCUGCCAUUAUGAUACUUCUCAAAAAAUAAUUUGUGAGUGCUUGUAAAAAAAAAAUCACAUUUAAGAGCCUUGGUGACAGUGGGUCAUAGUUGUGUAUGAGGUAACAUGUCAGUGUCAAAUAACGUGUAAAGCACGUGGCUCGCGAGUCAAAAAGGAAACAGUAAAAGGGAAAAAGCAAACAGUAAUAAGGAAAAAGCAAACAGUAAUAAAAUUAUUAAAGACAAUAAUGCACACAAUAAAACAAUAGUGAAAUAAAAUAACAGUAAAGUGAAAGGAUAUUUACAGAUAGUUGCGACUGUGGCUCACAUCUUCCUCUGGUUUUAAGUCUAGAAACGGCUUGAACGCCCUCUAUGGGUCGAGGAUAGGCUUCUUAUCCAGUUUUGUUAUAAACUGGCAAACAGGGUCGUUUAUAGUUAGAUUCUCAAGACUAUAUCGUGCAUGCUCUUUCUGGAAUAAUGAUCAUAACUGGAGAAUCGCUCCUUGCACAUAUCCACUGGGAUGCGUUUCAAGAGACAAAAUGAUAUCAUCCAAUGACUCCUUAUUCAAGCCAUCCCUAAUGAAUUGAAUCUUAUCUUCCCUGUUAUCAGACAUCAUUCCUAAAGAACAUGGGUUUUUAUUGCAACUCAUUCUGGCACACUUAUGACAAACAACAGAAAUUCUUCGAGCUCGUUGUUUUCUUGCAUAAUUUUCUUUACCACAACCAGGCAUGUAUGCAAUAAAUUUUGGAGGUAACUCACCUGCCGAUCGUACUUUCGCCUCAAUUAACCAACGAAUAUCAGCAGGUAUGUUAUUCCUCAUGAGCAAUCGCAUGCGUUCGGACCGAGCUUUAUAGAUCGUAAGGAGGGCAUUCUGAGGAAGUGAAGGGAAUCGCUUGUAAAGCUUCGCUAGAAUCUCCUUUCUGUCCAUACUUUCGCCUCAGAAUAUCAGUUAUUAUGGGAAACUGAAGUAACCGACUUGAUUAUCACGGAGUACCGUUAUCCGCCACUUCACCAAGGUAACAAACUAAAGCACACAAACAGAAAAACAAAUUAAAACACAUAAAGAAAAUUAAAAUCGUCCUCUUAUUGAAUUCACCUCAAGCUCCAACUGGAUGUCGUAAACACUUCUCUCAAUAUCUCUGAGUUGGCUUUCUAGACCCUCAACAUAGGAUACUAACUCUGGUGGUUGACACGUUGAAGUGGUUUAAGAAUGUUCAGGAGGAAUGGUCUAAGUAAGGUACUCAUGAUUAAAAAUGAUAAGAGAAAACUUAAUAGUUAAACAAACACACUUAUGCAAAAAUAAUUUCAAUUAGCAAAAGAAUAAUAUAAAGAAAGAAAGAAAGAAAAAAUCAAAUCACUGAAAAGAAAAAAAUCAAUUCAAAUUUGGUGGGUCACUCAAAUUUAUUUCGAUGUCUUCUCCAUGUGGUUGGUAUUCUAGAUAUGGCUUUAAUCUUUGAGCAUUAACUUUAAACAUGACGCCAUUCUUUGGGUCCUUAAUUUCAAUUGCCCCAUGUGGAAAAACAGUAUGAACAAUAAAGGGACCAGACCAAUGAGAGCGUAACUUACCUGGGAAUAGGUGCAAGCGAGAAUUGAAUAAAAGUACUUUCUGACUUGGAGUGAAUGAUUUUCUCAUAAUUUGCUUGUCAUGAAAGACUUUCAUCCAUUGCUUGUAAAUCUUGGCAUUUUCGUAUGCAUCAUUGCGAAUUUCUUCAAGUUCUGCCAGUUGUAAUCUUCUUUCUGAGCUGGCUUGCUGCAUGUCAAAGUUGAAUUUCUUGAUGGCCCAAUAUGCACGAUGCUCGAGUUCCACAAGUAGGUGGCAAGCUUUUCCAUACACUAGCCUGUAGGGUGACAUCCCAAUCGGGGUCUUGAAAGCCGUUCUAUAUGCCCAUAAGGCAUUAUCAAGUCCUAAUGACCAAUCUUUUCUGUCCGGCCUCACCGUCUUUUCUAAUAUGUGCUUUAUUUCUCGAUUGGAGAUCUCAACUUGGCCACUGGUUUGUGGAUGAUACGGGGUCGCCACUUUGUGUGUGAUUGAAUACUUUGUCAAAAGAGCUUUGAAUGCUUUGUUACAAAAGUGGGCACCACCAUCACUGAUUAUUGCUCAAGGGAAUCCAAAGCGUGAGACAAUAUUGCUUUUCAAAAAUCCUAUCACCACCUUGUGAUCAUUGGUUCUGCAUGGAAUUGCUUCUACCCAUUUCGAUACAUAGUCAACAGCAACUAAUAUGUAUUGAUGGCCAAAAGAAGGGGGAAAGGGUCCCAUGAAGUCGAUACCCCAUAUAUCAAAAAUCUCAACCACUAAAAUUGAAUUUAGUGGCAUCAUGUUCCUUCGUGUAAUGCUCCCCAUUCGUUGACACCUAUCAUAUGAAGAACAGAAAGUGUAAGCGUCUUGAAAUAUAGUUGGCUAAUAGAAACCACAUUGCAAAACUUUAGUAGCUGUUUUCUUAGCACUGAAAUGGCCUCCACAAGCUUGUUCAUGGCAGAAUGAAAGGAUAUUCUGAAUUUCACUUUUGGGACACAUCGUCUAACAAUUUGGUCUGCACAAUACUUGAACAAAUAAAGGUCAUCCCAAAAGAAAUUCUUUAUUUCUGCAAAAAAUUUAACCUUGUCUUGCUUGGUCCAAUGCUCUAGAAGUUUACCUGUAACAAGAUAAUUAACUAUAUCAGCAUACCAAGGUAAUACUUCCACAUUCAUUAAUUGUUCAUUUGGAAAUGACUCAUUCAAUGGUAAUGAUUCUGUAAUUGUGUCAAAAUGGAGACGAGAGAGGUGGUCCGCCACAACAUUUUCUGUCCCUUUCUUAUCUUUGAAUUCCAAGUCAAAUUCCUGCAAAAGUAACACCCAACGAAUUAGUCUAGCUUUUGCAUCUUUCUUUGUAAGAAGAUAUUUAAGAGCAGCAUGAUCUGUGAACACGAUUAUUUUACAACCAAUGAGAUAAGAUCGAAAUUUCUCCAAUGCAAACACUACUGCUAGCAUUUCUUUUUCAGUAGUUGAAUAGUUCAACUAUGCAUCAUUCAAUGUCAUACUAGCAUAGUAAAUAACGUGGGAAAUUCGAUCAACUCUUUGUCCUAAUACUGCUCCUACUGCAUAAUCAGAUGCAUCACACAUGAGCUCAAAUGGUAAGCUCUAGUUCGGGGCCUGAAUGAUGGGUGAUGAUGUCAACAACUGCUUUAAUUUUUUAAAAGCCACAAGACAUGAAUCAUUAAAGAUAAAAGGUACAUCAUUAGCAAGUAAAUUGCAUAAGGGUCUAGAAACUUUGCUAAAAUCUUUAAUGAAACGUUUAUAGAAACCAGCAUGCCCAAGGAAAGAUCUUACUUCUCUGACUGUUUUGGGUGGAGGAAGAUUAGAAAUGAGAUCCACCUUGGCUUUGUCAACCUCAAUACCUUUGCUCGAAAUGAUGUGACCGAGAACAAUACCUUGUUUUACCAUAAAAUGACAUUUCUCCCAAUUUAAAACCAAGUUCUUCUCAAUACAUCUCUGCAGAACUAAUGUUAGAUGAUGUAAACAUUGAUCAAAUGAAUCACCAAAGACAGAAAAGUCAUCCAUAAAGACUUCAAGGAAUCGUUCAACCAUAUCAGAAAAAAUGCUCAACAUGCAUCGUUGAAAUGUAGCAGGUGCAUUACAUAAUCCAAAUGGCAUCCUCCUAUAUGCAAAAGUGCCAAAAGGGCAAGUGAAAGUAGUUUUCUCUUGAUCUUUUGGUGCUAUGGGAAUCUGAUUAUAUCUUGAGUAGCCAUCUAGAAAGCAAUAAAAUUCAUGGCCUGCUAAUCUAUCAAGCAUUUGAUCGAUAAAGGGUAAAGGAAAAUAAUCUUUACGUGUGACAGAAUUCAACUUUCUAUAAUCAAUGCAAACACGCCAUUCUGUAGUUACUCUAGUGGGUAUCAAUUCAUUAUCAGCAUUGGUAACUACUGUGACUCCUGACUUUUUGGGGACAACUUGUACAGGACUGACCCAUGAACUAUCAGAAAUUGGGUAAAUGAUACCUGCAUCUAAUAGCUUAAGGACUUCUGUUCUAACAACUUCUUUCAUAUUAGGAUUUAACCGACGUUGCAUUUCCCUAGUAGAUUUAGCAUUUUUAUCAAGGUGAAUGUAAUGCAUGCAAUCUACUGGAUUUAUACCUUUUAUGUCUGCUAUGGUCCAUCCUAAUGCUCCUUUGUGCUCUUUUAAAACAUCCAACAACUUACCUUUUUAUUCGUCAUUUAGGGAUGAUGAGAUGAUUACCGGUACAGUACUUUCUUCUCCCAAAAAUGCAUAUUCCAAAGUGUUGGGUAAUGGUUUGAGCUCAAGUUUCGGUGGUGAUUCUGAUGAUGGGAUGAGUUUCUUCUCUGAUGGUGCUAGUUGCUUAACUCUUGACUUCUAUUUAUCAGUGUCCAUAGAUGGUGUUGAGUCAAGUAGGGCGUUGACCUCAUCGACCGAUCUGUCAAUAUCAAAAUCCAAACCAAAGUGAGUUAAACAUGUUUGUAAAGGAUCAUCACUAAGGUUUGAAACAAAAGUAUCAUCAACUAAUGCUUCAAUUAAAUCCACAUCAACAAUUCCAUCAUCUGCACUGUGAGGUUGUUUGGCAAUGUUGAAGAUGUUCAGCUCCAUAGUCAUGUUGCCGAAGGACAACUGCAUAUUUCCGGUCCUGCAUUGAAUGUGAGCAUCCACAGUUGCCAAGAAAGGUCGGCCUAGAAUAAUGGGGAUGUGCUUCCUCGAGUCCUGUAUUGGUUGAGUGUCAAUUACAAUGAAAUCAACAGGAAAAUAAAAAUUGUCUACCUGGAUAAGCACGUCCUCCACAAUACCAUGAGGUAUUUUUGUGGACCGAUCUGCAAGUUGUAACACCACUGGAGUUGGGUGUAAUUCUCCAAGUCCAAGUUUCACAAACACUGAAUAAGGUAACAGAUUUACACUAGCUCCUAAAUCCAACAAAGCAUUCUCAAUUGUGUGGUUCCCUAUGCUACAUGAGAUAGUAGGGGAGCCCGGGUCUUUGCAUUUUAAAGGAAUUUUGUGUUGGAGUAUAGAACUAAUGUUUUCUGUUAAAAAUGCCUUAUUUUGAACAUGCAUAUUUCUUUUUUUAGUACAAAGGUCUUUAAGAAACUUGGCAUAAGAUGGAACUUGCUUAAUAGCAUCAAGCAAAGGGAUAUUAACACUUACCUGUUUGAAGAUUUCAAGAAUCUCACCUGUGGAUUUUCCCUUUUUUCCUUUAGCUAACCUUUGAGGAAAUGGAGCUUUCGGAACGUAUUCUCAUGAGUUGUUUUCUUCUUUCUCCUCCGGUGAUGAGUACUCAACAUUCACAGGUACAAUUUGAUUUUCUUUUGUCACCAGCAUCUCCACUUUGUUGUCGACUUCUUUUCCUUUUCGCAAUGUCAUGACUGCUUUGACUUCUCCAUGCUGUUGUGGUGAACUGGUACUUGCUUCAUGUACUUCUUUAGGAUUAGGCACGGGUUGACUUGGAAACUUGCCUUUCUCAACAGUCAUUGCCAAGGUCUGAACUGAAGAAGCAAGUUGUCCCACCAUCUUCUCGAGGCUUGAAACUGAUUGGGCUUGUGAGUUGAAGCCCGCUCUCAAUUCAUUUCGUAGUCCAUCAAUGGUGCGGUUCUGUUGCUCAAUCGUGGAGUGAGUAACAUUCCUGAAAUUCUGGAAUGCAUCCUCCCAUGGUCUAGGUUGAGAGUGGUUCUGGUUCUGAUUGUAUGGUCUGAAUGGUGGCUGAGAGGCUUGAGGAAUUUCAGAAAUUUGUUGCAUUGGUGGAGCUGGAGCUGCUGGUCCAUUCUGUUGGAAUCUUUGAGACCAUGAAAAAUUGGGGUGGUCUCUUCAUCCAGGGUUAUAUGUGUUGGAGUAUGGAUUGUAAUUUGAUGGCUUUCUCAUUACACCUAUGGCAUUGGCUUGAUCAGAGUAUGACUCAGGGUCAUGUGGUUCUGUUGAUUUAGCAGUCGAUAACGAUGCUAUUUGUCGAGCAAGACCUUCAACCAUCUCCUUGACUUCUUUGAAUCCCGAAGUUGACUCGCGAAUGUGAACCUCAUUUACUCCCUUAAUUCUUCUAGUAUUCCUGAAUGAUCGACUCCGUUGUUGGGAAUUAUCCGCUUGUCGCUGGAAGAAUUCCCAAAUCUCUGAUGCACUUUUUGACAUUAGCUCUCCUCCACUUGUUGCCAUUAGCCAUUCUUGCACAUUUGGUAGUGAUCCCUCCAAAAAGUAUUGGCAUUGGUGCCAUUUCUCGUACCCAUGAUGUGGACACUUCAAGAGUAGCCCAUUGAAUCGCUCCCAUGUUUCGAAAAACUGCUCGUACUCUCUCUGAGUAAACUCCGAGAUUUCCCUGCGAAUAGCAUUGGUUUUAUGCACUGGGAAAUAUUUAUUCAAAAAUUUAGUUACCAUUUGUUCCCAUGAUGAAAUGCUAUUGGCAGGCAAUGUAUUAAGCCAUGAACGAGCUCUAUCCUUUAAAGAAAAUGGGAAUAAUCUGAGUUUAACAUCAUUGUCUGAAAAAUUUUCAUAUUUAAAGUUUGACAAAUGGCAUGAAAAUCAUUCAGAUGAUUAUAUGGGUCCUCAUUUUCUAGGUCAUAAAAUGUGGGGAGACAAUUUAGCACACUAGAUUUUAAUUCAAAGCUCCUAGCAGCUACAUUUGGGUAUCUUAUACAUGAUGCGCUCAAAUUUGCUAAAGGACUGAAAUAAUCCUUAAAUGGCCUCUCCUGUGGUUGCAAAUCCAUUUUAUUUUUUACUUGUUUGUGUGUGCGAAGUGUUUUCUCAAGUUCAAGGUCUAUAGGUUCAAGAUUGGGUAAUAAUGACAUUCGACCAUGCAUGCAAAACAAAUAAAAUAAAAAAUAAAGAUGGGAACAAAAUAAAUAAAAAUAAAAAAGAGGGAGAAAUUACGAUACUAACCUUAUUGGGCUAUUACAAACUUUCUAUAAAAAUACACAAAAACAAAUACGUGAAAUAAAUUAACUAAACAUUAAAUUAAUAAAAUAAACAAAAAAAAUUACAAAGAAAAAUAAAUUAAAAAUUAAAUUACAGAAUUUUAAAGAAGAGAAAAAGGAAAGAAAUGCUAACCUUUAAAUGUAAAUUCACUUUUUUUUCUUUUUUUUAAUAAUAAAAAAAAUACAAGAAAACAAAUAAAAGAAAUUAUUCACAAAAAUUAAUUCUAAAAAUUACUUACCUCCCUGGCAACGGCGCCAAAAACUUGUUGUGCAAAUUUUAAUAUACUCGCAAGCGCACGAAUCUAUUGCAGUAUAGAUCAAUGGUGACGAGUGUCGAUCCCACGAGGAGGUGGAUUUUAAUUGUGUAGAAUUAAUUUUGUAAAUGGGUGAUUGGAUUUGUGGUGGAAAUGAUUUGGAAUAUCCUAAAACUUAAAUUAAAAUGGCGAGAAUAAAUUCUAAAAUUGGAAUUGAAAUUACGAGAAUAAAUUGAAGAGAAUUCUAUUAAAAUGACGUACUUGGGUAUCUGGAUCCGUAUCAACAUGCAUCAUGGGCUAAAUAAUCCUUAUUAAUGCCAAUUAAAUCAUGAGGGGGGAAUCCACACCUCAUGAACCACACUCUAAUCAAUAUGGUGCUAAGGGCUUAUCGUGCCAAAUAAUAAUAACCUUGUACUAGAGGGCCGGUGAAACCAAGGCGGUACUAGACAAGAUUAGUAUUAUUUGUCGACGAGAAGUCAAAACAUCCACAAAAACUAGAGGGGAAGAGAAAAUAAAUUUACCAAAUAAAACCCAUGACACAUGUUGAGACUUCACUUUCAACCCAAGCUUGAAAGAAAAUUAGCUACUCAUAAUUGAACUAGGGGCAAAAUGAGAAUUUAUUAAAAUACGAAGAAACUACAAGAUGGAGAAGGAAUUACAAAAAAUAGAGUCCAAAAAUGGAUUCAGAGAUAUCAAAUUAUGGGGGAGAGGCCCCCUUUUUAUAGAUACAUCAAGUAAAUCAUGGCCAUCGGAUUAAAAACAGUUUGGACGCUCAAGAUUGCGACACGUCAUCAGUCAACAGUAACACGGUUUGACUCGGAUGAACAGUAACACGGUUUGACUCGGAUGAACAGUAACGCGGUUUGACUCGGAUGAACAAUAACGCGUUUGGUUGAAAAUAAUUCUGUGUGAUGCAUGUACCGUAUGCGAGAUUUUUCGUUCACUAAUAUGCUGCCACGUCACCAUCAACAGUACAUAAGAAUUUUAGCCCAACAGGAUCGUGACACCUCAUCAGUCAAUGCCACAUCAUCGGUCAAUGCCACGUCAUCGAUCCGUCUAUGUGAACAAUGUAGUGAACAGUAACGUAGACAGUACCGUACACGUGAAUAGUACCGUACAUGUGAAUAGUGCCAUUUUUCCAUUUAUGUUCCUCCUAAGGUUUUCGACCGUUCUGAGUUCAAAAGUGAUGUCCGUUUUGCCGUCUGAUCUCUCCUUUAUUGUGAAAUGACUUUAAUGCCCCUAAAAUACAUAAAAUACUUAAUUAAAAUAAAACACAUGUAAUUAAAUCACAAGAAGGUUAAAUACAUAAAAGUAAGGGUUGUUAGUAAGACUUGAAAUGUAAAAUGACGGUCUUCUCCUUUAUAAGUAUGCAUUUUCUGACACUCAACAUGUGUGUGUAUGGAGGGCAAAUCUUUGACUACCUCCAGCUUCAAGGACCUAUACAAUAACUCUUAAAUCAAACGGAGAAAAUAGUUAAUUCAAUCUGAUUGAAUAUGAUUGAUAUUUACCAUAUGAUUAUUACAUAAAGAUUGAGCCUUAAGUGUUUUACAUUAAGUAAUACUGCACAUUUGUUCUACACAUUUAGACAACUCAGAGUAAGAAUUAUGAAAAUGACAACCAAAUCCAAACUAGCUAGGUGCACUAUUAUUAUUUAUCUUUGCUCCAUAAAUAUUAGAAAGAUAGAGGAGCGGAAGAAAAAGAAAAAACUAAUUUUGUAGUCACAAAUCAAUCUUAUGCUCUGAUUUUGAAGCAAAUCUGCAAAAUAUUUGAGGAUCCAACCAUGAAGCAUGUCCACUUCAAUCUUUCGCUGCACUGCUAACCAUUAUGGGUCGUCUUCUAUUGCUGGCUGUACGUCUAAGCAAUGGGAACCUACUCCAAUUUACACACUGUUAAUUAAUUAUGUUAUCAAAUAAUUUAGUUAAUAAUUGAACACUUAUUUUUUAUUUUAUAGAAAAAUUUACAUACUGCUUCUUGUUGUCACUGUUAUUAUAUUGUCUGAUAUCUUCCAAAACCCUAUAAUCUCCCCCCCACCAAAAAAAAAAGAAGAAAAAGAAUAAGGCAUAUAAUUAAACGGGUAACUUCGAUAGAAAAUAGUGUACAAAAUUUUUAAGCUUAAUUACCCCUCGCUGCUAUGGGAUCACGAAGGCCAUUAGGUAAAAUAAUGUUGCUACCAAAUCUCUUUAAAACCACUCUUAUAUCUUGCAAAUUAAAAAGAAAUAGAAAUCAAACAACAAUUGAGGUAAACUUUAUAAUUAAAAAAGAAAAUGAGAAAAAUUAAAUUAUUAAAAGAAUUAAUUUGGGGAUUAAUCAAUACUUACAUGACCUCCGUAAUAUGUUGUAAUCUAAUGUGGUCUCGGAACCACUCCAUAAGACUUAUUGCAUGAAUUCAUAUAUUCUGUCAGAUUAAAUGAGUAUGUUUGAAACAUUGUGUCGUUUUUGCCAAUUCCAAUUGGUGAGACCAUUUCAUUGUAUGUCUGGAUUGAACUCCCCCUCCCUAAAAAAAAUAAUAAAUAAAUAAGAUAAAGAAGAAAACUAUUUUUAAUCAUUCAUAAAUAUGUAUUCUCAUAAAUAAAAUUUAGAGAUGUACAUAAAAUAAGUAUUGUUAGACGAAAGACUCAUUCAUUGCGACAUGUUGUUUAUUUGACGGUCUCAAUAGUACUAUCCAAUUGGUUUAUUGGCUUAUAUUUGUGUGGUGUAGAUCUAUUUGAAUAACAUUGCAGAAAUAUGAGAUAAUAUGGAAAAUAUUAGAAAUAGUUAAUAGCAUUAUUAAGAUACUAAAUAUCAGCCAAAAUAAUAAAAUAAAUAAAAAGCUCAAAGAGUUCUUGUUGUAAAUCAUGACUCGAAUAGGAAAAUAAACAAGACUAAUCAUAUCUUUGUGUAAAUUUAAUUUGUAUAAAAAAAACGUGUAGGUGUAAUAUUAUAAAUAAACUCAUAGAGAAAAGAAUGUGUAAACUCCUGUGAUUUGACAAAAUAAUCAAAAUAAUCUGUUUAUUUUUUAAAAUAGUUACAAAGCUCCUUUUGUAACAUACAAACUAUGGAAAUUCAUGGGCUACUUAACAUCCAUUUUAAUUUUUUUUUAUUUACACAAAAACAUCAUAGACGAAAGAAGAUAAAAAAUUUCAUUGCACCCAAUUUUUUUGCAUGCGAUCAAUAAGGAAAAGAGGCAGAAAGUGUUGGAAAUAUAGCACAAGUGGCUAUUUGAGGCGUGAUUUUGAGUGAGACCUAUGUGGUGUAAGUGAAAAGUUAAAAUUGUUUCAAAUAUUUCUCUGUAAAUACUUCAAAAUGGUUUUAUCUAUAUGAUCAAAAUGAUCCUUGGAUAAAUGAGAAAUGGUAACUGAAAGUAAAUUCAUGGAAUUGGAAAAUUAAAGGAAGAUACAUUUGUCCCACAUGAAAAAGGUAGUGAAGGCAUGAAAGGCUUGUAUAUAAUUAUUUAUAGUAUGAGUAAAAUAUAAACCAAAAUGCUCUCUCUUCCGUGCUCCUUCCUGAGUAUACGAAAGUUGGCCCAAAUCGAUCGUGGUAGGCCUGCCUUAGUCUUGCACAUUUGAAGUUCAUCGUGAAACGAUCCCAUAGUUGUCGUUCAAACCUCUGGGCACUUAAAAAAAGGUUUUCUUUUUAUUUUUUUUAUAUUUUUUAAAUUUAAUAAAUGCCAUAUUAUUUAAUAUUUAAUUUUAAGGCAUCUUUUUAAGUUGAGGGCAGGGAACCACUCCGAUACGUAACUUCGUGACCUGCUAAUCUAAUCACCUUGACUUUGAAGACUUCUUCCCCUAGUCAGCAAUGAUUUGGAACUUACGUCUUGACAUAUGCUGUGGAAAAAAAAGAGUGAAGCAGACUUAUUAAGUCGAGAUGUUUCUUCAGUCUAGAUAUUUUCGUUUAUACGUGUACACAUAUUCAAUGUCUAACCUUAUUUUGAAAAAAGACUAAUGUCCUAUUUGGGAUUACGGUUGAAAUACUAUAAAUAGUUUAUUUUAUAAGUUUUGAUAAAAAUAAUGUUUGGUAAAUUUGUUAAAAGUUAAUUUAUAUUUUCUCUAUUUUGACAAUAGCUUUUAAAACAAGUAUGAGAUUAUUUUUAGAAGCAACUUAUUAAAUAAAAUGCAUUUUUUUAAAUUUUCUAUUAUAACUAAGAAAAGAAUAAUUGUAUCUUACUUUUUUUAUAAAUCCUAAUAUAUAAAUAAAAGACAAUUUAAACUUAUAAUUAUUUUAGUGAUUAUAUAAUAAAAUAGUUCUUGCAUAAUUGAAUUUACCAAACACUGAGCGAGCUACUUUUAUAAUGAUUAGCUUAUUUUAUCCGCAUAACAGAAGUAGUUUAUUCAAUAGCCACCGGAAUCUCAAACUGAUUCUAAGUCAUGUUUGGAAUUGCAUGACAUUGUCAAAUAAUUAACAAAAGAAGCUAUUAUGUAGAAGCAUAGGAACAGGUUGAGAAUGAGAGAUACAUGUACAUGGAGAGCAAAUUCUUUUACUCUCACCGGCUUCAACGACCUAUACAAUAACUCCUAAAUCAAAGGGAGAAAAUGGUUAAUUCAAUGUGAUUGUACAUGAAUUGAUAUUCACCAUAUGAUUAUUACAUAAAGAUUGAGCCCUUUAUAUGUGCUUUACAUUAAGUAAUACUGCACACUUGUUCUACACAUUUAGACAACCCAGAUUAAGAAUAAUGAAAAUGAACUCUUAAACUAGCUAGGUGCUCUAUUAUUUAUCUUUGCUCCAUAAAUAUUAGAAAGAUAGAGGAGAGGAAGAAAAAGAAAAACAACAACAUACACUCUAAAUAAUCCUUCAAUUCUGAAACAUCCUUCAGAGGCUUGUAAUCAAAUAAACAACAACAACAUAGAAUUAAGUGCCACAAGGUUAGUAACAUUAUAAAAGAUCUUUCAACAUGCCGUCUAAAAAAUGUUGUUAUAUUUAGUUAGAUUACAAUAAACUUUAUAAGUAUGAAGCUAUUGAUAUUAUCAAAUGCAAACGUACAAAUUUGGCCUUAUUUGAUAAUUAGAGUUGUGCGUGGUUUUGUAGUUCAAAUUUAGAUUCUGUAAAAUACGAACCUCUGGAGGGCUGAAUCUAAGCACCAGUAUACUAUAUAUAUGGUAAUGCAAAGGCCGUGUAUAAGCCCAAAUCCAGAUUUUUACUUUGUAUAUUACACGUUAAUCGAAAUGUAUAUAUACUCUGAGGAUGACAGAUAAUUAAUUAGACAUAGUACAUUCGAUAAUGAUGCUACAAUAACAUUGCAUUAAUUGUAAUUAAGGGAAAAUCGGAUGGAUAUAUAUAAGCAAUUAUGUAAAGUAAUAUGAUUAAUUUCUUGCAGGUUUUGAACUUUUUAGAGAGAAAAGCAAGUCCAUUUUUUCUAGCAGCGGUUUUAUCCAUUUCAACCCAGGACUGUUUGAUGGUCAUGUAGCAGCCCUCGCUGGCUUCCUGCAUCAUUAAUUUUCAAAAUUCAAUGGUUAAAUUUUAACAAGAAAACAUAAUCAUACAUAUAUAGAAUUUUAAUUAAUUAAUUUUUUUUCUUACCCUACAGUCAUUGGUGACAAGAUCAUAAUAUGCGUUUGAUGGUGUGAUAUUAUCAAAGUAGAGAAUUGGGGCGGGCGAGGCAACUGCUCCCAAAGACUGUGAGGAUACUUCAAGCGAAACCAUGCUGCAAGCACUGGUGAUAACAAACCCACAAUUGAGUAACUCUCAAAACCAUAUCACAUCCCAGAUUUGAUAAAAUAGGACUAAUUGAGAUGGUUAUUUUUAAAAAAGUAAUUAUCUUAAAUAUAUUUAGUAUUUCUUAAUUUUACGAUCGCUGAAAGUAUUCAUUAAUUGGAAUGCAAAAUAAAUUUGUAUCAAAAUAAUAUUGGCGUAAUCAAUAUUUUGGUCAAACGAGAUCAAAAUGAAUAAAAUGGCGCAACAAAUGACACGACAUUAAUCAAAAGAUGUAAGUAAGUUAAUAAUAUUAAAAUUUACUUCCUCGAUAAGAUGCUCCAACGACGAUAAUGGGUGACAUUUCGGCCGAUAAAUUUUCCUUGAUGUGUAAGAGAAUCUUUGCAUAAUCUACCAAAGCUUGACCAGAGUUUAAAUAUCCACGAAGAGUUGCAUUGUUUAGGGCAUCUUUGCUUGAUACAAAAGGUACUGAUUUUCCAUAGAACCGAUACUGCAUGAAAAAUUGAAUUAAAAAAAAUCCAUCACAACUUUUCAGUUCAUAUUAUAGAAUAUUCUGAUUAAGAUUUGUCUUUAUUAUUAUUAUUUCGUAUGCGAACUCUAUUUUAAUUAUUAUCAAGCUAGCCUGAUAACAAAUUCUUUACUUACCUCUAUGUAAACUUAUAAGGCUUUAAAUCGAUGAGCAUUAUCAGCAAGCCAUCCAAUGCCACCAAGGUCAUCAUAUCAAGACUACUCUCUUCACCAAGAUAUGCCAAUAUCGGCGCCGCCAUGGCUCUGCCACCACCCCAAUGCUUGAAGUUCAACGCAUAUCUAUGAGGAAAAGUUAAAUAACUUUGUGGAUUAUAGUUAAAGUGAUCAAGUGUUUGAUCAUAAUAGUAAGUUUCGAGAUCAUAAUAGUAACUUUGUGGAUUUUUUUGCUAGGGUUUUGAAAAAUAGUCCUUCCACGAACAGCACCAAGCUUUGGGAUGUUCUUUAAUGGUGAAGUGGAAGCAAAAGCAAAAUUUGUGACGAGAAGAAGAAAAAGGCAUGGAGCGACCGACCUUUCAUGGCAAAGUUGUAAAUCCUUAAUUAGCAGGAUGAUUAUGUAAAUACAGAAGAAAUAGAGUUAAGAUUAGAUUAUAAAUUCAGCUUCAAAAUCGACGUGUUUGUUAAUAUAUCCUGGAUUUGUUGUUAUCGUAUAAUAUAAUUAAUGUUGCUUUUAGUUUUAUAUUAGUAUGGAUCUUCAGUUUUCAUAAAAUUAUAGUGUGUCUAAUGUUGUGCAAAUUUUAUUGAACUCACAAGUGUACGAAUCUAUUGUAGAAUAGAUUAAUGGUGACGAGUAUCGAUCCCACGAGGAGGUUGAUUCUAAUUGUGUGUAGAAUUAAUUUUUCUAAAUGGAUGUUUGGAUUUGUGGUGAAAGUGACUUAGAUUAUCUUAAAAUUGGAAUUGAAAUGGCGAGAAUAAAUUGAAGAGAAAUCUAUUGAAAUGAAACACUUGGGUAUCUGGAUCCGUAUCAACAUGCACCAUGGGCUAAAUAUUCCUUAUUAAUGUCAAUUAAAUCAUGAGGGGGGAAUCCACACCUCAUGAACCACACUAUAAUCAAUAUGGUGCUAAGGGCUUAUCGUGCCAAAUAAUAAUAACCUUGUACUAGUGAGUCGGUGAAACCAAGACGGUAUCUAGACAAGAUUAUUAUUAUUUGUCGACGAGAAAUCAAAACAUCUACAAAAACUAGAGGGGAAGAGAAAAUAAAUUUACCAAAUAGAGCCCAUGACACAUGUUGAGACUUCACCUUCAACCCAAGCUUGAAAGAAAAUUAGCUACUCACAAUUGAACUAGGGGUAAAAUGAGAAUUUAUUAAAAUACAUAGAAAAUACAAGAUGGAGAAUAAAUUACAGAAAAUGGAGCCCAAAAUUGGAUUCAGAGAUAUCAAAUUAGGGGGGGAGAGCUCCCUUUUUAUAGAUACAUUGAGUAAAUCAUGGCCAUCGAAUCAAAAACAUUUCGAACACUCAGGAUUGCGCCACGUCAUUAGUCAACAGUACGCGGUUUGAACAGUAACACGGUUUGGUUGAAAAUAAUCCUGUGUAAUGCAUAUACUGUACGCGAGAUUUUUGGUCCACUGAUAUGUUGCCACGUCAUCGAUCAACAAUACAUAAGAAUUUUAGUCCAAUAGGAUCGUGACACCUCAUCAGUCAAUGCCACAUCAUCGGUCAAUGCCACGUCAUCGGUCAAUGCCACGUCAUCGUUCCGUCUAUGUGAAUAGUGUCAUGAACAGUAACGUAGACAAUACCGUACAUGUGAGUAGGACCGUACAUGUGAACAAUGACAUUUUUCCUUUUAUGCUCCUCCUAAAGUUUUCGACUGUCCUAAGUUCAAAAGUGAUGUCCGUUUUGCCGUAUGAUUUCUCGUUCAUUGUGAAAUGACUAUGAUGCCCCUAAAAUACAUAAAAUACUUAAUUAAAAUAAAACACACGUAAUUAAAUCACAAGAAGUUUAAAUACAUAAAAGUAAGGGUGUUAGUAAGACUUGAAAUGUAAAAUGAUGAUUUUCUCCUACAUAAAUAUACAUUUUCUAACACUCAACAUCUAAUAUAUAGUUAACAGUUUCGUAAUUAAUAAAAUUUUUUAUUAUUUCUUUCCUAGUAAUUAAUUAUCUUGUGCUGGAAAGAAUAUCACUAACCACAACUUCUGCAGAAGCUUCCUCACCUUCGGAUGACAUCAGCGGUGGGUCCAGGAUGUUUGAUCGGAUCGGCGAAAUUAAAAAUUUAUUGUAUAUGUUUGCGUGAAUAUUUACAAAGGAGUGAAAAAACUAAUAUAUUAAAUAACGCGACAUCAACAACGUCGUUCUGAAUGAAAUUUUUAUAUAUAAUUUGUAAAAUAAACUAAUAAUUAGAAUGACAAUUUAGCCUUUUUAACUUGUAGAGACACAACCUUAAAUUCCUUAAUAUGCUGGUUAAUUCAGAUCAUUGAGAUGGAGACAAUUAGACAAACCUUAUUUUAUCAGAGUGAACUGCGAAAGUACAAGCUUUACAAAAGAGAUUAAUGUCGUAGUGUGAAUAGAAUUAAAAAAUACUAAGGCAGACAAUUCGUCGAACACAUAAUAUUUGCUACAUUGCUACUACCUAAUAAUUUCACAACCAAUUAACAGUCUCCUUUAUUGGAAAAAUCACAUUAAUCAACCAAAUACAUUUCUUGGUUUCUAAGCUCCAAAAUUGAAAUUUCAUGAAAAGGUUUCUGCAUUGGUGUCUUAUUGCGAGCGAUAAAUUCGUUGGACACGAGUUGCAUUGUAGGUCGAGACUUUGGUUGAGAACGCAAGCAUGAAAAUACUACUGUUGAAACAAGAAUGAUAUCCUGCCUAAUCAUUUGGUCCCCCGGAGGCGGGAGGCGUGGGUCCAACAAAUCAAUCAGCUUUAUAUUUUUAUCCAAUGAUGACGAUGACGAUGAGAGGAGCGCUUCUGGAUGCCUUCCCACUAGUACUUCUAGUGCCACCACUCCAAAGCUAUAAACAUCACAUUUCUCUGUCACAAUCAUGGUGUAGGCAAGUUCUAUAGGAAAACAAAGGCCUUCAUUAGUAACGUUUCCAUAAAUAAUAACAAGAACAAUUUGUUCAUGUUUUUUAGCUUCCGCAGCAAGUUAUGACAAAGAAACUUAUGUUUUAACUUAUGUUCAUUGUGUGUGUGUUUUAAAAGGAAAAGGGGUAGGCAAAGUUUAAAUUUAUUUUUAGCCCCUUAGCUUUUUCAAAAUUCGAACCAAGUAGCGACAUAAAUAAAGCUGCUUAAAAGCUACUUGGCAGAGUAUAUAUAAAAAUUAAUUAAGAGGAUAAUUAAAGAAGCAUAAGAGGAAUAGCUAGAGGAUGACCUGGAGCAAUAUAUCCAAAAGUGCCAGCUAAAAGAGUUCGGUUGGAUGAGUCAAAAUUUAACAAUCUAGCAAUGCCAAAGUCCGCAACAAAUGCUUCUAAUUCUGAGUUAAGUAGAAUGUUGUUGCUUGAUAUGUCCCGGUGAACAAUUGGUGGUGUGCAGUGAUGAUGUAAGUAUGACAAAGCGUGAGCCAUACCCUUCACAAUGUUCACCCUUUUAGUCCAAUCCAACCCAAUAGCUUCCUCAUCUGUGCGUAGAACACAGAACAAGCUUCCCAUUUCCAUGUACUCAUAGAUUAAGAACAUGCAUGUCUUGUGCAAACAAAAGCCGUAAAGCUUUACGAUAUUUCGAUGCCGUAUUUGGGACAGUAGACGAGCCUCAUUCCGAAAACUCUCGAGGGAAGCUAACUCCUCAGUUUCUGAACGGUGAAGCUUCUUCAAAGCAACCACUUUUCCACUGGGCAGCCGUGCUCUGUAAACGCUGCCGUAGCCUCCGGUUCCAAUGCAGUAUUUGAUAUCGAAAUCCUCAGUGGCUUCAAUCAUGUCUUGAAAUGUAAUUCUACCAUCGUAAUUCCAAAUUGCAAACUCAUCAGCGCACUUGGUAAUUUCUCCUGUCCCAGUUGGUUCAACUUCCUUAUCCCUUCGUCUACGGAUAAUCAAGAUUCCAAAUAUCAAGGCAAGGAAUGCGACCAUAGCAAGAAUAAUUGCAACCAAGAGAGUGGCAAUCAUUUUGUGAUGUGGCGGUGGCGCAUUUGCCAAAGUAGUUGGGAUUUCUCCUCCGAAUUUAUUACCUGACACAUCUAAGUGUGGCACUUUUCUGACAAAUACAGGGAUUCCACCGGAAAGGUUAUUCAUGGAAAGGUCCACGGUGUGUAUGCCCGGAAUUGCUCCAAGUUGGUAAGGUAUUUUACCAUUGAUGGAGUUACAGCUUAGAUCAAGAUAAUAUAGUUCUUGAAGUUUGCCAAUCUGUGACGGAAUGCUUCCGCUUAACAAGUUGUUUCCCAAUAUUAAUGUCGUCAGCUUUGAGCAAUUCAUGAGUUCUGGAGGAAUUGGGCCAUCAAGUUUGUUGUCAGACAAGUCUAAAAAUGUCAACCUGUUUAAAUGACCAAGUGUUAAAGGAAUAGAUCCAGUUAGAUUGUUAUAUUCCAGGGACAGAGAUUUCAAGUUGACUAAACUAGCUAUGGUCGAAGGAAUUGGACCUUCAAGUUUGUUGUUGGGCAGGUCAAGAACUUGAAGAAAGUUCAAAUGACCCACAGACGAAGGGAUUGGACCAACAAGUUUGUUUUCAGACAAGUCUAAAUAUGUCAACCUGUCUAAAUGACCAAGUGUUGAAGGAAUAGGUCCAGUUAGAUUGUUAUCCUGCAGGGACAGAUAUGUCAAGUUGACUAAACUAGCUAUGGUCGAAGGAAUCGGACCUUCAAGUUUGUUGUUGGACAGGUCAAGAACUUGAAGAAAGUUCAAAUGACCCACAGACGAAGGGAUUGGGCCAACAAGUUUGUUUUCGGACAAGUCUAAAUCUGUCAACCUGUUUAAAUGACCAAGUGUUAAAGGAAUAGGUCCAAUUAGAUUGUUAUAAUGCAGGGACAGAGAUGUCAAGCUGACUAAACUAGCUAUGGUCGAAGGAAUUGGACCUUCAAGUUUGUUGUCGGACAGGCCAAGAACUUGAAGAAAGUUCAAAUUCCCGAUUUCUAAUGGGAUGGAACCAUUGAUUCGGUUUGAGUGCAUAUUCAAAGUAGUUAGCUGAGUCAAAGGACCUACAGACGAAGGGAUUGGACCAACAAGUUUGUUUUGGGACAAGUCUAAAAUUCUCAACCUCUUUAAAUGGCCAAUUGUUGAAGGAAUUGAACCUCCAAUUUCAUUUCUGGACAGGUCAAGAACUUGAAGAACCUUCAAAUUCUCGAUUUCUAAUGGGAUGGAACCAUUAAUUUGGUUUGAGGCAAUAGCCAAAGUAGUUAGCUGGGUUAGAUGACCUAGAGUGGAGGGGACAUUACCAACAAGGGAGUUAGAAGACAAGUUCAAAAUUUUCAAUUUGCUUAGACGACCAAGAGUUGGAGGGAUAUGUCCCGUAAGGUGAUUAUUAGAUAGAUCCAGGUGGACGAGAUUCCUCAAUCUCCCCAUCUCUGAAGGGAUAAUUCCUGUUGUGCAUGUGAUUUAUGAAAAACGAGAUCAGUAUUCACUAUCCUCAUAGCAACAAAAAAAAAUGCAAAAUUUAUAUGGAGAGAGAGUCAUACUCAAGUGCGGACGGCACACACUUCUUCAGCGUUGUAAAAGCAAACGCCCGCACUAAGCAUGAGCACGAUUUUAUAAAAAAUAUAAUAUGUUACAGUGAAGUUUGGCAGCUUACCGGUAAGAUUGUUGGAGGUCAGUUCAAGAGUUCGGAUUGUUGAAAGAACAGUAAUUUCAGAUGGAAUGCUCCCAGAGAGAAGAUAAUUUGAACGAAUUUUGAAACUUCUGAGGUUGGGAAAGCAAGAGAAUUUGAAACGACCAAGCUCUCCUGUGAUGUUAUCAUUUUCAUACCAGAGUAAGCUGACCCCGAUUACGCUUACCGCUGAAUUGCAACUGAUGCCAGUCCACUUACAAUGAUCGGACGUGUAGUUGCCCGUCGUCGCCCAAUUGUUGACCCACCAGCCGGUAGCAAGUAAAGCUUCCCUUUCUAACAGUAUGGGUGACGACAACAAUCCUGCAGCUGAUGUCGUUACAGAUAUUGUCGUAUCACUUAUAGCACCAACAUUUAUUAAAAUUAUAAUGACCACCAGUCUCGAAACAGAGGACGCUGAUGCCAUGUUUAUGGUGGUUUUCUGUUGAUUGAGCUACAUUUGAUUCUCAGCAAAGCGUUUAUAUAAGAAUCAAUUGUUUUGCAAGCUCCCAGUGUUAACUUCCAAUACGCGUUUUCAAAUAGUGUGAGUCAAUGUCUUCUCUGGAUGGAUUCAAUCAUGGAGAUAUAACCUUAUCGGCUUGUAUUUGUGAGGUGUAGAUCUAUUUGAACAACUUUGCAGAAACAUGAGAUAAUAUGGACAAUAGUAGAAAUAAUUAAUAGCAUUAUUAGUAGUAUAAGAUAUUAAGUAUUACCCAAAAUAAGAAAAGGAAAAAAGUUCAAAGAAAAGAAUUGUUAUAAAUAAUGGCUCAAAUAGGAAAAUAAACAAGACUAAUCAUAUCUUUUGUAACAUACAUACCAUAGCUCAUGGGCUAACUAACAUUUUUUUUUUUUAACCCUAAACAUCAUAAAUGAAAGAAGAUGAAAUUUUAAUUACCGCUCAAUUUUUCUGCACGCAACCAAAUUUAAAAAAAAAGAAAAAAGAAAGUGUUAGAAAAAUAAUGCGCAAGUAGCUACUUGAGGCAUGAUUUUGAAUGAGACCUUUUUGGUAUAAGUGAAAAUUCAGAAAUUGUUUCGCAUAUUCCUCUAUGAGUACUUCGGAAUGUUAUCUAUACAAUCAAAAUGAUCCUCAAGUGAAUGAGAAAUUGUUACUCAAAGUGCACUCAUGAAUUUGAAAAAUUAAAGGAAAAUACAUUUGUCCCACAUUGGAAAGAUUUAUACAUAAUUACUAGAUGAACGGUAAGCUACUAUUAGCAAAGGGGCGUUCCUUGUGCACAGUCACGGGAGUGCAAAAUUUAACCACCCCAAUUAGCUUAACCAGUGUUCAUAUUGGGGGUGUUUACCCGACCCUUAGUUGGGGUUAGCUAAUGUGGCAACUUAGUUUGCCUUUUUUUUUUUUUUGCUCUUUGUAAUAAUAAUAAUAACAAAUUAAUAUAAUUUUUUAAUUUAAUAUUAUAUUACAUAAUAUUAAAUUAUGUUUUAAUUUUUAUUAUUUUAAAUAUAUAACUAAACAAUGUAUUAUUUAAUUGUAUUAUUUUAAUUAAUAUAUAAAAUUAUAUUAAUUAAUCUUUAAUAAGUUAAUAUAAUUAGUAAUAAAUACUUAAAUAAUAUAAUAUUACAUUAUUAAUUAUAGUACAAUAAUUAAUUUAGCUAUUUUUAAAUAAUUUAAUAUAACUAACAAUAAAUAUUUAAAUUUGAAUAAAUUUGAAUAAUAUUAAUUGAAAAUUAAUAAUAUAAAUAAUUACUGGAUUAUUUAGCUCAAUUUAUUUUCUUAGUGAAUAUGUCAUAACAAUUGUAUCACUUUAUUAUUCUAUAAUUAUCUUGUAAUAUGUAUAAAUUUUUAUUCUAUCAUCCUCAAAUGAUUUUUGAAUUAAUCUUGAAGAUUUUAACUAUUUAUUUAUGUUGUUAAAUUAUUUAGUGAUUAUUUGAUUAAAUUAUUUACUUCGAUCUUUAUUUCACAAGUUAUAUAUUUAGAAAAUACUGAAAAAUACACAUCCAAAAAUUUAAGACUAUAAGCCUCGGAAAAAUUAUGACAUUUCAAUAUAUAUUUUUAAUAAAAAUGUUAAAUUUCUAAAUUUCUAAAAUUUAAUAAUUUUAUAUUUAUUAUUUUUAAGUACUAAUAAAUAUUAUUUUCUAAAUAUAUAAUUUAAAUUAAUCACAAAAAAAUUAAUACAGUACAGUGUAACGCUAAACAUUAUACAACAUUAUUAUAAUACAAUGCUAAUGCAAUACAACAUAAUACAAUACACCUACAAUAAAAUAAUGCAAUACAACAUAAAAUAGAAUACAGUGUGUCAAAUGCACCAUUGUAUUAUUGUUUCGUUCUCAUGGUAUAAUUGCCGUCCAUACCUGUGCAAAACAUUAAGAGUUAAAAAUAUAUAUUUUUAUGAUUAAUUUUAGAUUUUUUUAAACUUUAAUAAUGCCAUAUUAUUUAAUAUUACAAUUGCCGUUCGAACAUGUGCAAAACAUGAAGACUAAUAUAUAUAUAUAUAUAUAUAUACACACCAUAUUAUUUAAUAUUUAAUUUUUAAGGCAACUUUUACUUUUAAAAAAAAAAUUUAAGGCAACUUUUUUAGUUGAGGGCAGGGAACCCCUACGAUACGUAAUUCCAUAACACGCUUAUCUAAUCACCUUGACUAUAAGACUUCUCCUAGUCAGCAAUUAUUUGGAAAAAAACGUCUUGACAUGUGCUGUGGAAAUUAAAGAAUGAGGUGGACUUACGAAGUCAAGGGGUUUUUCUAGUCUACAGAUUUUAAUUUAUAUGUGUAGAAAAUUAGAAAUAUUCAGUGUCUAAUCUGAUUCUACAUAAAGACUAAUGCCCCAAGAUUGUGAUUGAAAUACCACAAGCAGUUUAUUUCAUAAGUUUAGGUAAAAAUGAGGUUUGAUGGCUUUGUUAAAAGUUGCUUCUUUCGUAAUUUUCUCAUUUUGACUGCAACUUCAAAAAAUAGGCAGGAGAUUAUUUUGAUAAGCAACUUAUUAAAUAAGUUGCUAGAUCUUUUUAAAUGUUCCUAUAAUAAUCUUAAUAUUUUAAGAAAAGAAUAAUUAUAUCUUUCUUUUCUAUAAGCUCUAAUAUAUAAAUAAAACACAGUUUAAACUUAUGUCUAUUUUAGUGAUUAAAUAAUACAAUACAUUCAUAAUCAAAUUUACCAAACACAAGCAAGAUACUUUUUUAAUCAUCAACUUAUUUCAUCCUCACAACAAAAAUAACUUAUUUUAUCAGCCACCGCCAUCCUAAACUUGAUGCUAAGUCACAUUUGGGAUUGCAUUUGAUUGUCAAAUAAUUAAGAGAAAUAGCCAUUAUGGAGAAGAAUAGGGAGAGGUUCGCCUAAAGCAAUAUACCCGUAAGCUUGGCUACUAAUAAACGGAGCAUAUAAGCAUAAACACCUAACUUUUGAGGCAUAUAAGGGAUCUAAAAGUGCGGGAAACGUUCGGAAAAACUUUAAAACCACAGGGUUUUAAAGGCUUAAACUGCAUGGUUUAUGUGUUUUCCUAGAUAUUCCUACACUUUAAAAUUCAAGAUUAAAACAUUUCCAUAUGUGUGUGUGUGUGUGUGUGUGUGGAGGGCAAAUCUUUGACUCUCUCCAGCUUCAAGUACCUAUACGGUAACUCUUAAAUCAAAAGGGAGAAAAUGGUUAACCCAAUCUGAUUGUAUAUGAAUUGAUAUUCACCAUAUGAUUAUUGCAUAAAGAUUGAGCCUUAAGUGCUUUACAUUAAGUAAUACUGAACACCUGUUCUACACAUUUAGACAACUCAGAGUAAAAAUUAUGAAAAUGACAACCAAAUCCAAACUAGCUAGGUGCACUAUUAUUAUUUAUCUUUACUCCAUAAAUAUUAGAAAGAUAGAGGAGAGGAAGAAAAAGAAAAGACUAAUUUUGUAGUCACAAUUUAAUCUUAUGCUCUGAUUUUGAAGCAAAUCUGCAAAAUAUUUGAGGAUCCAAUCAUGAACCAUGUCCACUUCAAUCUUUCGCUGCACUACUAACCAUACUGGGUCAUCUUCUGUUGCUGGCUGUGUGUCUAAGCAAUGGGAACCUACUCCAAUUUACACACUAUUAAUUAUGUUAUCCAAUAAUUUAGUUAAUAAUUGAACACUAAUUUUUUAUUUUAUAGAAAAAUUUAAAUACUGUUUCUUGUUGUCACUGCUAUUAUACUGUCUGAUAUAUCUUCCAGAAUCCUAUAAUCCCCCCCCCCCCAAAAAAAUAGAAGAAACAGAAAAGAUAUAUAAUUAAACAGGUAACUUCGAUAGAAAAGAGUGUACACAAUUCUUAAGCUUAAUUACCCCUCGCUACUAUAGGGAUCACGAAGGCCAUUAGAGAAAAUAAUGUUGCUACCAAAUCUCUUUAAAACCACUCUUAUAUCCUGCAAAUUAAAAAGAAAUAGAAAUCAAACAAAAAUUGAGGUGAACUUUAUAAUUAAAACAGAAAAUGAGAAAUCUUAAAAUAUUAGAAGAAUUAAUUUGGGGAUUAAUCGACACUUACAUUACCACUUUAAUAAGUUGUAAUCCAAUGUGGUCUUGGAACCACUCCAUAAGACUUAUUGCAUGAAUCCAUAUAUUCUGUCAGAUUAAAUGGGUCUGCUUGAGACAUUGUGUCGUUUUUGCCAAUUCCAAUUGGUGAGACCAUUGCACUGCAUGUCUGCAUGAGAAACCCCCCAAUAAUAAAAAAUAAUAAUAAUAAAAUAACAUAAAGAAGAAAACUAUUUUUAAUCAUUCAUAAAUAUAAAGUCUCAUUGCCACAUGUUGUUUAUUUAACGGUCUCAAUAGAACUAUCCAAUGAAAUCAUGUCACUUGUAAUUGCAUACCUGUCAGCCCCAGCUGGAGUCCAAUGUUGCAUCGGAGAAGAAUUCAUCAACAUCAUGGCAAGAAUCCUCCCCUCUUAAAUCAACAAUUCCUGAGAUGAUCCAGUCUAGGGCAUCUGUGUCUUCUAAAGCUCCAUCAAUUGCAUUACAGGCUUUGUUCACUGGGCUUUCCUGAGGAUCAUCAUACUGAGCUGCACCCGUAUACAUAUACUCUAAAUAAUCUUUCAAUUCUUAAACAUCCUUCAGAGGCCUGUAAUCAAAUAAACAAUAACAUAGAAUUAAGUGCCACAAGGUCAUUAAUUUUAUAAAAGAUCUUUCAACAUAUUGUCUUCAAAAUGUUGUUAUAUUUAGUUAGAUUACAAUAAACUUUAUAAGUAUGAAGCUAUUGAUAUUCUCAAAUACAAACGUUCAAAUUUGGCCUCAUUUGAUUAUCAGAGUUGUGCGUGGUUUUGUAGUUUAAAUUUAGAUUCUGCAAAAUAUGGACGUCUGAACCUAAGCACCAGUAUACUAUAUAUGGUAACGCAAAGGCCGUGUAUAAGCCCAAAUCCAGAUUUUUACUUUGUAUAUUACACGUUAAUCGAAAUGUAUAUAUACGCUGAGGAUGACAGAUAAUUAAUUAGACAUAGUACAUUCGAUAACGAUGCUACAAUAACAUUGCAUUAAUUGUAAUUAAGGGAAAAUCGGAUGGAUAUACAAUACAAUACAAUAUACAAUAUGGAUAUACAAUAACAUACAAUAUGAUUCUGAUACAACCCCAAUAUUACAGUUAGACAAGCCCAACUCAGCUAGCUCUAUCAAUACUGAGGAAAAGGCCCAGGCAAACUCAAGUGAGGCUAUCCAAAAUCGACCCCAAGAUAACCUCAAGCCAAGUCGCGUAAGGAAGCCUCCCAAAUGGCUCAAGGAUUACACAUACUGAGCAUAUAUGAGCUGAGGACUCGGUUUCUAACGGCCUUAGCUAUUUAGAGAACAACUUUUUUGUUAUAGAGGGAGGUUGUUAUUUAGUUUUGACAGCUGUGAGCAUAUUCUUGCUGCUAUAAGUAUUUCCAUGGUUGUAUUUGAUGAUAUAUAAAAUUCUGGACCUAGUUUCUUCUUCUUCUCUGAAUUUUUCUCUCUAUUCUAUCUUGCCAUUCACUCAUUUCUUUAAAAUUCUGGGAGCUUGCACUUGCUUGAAAAGUGUGGAAACCUUGCUGUUCGGUGUGUUCACCAGCGGCAUAACAGAUUCAUUACUUGCAGGUUUUGAACUUUAUAGAGAGAAAAGCAAGUCCAUUUUUUCCAGCAGCGACUUUAUCGAUUUCAGCCUAGGACUGUCUGAUGGUCUUGUAGCAGGUCUCGCUGGCUUCCUGCAUCAUUAAUUUUCAAAAUUCAAUGGCUAAAUUUUAACAAGAGAACAUAAUCAUGCUUAUAUAAAAUUUUAAUUAACUAAUUUAUUUCUUACCCGAAAGUCCUUGGUGACAAGAUCAUAAUAUGCGUUUGACGGUGUGAUAUUAUCAAAGUAGAGAAUUGGGGCGGAUGAGGCAACUGCUCCCAAAGCAAUGUGACGAUACUUCAAGCGAAACCAUGCAGCAAGCAUUGUUGAUAACAAACCAACAAACGAGUAACUCUCGAAACCAUAUCACAUCCCAGAUCUGAUAAAAUAGGAUGAAUAGAGAAGAUUAUUUUUAAAUACAUAAUUAUCUUGAACAUAUUUAUUAUUUCUUGAUUUUACGAUCGCCAAGAGUAUUCGUUAGUUGCAAUAUUAAAUAAAUUUGUAUCAUAGUAAUAUUGCUGUAGUCAAUAUCUUGAUCGAUCAAUCGUGAUCUAAAUGAGUAAAAUGAUGUGACAGAUGACACGACAUUAAUCAAAAGAUGUAAGUAAGUUAAUAAUAUUAUAAUUUACUUCCUCCAUAAGAUGCUCCAACAACCAUAAUGGGAGACAUUUCGUCCGAUAAAUUUUUCUGGAUGUGUAAGAGAAUCUUGCAUAAUCAGCCAAAGCUUGAGCAGAGUUGAAAUAUCCACGAAGAGUUGCAUUCUUUAGGGCAUCUUUGCUUGAUACAAAAGGUACUGAUUUUCCAUAGAACCGAUACUGCAUAAAAAAUUGAAUUAAAAAAAAAUCCAUCACAACUUUUCAGUUCAUAUUGUAGAAUAUUCUGAUUAAGAUUUGUCUUUAUUAUUAUUAUUUCGUAUGUGAACUCUAUUUCAAUUAUUAUCAAGCUAGCCUGAUAACAUAUUCUUUACUUACCUCUAUGUAAACUUGUAAGGCUUUAAAUCGAUGAGCAUUAUUAGUAAGCCAUCCAAUGCCACCAAGGUCAUCAUAUCAAGACUACUCUCUUCACCAAGAUAUGCCAGUAUCGGGCGCCGCCAUGGCUCUGCCACCACCCCAAUGCUUGAAGUUCAACGCAUAUCUAUGAGGAAAAGUUAAAUAACUUUGUGGAUUAUAGUUAAAGUGAUCAAGUGUUUGAUAAUAAUAGUAAGUUUCGAGAUCAACAUAGUCACUUUGUGGAUUUUUUUGCUAGGGUUUUGAAAAAUAGUCCUUCCACGAACAGCACCAAGCUUUGGGAUGUUCUUUAAUGGUGAAGUGGUAGCAAAAGCAAAAUUUGUGACGAGAAGAAGAAAAAGGCAUGGAGCCGCCGACCUUUCAUGGCAAAGUUGUAAAUCCUUAAUUAGCAGGAUGAUUAUGUAAAUACAGAAGAAAUAGAGUUAAGAUUAGAUUAUAAAUUCAGCUUCAAAAUCGACGUGUUUGUUAAUAUAUCCUGGAUUUGUUGUUAUCGUAUAAUUUAAUUAAUGUUGGUUUUAGUUUUAUAUUAGUAUGGAUCUUCAUUUUUCAUAAAAUUAUAGUGUGUCGAAUAUAUAGUUAUCGGUUUCGUAAUUAAUAAAAAUUUUUAUUAUUUCUUUCCUAGUAAUUAAUUAUCUUGUGCUUACCAGAAUAUCACUAACCACAACUUCUGCAGAAGCUUCCUCACCUUCGGAUGACAUCAGCGGUGCGUCCAGGAUGUUUGAUCGGAUCAGCUAAAUUAAAAAUUUAUUGUAUAUGUUUGUGUGAAUAUUUACAAAGGAGUGAAAAAAAACUAAUAUAUUGAAUAACGCGACAUCAAGAACUUCGUUCUGAAUGAAAUUUUUAUAUAUAAUUUGCAAAAUAAGCUAAUAAAUAGAAUGACAAUUUACCCUUUUUAACUUGUAGAGACACAACCUUAAAUUCCUUAAUAUGCUGGUUAAUUCAGAUCAUUGAGAUGGAGACAAUUAGACAAACCUUAUUUUAUCAGAGUGAACUGCGAAAGUACUAGCUUUACAAAAGAGACUAAUGACGUAGUGUGAAUGGAAUUAAAAAAUACUAAGGCAGACAAUUCGUCGAACACAUAAUAUUUGCUACAUUGCUACUACCUAAUAAUUUCACAACCAAUUAACAGUCUCCUUUAUUGGAAAAAUCACAUUAAUCAACCAAAUACAUUUCUUGGUUUCUAAGCUCCAAAAUUGAAAUUUCAUGAAAAGGUUUCUGCAUUGGUGUCUUAUUGCGAGCGAUAAAUUCGUUGGACACGAGUUGCAUUGUAGGUCGAGACUUUGGUUGAGAACGCAAGCAUGAAAAUACUACUGUUGAAACAAGAAUGAUAUCCUGCCUAAUCAUUUGAUCCCCCGGAGGCGGGAGGCGUGGGUCCAACAAAUCAAUCAGCUUUAUAUUUUUAUCCAAUGACGAAGAUGACGAUGAGAGGAGCUCUCCUGGAUGCUUUCCCAUUAGUACUUCUAGUGCCACUACUCCGAAGCUAUAAACAUCAGAUUUCUCUGUCACAACCAUGGUGUAGGCACGUUGUAUAGGAAAACGGAAGUCUUUAUUAGUAAUGUUUCCAUAAACAAUAACAAGCACAAUUUGUUCAUGUUUUUUAGCUUCUUUAGCAAGGUAUGACAGAGAAGCAUAUGUUCUAACUGAUAUUCAGUGUAUGUGUGUUUUGAAAGGUAAAGGGAUAGGUAAAGUCUAAAUUCAGUUAUAGCUCCUUAGUUUUUUCAAAAUUCGAACCCAAGUAGCGAGCUAAAUAAAGCUGGUUAAAAACUACUUAGCAGAGUAUAUAUAAAAAUUAAAUAAGAGGAUAACUAAAGAAGCAUAAGAGGAAUAGCUAGAAGAUGACCUGGAGCAAUAUAUCCAUAAGUGCCAGCUAACAGAGUUCGAUUGGAUGAGUCAAAAUUUAACAAUCUAGCAAUACCAAAGUCAGCAACAAAAGCUUCGAAUUCUGAGUUGAGUAGAAUGUUGUUGCUUGAUAUGUCGCGGUGAACAAUUGGUGGUGUGCAGUGAUGAUGCAAGUAUGACAAAGCAUGAGCCAUACCCUUCACAAUGUUCACCCUUUUAGUCCAAUCCAACCCAACAGCUUCCUCAUCUGUGCGUAGAAUACAGAACAAGCUUCCCAUUUCCAUGUACUCAUAGAUCAAGAACAUGCAGUUCUCGUGCAAACAAAAGCCGUAAAGCUUUACAAUAUUUCGAUGCCGUAUUUGGGACAGUAGACGAGCCUCAUUCCGGAAACUCUCGAGGGAAGCUAACUCCUCAGUUUCUGAACGGUGAAGCUUCUUCAAAGCAACCACUUUUCCACUGGGCAGCCGUGCUCUGUAAACGCUGUCGUAGCCUCCGGUUCCAAUGCAGUAUUUGAUAUCGAAAUCCUCAGUGGCUUCAAUCAUGUCUUGAAAUGUAAUUCUACCAUCGUAAUUCCAAAUUGCAAACUCAUCAGCGCACUUGGUAAUUUCUCCUGUCCCAGUUGGUUCAACUUCCUUAUCCCUUCGUCUACGGAUAAUCAAGAUUCCAAAUAUCAAGGCAAGGAAUGCGACCAUAGCAAGAAUAAUUGCAACCAAGCGAGUGGCAAUUGUUUUGUGAUGUGGCGGUGGCGCAUUUGCCAAAGUAGUUGGGAUUUCUCCUCCCAAUUUAUUGCCUGACACAUCUAAGUGUGGCACUUUUCUGACAAAUACAGGGAUUCCACCGGAAAGGUUAUUCAUGGAAAGGUCCACAGUGUCUAUGCGUGGAAAUUCUCCAAGUUGGGAAGGUAUUUUACCAUUAAUGAAGUUACCGCUUAGAUCAAGAUAAUAUAGUUCUUGAAGUUUGCCGAUCUGUGACGGAAUGCUUCCGCUUAACAAGUUGUUUCCCAAUUUUAAUAUCCUCAGCUUUGAGCAAUUCAUGAGUUCUGGAGGAAUUGGGCCAUCAAGUUUAUUGUUGUACAUAUUCAAAGUAGUUAACUGAGUCAAAUGACCCAGAGACGAAGGGAUUGGGCCAACAAGUUUGUUUUGGGACAAGUCUACACUUCUCAACCACUUUAAAUGGCCAAGUGUUGUAGGAAUUGAACCUCCAAUUUCAUUUCUGGACAGGUCAAGAGCUUGAAGAACCUUCAAACUCCCGAUUCCUAAUGGGAUGGAACCAUUCAUUUGGUUUGAGGCAAUAGCCAAAGUAGUUAGCUGGGUUAGAUGACCUACAUUGGAUGGGAUAUUACCGACAAGGGAGUUAAAAGACAAGUUCAAAAUUUUCAAUUUGCUUAGACCACAAAGAGUUGGAGGGAUAUGUCCCAUGAGGUGAUUAUCAGAUAGAUCCAGGUGGACGAGAUUCCUUAAUCGCCUCAUCUCUAAAGGGAUAAUUCCUGUUGUGCAUGUGAUUUAUGAAAAACGAGAUCAGUAUUCACUAUCUUCAUUAAAAAAAAAUUACAUAGAGGGAGAGUCAAGCUCAAGUGCGGACGACUCACACUUCUUUAGUGUUGUAAAAACAGACGCCUGCUUUAAGCAGCAGCGCGAUUUUAUACAUACAUAUAUAUAUAUAUGGUGAAGUUUCACAGCUUACCGGUAAGGCCGUUGUAGGGCAGUUCAAGAGUUUGGAGCAUUGAAAGGGCAGUAAUUUCAGAUGGAAUGCGCCCAGAGAGAACAUAAUUUGUACGAAUUUUGAAAUUUCUGAGGUUCGGAAAGCAAGAGAAUUUGAAACGACCGAGCUCUCCUUUGAUGUUAUCAUUUUCAUACCAGAGUAAGCUGACCCCGAUUACGCUUCCCGCUGAAUUGCAACUGACGCCAGUCCACUUACAAUGAUCGGACGUGUAGUUGCCCGACGUCGCCCAAUUGUUGACCCACCAGCCGGUAGCAAGUAAAGCUUCCCUUUCUAACAGUAUGGGUGACGACAAUAAUCUUGCAGCUGAUGCCGUUACAGAUAUUGUCGUAUCACUUAUAGCACCAACAUUUAUUAAAAUUAAAAUGACCACCAAUCUCGAAACAGUGGAUGCUGCUGCCAUGUUUAUAAUGGUUUUCGGUUGAUUGAGCUGGCUAUUUGAUUCCUUGCAAAGCGUUUAUAUAAGAAUUAAUUGUUUUGCAAGCUCCCGGUGUUAACUUCCAAUACGCGUUUUCAAAUAGUGUGAGUCAAUGUCUUCUCUGGAUGGAUUCAAUCAUGGAGAUAUAACCUUAUCGGCUUGUAUUUGUGAGGUGUAGAUCUAUUUGAACAACUUUGCAGAAACAUGAGAUAAUAUGGACAAUAUUAGAAAUAAUUAAUAGCGCUAUUAAGAUAUUAAAUAUUACCCAAAAUAAUAAAGAAAAAAAAAAGCUCGAAGGAUUGUUGUUGUAAAAUAUGACUCAAAUAGAAAAAUAAACAAGACUAAUCAUAUCUUUGUAUAAAUUUAAGUAUAAAAAAAACUUGUAGGUGUAUUAUUAUAAUAAGCUGUAGAGAAAAGAAUUUGUAGACUUCUGUGAUUUGACAAAAUAAUAAAAUAAUCCCUUUAUUUUUUAAAAUAGUUACAAAACUCCUUUUGCAACAUGCAAACUAUAUGGAAAAUUGGAAAUUCAUGGGCUACCUAAUAUCCCUCUUAUUUUUUUAUUUUUUAUUUUACACCAAAACAUCAUAGACAAAAGAAGAUAAAAAUUUCAUUGCACUCAAUUUUUUUCAUGAAAUCAAACAAGGAAAAGAAGCAAAAAGUGUUGGAAAUAUAGCACAAGUUACUAUUUGAUGCGUGAUUUUGAGUGAGACUUAUCUGUUGUUUCAAAUAUUCCUCCGUAAAUACUUCAGAAUGAUUUUACCUAUAUAAUCAAAAUAACCCUUGGAUAAAUGAGAAAUUGUUACUCAAAGUAAAUUCAUGGAAUUGGAAAAGUAAAGGAAAUUAUAUUUGUCCCACAUGAAAAAGAUAGCAAAGGCAUGAAAGGUUUGUAUAUAAUUACUCAUGUGUGUAUAAGUAAAAUAUAAACCAAGACGCUCUCUCUUCCGUGCCCCAUCCUAAGUACACAAAUUCAAUGUGAUACGAUCCUAUAGUUUCCGUUCAAACCUAUGCACACUUUAAAAAAAGGUUUUUUUUAAUAUAUUUUUUAUGUAUUUUACAUUUUUUUUAAAAUUUAAUAAAUGCCAUAUUAUUUAAAUAUUUAAUUUUAAGGCAUCUUUUUUAAGUUGAGGGCAAGGAACCCCUCCGAUACGUAAUGCCGAAACAUGCUAAUCUAAUCACCUUGACUUUAAAGACUGCUUCCCCUAGUCAGCAAUUAUUUGGAACUUACGUCUUGACAUGUGCUGUGGAAAAUAAAGAAUGAAGUAGACUUAUUGAGUCAAGCUGUUUCUUCAAUCCAGAUAUUUAGUUUAUACGUGUGCAAAUAUUCAAUGCCUAACUUUAUUCUGCACAAAGCCUAAUGUCCUAUUUGGGAUAACGGUUGAAAUACUUAUAAGUUUUGAUAAAAAUGAUGUUUGAUAAAUUUGUUAAAAGUUUAAUUCAUAUUUUCUCCAUUUUGACAAUAACUCUUAAAAUAAGUAUGAGAUUGUCUUUUAUAAGCAACUUAUUAAAUAAAAUGCCAUUUUUUUUAAAGUUUCUAUUAUAACUUUAAUAUUUUAAGAAAAGAAUAAGUGUAUCUUAUUUUUUUAAAAAUCCUAAUAUAUAAGUAAAAGACAAUUUAAACUUAUGUUUAUUUUAAUGAUUAUAUAAUAAAAUAUUAUUUUCGUAAUCAAAUUUACCAAACACUGAGCGAGCUACUUUUAUAAUCAUUAGAUAAUUCCAUUCACAUCGCAGAAGCAGCUUAUUUCAACAGCCACCAAAAUCUUAAACUGAUCCUAAGUCAUGUUCGGAAUUGCAUGGGAUUGUCAAAUAAUUAACAAAAGAAGCUAUUAUGUAGGAGAAUAGGAACAGGUUCACCUGGAGCAAUAUACUCAUAAGCUUGGCUACUAAUAAACGGAGCGUGUAAGGAUAAACACCUAANNNNNNNNNNNNNNNNNNNNNNNNNNNNNNNNNNNNNNNNNNNNNNNNNNNNNNNNNNNNNNNNNNNNNNNNNNNNNNNNNNNNNNNNNNNNNNNNNNNNAUGGUUAAUCCAAUGUGGUUGUGUAUGAAUUGAUAUUCACCGUAUGAUUAUUACAUAAAGAUUGAACCUUUGUACGUGCUUUACAUUAAGUAAAACUGCACACUUGUUCUACACAUUUAGACAACCCAGAUUAAGAAUUAUGAAAAUGAAAUCUACAACUAGCUAGGUGCACUAUUAUUUAUCUUUGCUCCUUAAAUAUUAGAAAGAUAGAGGAGAGGGAGAAAAAGAAAAGACUAAUUUUGUAGUCCAAAUUUAAUCUUAUGCUCUAAUUUUGAAGCAAAUCAGCAGAGUAUUUGAGGAACCAAUCAUGAACCAUGUCCAUUUCAAUCUUUCGCUGCAUUACUAACCAUUCGGGGUCAUCUUCUGUUGCUGGCUGUAUGUCUAAGCAAUGGGAACCUGCUCCAAUUUACACACUAUUAAUUAUGUUAUCCAAUAAUUUAGUUAAUAAUUGAACACUAAUUUUUUAUUUUAUAGAAAACUUUACAUACUGUUUUUUGUUGUCACUGCUAUUAUAUUGUCUGAUAUAUUUUCCAGAACCCUAUAAUCCCAAACAAAGAAAGAAAAAGAAAAAGAAAAAGGUAUAUAAUAAAACGGGUAACUUCGAUAGAAAAGAAUAUCCAAAAUUCUUAAGCUAAAUUACCCAGCGCUGCUACAGGGAUCGCGAUGGCCAUUAGAGAAAAUAAUGUUGCUACCAAAUCUCUUUAAAACCACUCUUAUAUCCUGCAAAUUAAAAAGAAAUAAAAAUCAAACUCAAGAACGAGGUGAAGUUUUUAAUUUAAAAAAGGAAAAAAAAAGAGAAAAUUAAAAGAAUUAAUUUGGGGAUUAAUUGACACUUACAUGACCACCAUAAUAAGUUGUAAUCCAAUGUGGUCUUGGAACCACUCCAAAAGACUUAUUGCAUGAAUCCCUAUAUUCUGUCAGAUAAAAUGGGUCUGCUUGAAACAUUGUUUCGUUUUUGCCAAUUCCAAUUGGUGAGACCAUUUCACUGCAUGUCUACAUGAGAAACCCCCCUAUACUAAUAAUAAUAAUAAUAAUAAUAAGAUAAAAAAGAAAAAUAUUUUUAAUCAUUCAUAAAUAUAUAGUCAUAUAAAUAAAAUUAAGAGAUGUACAUAAAAUAGGUAUUGUUAGGCGAAAGACUAAUUCAUUGCGACAUAUUGUUUAUUUGACGGUCUCAAUAGAACUAUCCAAUGAAAUCAUGUCAUCUGUAAUCGCAUACUUGCCAACCCCAGCUGGAGUCCAAUGUUUCAUCGGAGAAGAAUUCAUCAACAUCAUGGCAAGAAUUCUCCCCUCUUAAAGCAACAAUUCCUGAGAAUAUCCGGCCUAGGGUAUAUGUGCCUUCUGAAUCUCCAUCAAUACCUUCACAAGCUUUGUUCACUGGAUAUUCCUGAGGAUCAUCAUACUGAGCUGCACCUGUAUACAUAAACUCCAAAUAAUCCUUCAAUUCUGAAACAUCCUUCAGAGGCCUGUUACAAAUAAACAAUAACAACAUAAAAUUAAGUGCCUCCAAGAUUAGUGACAUCAUAAAAGAUCCUUCAACAUACCUGUCUAAAAAACUUUGUUAUAUUUAGUCAAAUUACAAUAAACUUUGUAAGUGUGAAGCUAUUGAUAUUCUCAAAUACAAAAUCCAAAUUUGGCCUUAUUUAACAAUCAGAGUUGUACAUAUUGUUUUGCACGUCUGAACCUAAGUACCAAUGUACUAUAUAUGGUAAUGCAUAGGCCGUAUAUGAGGCCAAACCCCAGAUUUUACUAUGUACGUAUAUUACACAUUAACUGAAAUGUAAAUAUACCUUGAGGAUGACAGAUAAUUAAUUGGAUAUAUAUAGACAGUUUUGUAAUGAUACUACAUUAACAUUGCACUGUAAUUGAAGGAAAAUCAGAUGGAUAUAUAUCGGCAGUUAUAAAAGUAAUAUGAUUCAAUUACUUGCAGGUUUUGAACUUUUAAGAGAGAACAGUAAGUCCAUUUUUUUCCAGCAGCGGCUUUAUCGAUUUCAGCCCAGGACUGUUUGAUGGUCUUGUAGCAACUCUCACUAGCUUCCUGCAUCAUUAAUAUUCAAAAUUCAAUAGUUAGAUUUUAACAAGAAAAUAUAAUCAUACAUAUAUAGAAUUUAAUUAAUUAAUAUUAUUUUCUUACCCUAAAAUCCUUGCUGACAAGAUCAUAAUAUGCGUUCGAUGGUGUGAUAUUAUCAAAGUAGAGAAUUGGGGCUGAAGAGGCAACUUCUCCUAAAGCAAUAUGAGGAUACUUCAAGCGAAACCAUGCAGCGAGCACUGAUGAUAACAAUAACAAACCCACACGAGUAACUCUCAAAGAGCAUCUGUUAGUAGGAAUAUAAAAUAAAAUUGUAUCAUAAUAAUUGAGGCGUAAUCCAGAUUUUAGUCAAAUAUUUAAAAUAAGGUGACAGAUGACAUGAUGUCAAUCAAAAGAUGUAAGUAAGUUAAUAAUAUUGUAACUUACUUCCUCCAUAAGAUGCUCCGACAACGAUAAUGGGAGACAUUUCGGCCGAUAAAGUUUUCUUGAUGUGUAAGAGAAUCUCCGCAUAAUCAGCCAAAGGCUUGAGCAGAGUUGAAAUAUCCACGAAGAGUUGCAUUCUGUAGGGCAUCGUUACUUGAUACAAAAGGCACCGAUUUUCCACAGAACUGAUGCUGAACAAAAAAUCAAAUUAGAAAAAAAAUAUAUAUCACAACUUUUUAGUUGAUAUUAUAGAUUAAAUUUAUCUUUAUUAUUAUUGUUUGGCGUUCGAACUCUGUUUCAAUUAUUAUCAAAUUCUUUACUUACCUCUAUGUAAACUUGUAAGCCUUUAAAUCGAUGAGCAUUAUCAGUAACCUGGAUUUGUAUGUGAUUAGGAGGUCAUUGCUUAGAGAUUCCCAUGUCCACUCUUAGUGCCAAAAGACUUGGUCUUGAUGCACAGGUGACAAGUUUGUUGGGGAGUACAUUUGGACUCACUAUCUUCAUUUAAUUCCAAACAUCUUAGCAUUUGGUUAUUUAUGUUGGUCAAAGUUCGCAAGUUCAGUUUGCUUGGUCAACUCAAGUAGACGAGAGAGUUGCGGCUUUAAAAUUUGGCAGUGAGGACAUGUGAGCUUUUUUGAACGAAUGUGAGUCUGAAACCUUUUUUGAACGAAAACACGGAGCAAAUGUGAGCUUCUCGUAGGCUAAGGUUCCAAGAGAGGUUACAUAUGUUUACCAUGAAGUGUCAUAUGAACUUGUACAGAUUGAUUUCUGAUGUUUCUUUUUCCCGGUAAUUUCUUAUUUUAAAUCUUAUUGCUUGUCUUUGUGUAUGUGCGUUGGGCUGGAGGCUCCAUUGAAAUGGUGUUUCCUCAAAUUAUGAAUUAUAACGCUCGUAAGUGUUAAUAUCAUCUCUUCUUCUUGUCCAGCUUAUUAAGAAAGUCUUUCAGAAUCCUUUUCAAACAUAUUCCUUUUUUUUUCUGAUUUUUGGAAGGAAAGAUUUUCCUAGUUCAGUGCUGGAAAUGUUGUUAAUUAACAAGGAUUUUGGUUGUAUUAACUAUUUAAAUGUACUUCUACAUUCCUACCUUUUUUGAGAAUUCACAAUUUAAAAUAAAAUGUGUGCAUUAGUAUUUUGUAAACAAAUUCUUUCAUCUGUACUACAAUAGCAAAUGAUGGAGCUCACUGGGAAUUUUUUUCAUUUUUACCAUUGAUGUGAUAACUAAUAUAAGGCAUAAUGGUUUCUGUAUCAUUUCCAGCCUCAGCCUGAUUCCAAUACUUGUGGAUCAAAGCAGAAAGCUGCCACACCACCUGCAGGUUCUGGAGAGCUUCCUUCAACGAGUUCAAGCAAAACCAAGGAGUGGAGUUGUGCCCUCUGUCAGGUCAAUGCUACUACCGAGAGAGAUCUAGACGUGCAUCUCCAAGGUAAGAAGCACAAGGCCAAGGAAAAAGUACUUAGAGAUUUGAAGAUGUGCAUUAACUCCACUUCAAAAAAAUAUACGGAAAGCAGAGAUAGUGCUGACCAAGAAAUGAAGUCUAAUGUAGAAAAGGAAUCACUUAAAGGUAAUAAAACUGUUGUUGGUUUAGACCAGAAAGUGGAGGAAGGUCAAACCCUGCAGGUUAAGCCCAAUUCCAAUCUUUGUGGAUCAAAUCAGAAAGCUACCGCACCACCUGCAGGUUCUGGAGAGCUUCCUUCGGCGAAUUCUAACAAACCCAAGGAGUGGAGUUGUGCCCUCUGUCGGAUCAGUGCUACUACCAAGAGAGGUCUAGAUGAGCAUCUUCAAGGUAGGAAGCACAAGGCCAAGGUUUCAGGACUACUUAGAGAUAAGAAAAUGUGCAGUAACUCCACUUCAUCCACGUCAGAAAAAUCUACUGAAAGCAGAGAUGGUGUUGGCCAAGAAAUGAACACUAAAGUACAAGAGGAAUCAGUUAAAGCUAAAAAAACUGUUGUUGGCCUAGACCGGAAAGGGGAGGUUGGUGUAGAUGAGCAUCCUCAAGGUAAGAAGCAGAAGGCCAAGGAAGAACUACUUGGAGCUCAGAAGUGGAUAAAAAAAUCUACAGAAAGCAGAGAUAGUGUGAUACAACCUGGCCAAUUGUUGUGAAUCAGAUCGAGCACAAUGAGACAGCAAGGGAAGAGACCCAGCCUGCAGAAAUGGAAGAAGUCCAACCCGUGAAUGAGACACAAGCUAGAGAGCAGCUCAAGACAGGUUCAGCUCGCGCGAGAAAGAAACCAGGAUGGCUCAAAGACUUUGUCAUUUGAGGAAUGUUCGAGAAUGCUUGAGAGAUUAUAAUAACGAAUAUUGUUUUGUUUUCAAUUAUUAUUUUGUUGUUAUCAAUUUUAUUCUAUUUUAGUUAGUUAAGGGUGCGUGGCUGUUUUUGGGAGAGAGAAUAUAUUGUACUGUCAAAGGGACCCGUGAGGGAUAUCAAAAAGGAAUAUAUCAUUUUGUCUUUUUUCAGCUUCGUCUUCUUUCUCUUCUCUGCAAUUCCCCUGUCCCUUUUCUCUUUCUGCAAAUUCUUUUCCCCACAGAUUGGAGCCUGCACUCGCUCAAAGAGUGUCGUAUCAACUGGUGCUUUCAUUUCAUCUCUUCACACACAAAAAAAAAAAAACAAAUGUCUCUCACAGAACCAACGACUGAUUCAGCAGUUCUCUCCACCAUGAAAACGCUCAUUGAAAAUCAAACGCUUGCUGUUCAUCAGACCUUACAACAAUAUAUGUCCACGGUGGAUUCUCGAUUUGAGGAGCUACGUUCCCAAAUCAAUGGUUCUGUCGGAGCGUCAGUGGGUUCUUCCCGCCCAAUGGCACCGGAACCAGCGUCUUCGACUGUACUGUCAGGUGUUUCGGAUAUCUCUCCUCUGUUGCGUUCUAUGAAAAUGGAUGUCCCAAAAUUUGAUGGCACUGAUCCGAAUGGUUGGGAUUUUCGAAUCAAUGAGUUCUUUGAUUUUCACGGCACCCCUGACCAGUUACGCCUUCGUAUUGUAUCUUUUCACAUGGAGGGAAAAGCAGCAGCAUGGUAUCAAUGGAUGAAGGCCAACAACUUGCUGAGCACUUGGCAGAAUUUUUUACUCAAUCUUAAGCAAAGAUUUGGUACAUCCAUGUAUGAAGAUCAUCAAGGUAACCUCUCCAAGCUCUCCCAAACGUCGACUGUUGCUGAUUUUCAGUCUGCCUUUGAGGAUUUGAUGAACAAGGUCACGAGCAUCUCCGAGCCAUUGUUGGUUAGUUUCUUUAUCACGGGCUUAAAACCCGAUAUCAGACGAGAAUUAUUAUUUGCAAGACCCACAUCUCUCAUGGAGGCUUUUGCUUUAGCCAAAGCUUAUGAGGCACGGUCGGAAGAAAUCAAGACCUCUAGCCAUUCUUGGACAAAGUGGACACCCUCAUCUACUCACACCCACCAAUCCACCAUUACUGCCUCCCCACAACCUGCAUCAUAUAAAACCCCAACAACAACUCCUCUUCCUAGUUUUUCAGCCACUAAACAGCCACCUCAACCCCCAUUAUUGCCUACUCCCACCUUGCCCAUUCGUCGAUUAACUCCAGCCGAAUUAAGAGAGAAAAGAGAAAAAGGGCUCUGUUACAACUGCGACCAAAAAUAUAGCGCCACACAUCGCUGUUGUAGCAAGUUUUUGUUAUUAAUGGGUAUGGAUGAUGAAGAUGAUGAGCCAAGUAAGGACGCUUUUAGUCAUGCACAACCAGAUGAAGUAGUCACAGCGGACAUAUCUAGUUUGAAUGCCUUGGCUGGGCAAACUAAUCCACGAUCUUUAAGGGUGCUGGGCACCGUUGCCAGCUAUCAGUUUCAGGUGUUAAUUGACAGUGGCAGUACCCACAAUUUCCUUAAGCCACCAUUGGCUGAACGCCUUGGCCUUUCCGUUCAAGCUAUACCUCCUUUUCGAGUCUACAUUGGCAAUGGCGAUUUUCUUACUUGUCGAUUUCUCUGUCCUAAAGUGCCUAUUAAUAUGCAGGGGCAUGAAUUUCUUUUGGAUUUAUUCCUUUUGCCAAUCGAAGGCCCUGAUGCUGUCCUUGGGAUUCAAUGGUUACAAAGCUUGGGAAGAAUUUCUACGGAUUACUCCGAGAUGACGAUGGAGUUUCAAUGGGAGGGAAAAUCUAUCAUUUUACGGGGAGACCCAAUUCCAAACCCGAAUUUUAUCUCUUUUAACCAGUUUCAUGCCUUGUUAUCUAACUCCAAAAUCGACAGCUUAUUUGAACUUCAUUCUUUACCAACUGAGCCAUCAGCCACUCACACAUCUACCAACACAUUGCCGGAUAAUGACUUCGAAUUUCUGAGGUCGUUGCCUAAACCAAUUACUACUCUCUUAAAAAAAUUUAAGGCAUUAUUUGAUCCACCCACUGGUCUUCCCCCUCAACGGCUAUUUGAUCACAAAAUACACCUCAUUCCCAAUUCCAAACCAGUCAACGUUCGCCCCUAUCGGUAUCCUUAUUUUCAGAAAACCGAAAUGGAGAAAUUGGUGAGAGAAAUGUUAAAUCAAGGCAUCAUAAAACCCAGCCAAAGCCCGUUUUCUUCACCGGUAAUGCUAGUAAAGAAAAAGGAUGGCUCAUACAGAUUCUGUGUGGAUUACCGCGCUGUGAAUGCAGUGACGGUGAAGGACAAAUUUCCCAUCCCCACCAUUGAUGAACUAUUUGACGAACUUGGCGGUGCUAGGAUUUUCAGCAAACUUGAUCUAAGAGCCGGUUAUCACCAGAUAAGAGUUCACAAGAGGGAUACUUAUAAAACAGCGUUUCGCACGCAUGAUGGACACUAUGAGUUUCUUGUUAUGCCGUUCGGUUUGACCAACGCGCCGUCCACUUUUCAAGCAACAAUGAACCAACUAUUCGCUUCCUUUUUACGUAAAUUUGUUAUUGUCUUUUUUGAUGAUAUCUUGGUCUAUAGUGCAUCAUUGGCUGAACAUGUGCAUCAUUUGGAGCAGGUCAUGAGUUGUUUAUACACAUCUCAAUUUUAUGUCAAAUUCUCCAAUUGUUUAUUUUGUCAGGAAUCAAUUGAUUAUUUGGGCCAUAUUGUGUCGACUCGAGGAGUGCAUGCUGAUCCGCAAAAGAUCACAGCCAUGGUAGAUUGGCCCUUGCCUAAAUCGGUGAAGCAACUGAGAGGGUUCUUGGGGCUGACAGGGUACUACCGACGUUUUAUUCAAGGCUAUGCAACCAUCGCAGCUCCUCUCACUGAGUUGCUUUGUAAGGAGGUUUUUCAUUGGAACCUGGCAGCUACUCAAGCUUUUCAAGCAUUAAAGAAGGCUCUUGUGGAAGCCCCUGUACUACACUUGCCGAAUUUUGCCUUGGAGUUUGUCAUUGAGACCGAUGCUUCUAAUGUCGGGAUCGGUGCUAUGCUAAUGCAAGCCGGGCAUCCGCUAUCUUAUUUUAGCAAAAAGUUGGGUCCUCGAAUGCGUGCAUCCUCAACAUAUUUGAAGGAAUUAUAUGCUAUUGUAGCUGCAGUUCAAAAAUGGCGUCAAUACCUCCUUGGCAGAUUUUUCCUUAUACGAACUGACCAUAAAAGCAUAAAGGAAUUGUUUCAACAAGUUAUUCACACCCCAGAGCAGCAAUUUUACAUUCGUAAGUUGAUGGGAUAUCAAUUCAGAAUCGAUUAUAAAGCUGGUACCUUCAAUAAAGCUGCUGAUGCUUUAUCGCGAAUUCAUAGGGACAACGUGACUGAAGAACCCAAACCAACAACUCUUUGUUUGUCGUUUGUAAGCCAACCUUCUAGUGAACUAUUGACAAAUCUGCACAAGGAAAAUUGCUCUCUUCCUGAUAUGAAACAACUCCAUCAGAGGUAUGCAGCCGGUUCACUUUCUUCUGCCUUCUCAGUUCAAGAAGGGUUCCUGCUAUUUCAACAUCGAUAUUACCUCAGCCCCAACUCAUCAUUAAAAGCCGUGCUACUCAAAGAGUUUCACGAGACACCUAUGGCAGGCCAUGCUGGUAUUAAAUAGACAUUGGUACGUCUUUCAUCGACUUUCUUUUGGCCUAAGAUGAGGGAAGAUGUUGAGCAACAUGUAGCUGCUUGCCUUGUUUGCCAGCAAAUUAAAUACUCAACUCAAGCGCCGGCGGGUCUAUUACAACCCUUGCCUGUCCCUUCAUUAGUUUGGGAUGAGUUAACCAUGGAUUUCAUUACAGGGCUGCCACUUUCGAGAGGAUUUGAAGCAAUUCUAGUUGUUGUGGAUCGUUUAUCAAAGUCAGCUCACUUUGGAGCCUUGCCUUCUCAAUUUACUGCCAUCAAAACAGCAGCUUUAUUUGCUGACAUGGUUGUAAAAUUACAUGGAUUUCCUAGCUCUAUAAUUUCAGAUCGUGAUCCUAUAUUCAUGAGCAACUUUUGGCAGAAAUUGUUUGAUUUAAAUGGUACACAGUUACGGCACAGCACGGCUUACCACCCCCAAAGGGAUGGUCAAUCCGAAGUAGUUAAUCGAGGGCUUGAGCAAUAUUUACGAGCCUUCUCACAAGAUAAGCCACAGACAUGGUCUUCAUUUUUAGGCUGGGCUGAAUUUUGCUACAAUACCAGUUAUCACAGCAGCUUGCGAAUGACUCCCUUUCAAGCCCUUUAUGGUCGUUUUCCUCCCACAAUUCCAAGUUACUCAAGGGGCUCUACUUCAAUCCAAGCUUUAGAAGACAUGUUAAUUGAGAGGGAUGCCAUGCUUUGCUCAUUGAAAGAGAACUUACGACAAGCUCAGCAUCGAAUGGCUCAAAAGGCUAAUUUACAUCGCCGAGAAACUCAAUUGCAGGUAGGUGAUAAAGUGUUGGUGCACCUUCAGCCAUAUCGCCAGACAUCAGUUGCUAAGCGCUCAUCUCAUAAGCUGGCAAGGUGCUAUUAUGGACCAUUCACAGUGGUAGAGCGUAUUGGACCCGUUGCUUACAAGUUAGAGUUACCCACAAAUUGUAGAAUUCACCCGGUGUUCCAUAUUUCCUUACUAAAACCUUAUGUGGGAAACUCCCCCAUUGAUGUUUAUUCACUGCCUCCAGGAAGUGUGGAUAACAAGCCCUUGUCAUCACCAAUUGCAGUAUGUGCUGAGCGAAAGAUACUUCGACAAGGCAAAGAAAUUCCACAAAUUUUGGUGCAAUGGUCUGAUAGCUCACCAGAAAAUUCAACUUGGGAGGACUUUGAGGAAUUUCGUAAACUCUACCCUGCACUACACCGUGAGGACAAGGUAAGCUUUCAAGGAAUGGGGAAUGAUACAACCUGGCCAAUUGUUGUGAAUCAGAUCGAGCACAAUGAGACAGCAAGGGAAGAGACCCAGCCUGCAGAAAUGGAAGAAGUCCAACCCGUGAAUGAGACACAAGCUAGAGAGCAGCUCAAGACAGGUUCAGCUCGCGCGAGAAAGAAACCAGGAUGGCUCAAAGACUUUGUCAUUUGAGGAAUGUUCGAGAAUGCUUGAGAGAUUAUAAUAACGAAUAUUGUUUUGUUUUCAAUUAUUAUUUUGUUGUUAUCAAUUUUAUUCUAUUUUAGUUAGUUAAGGGUGCAUGGCUGUUUUUGGGAGAGAGAAUAUAUUGUACUGUCAAAGGGACCCAUGAGGGAUAUCAAAAAAGAAUAUAUCAUUUUGUCUUUUUUCAGCUUCGUCUUCUUUCUCUUCUCUGCAAUUCCCCUGUCCCUUUUCUCUUUCUGCAAAUUCUUUUCCCCACAGAUUGGAGCCUGCACUCGCUUAAAGAGUGUCGUAUCACAGUGCUGGCCAAGAAAUGAAGAAUAAAGCAACAUAGGAAUCAGUUAAAGCUAAUAGAACUGUUGUUGGUUUAGACCAGAAAGAGGAGGGUUGUCAAGCCCAGCAGGUUAAACCAUAUCCCAAUCUUUGUGGAUCAAAACAGGAAGCUUCCACACUACCAGCAGGUUCUGGAGAGCUCAUGUUGACGAGUUCAAAGAAACCCCAUGGAUUGGAGUUGUGCCCUCUGUCAGGUCAGUACUACUAGCAAGAGAGAUCUAGAUGAGCAUCUUCACGGCAAGAAGCACAAGGCCAGGAAGAAGGACUACUUGGAGAUGAGAAGAUGUGCAGUAACUCCACUUCAAAAAACUCUACUGAGCAGAGAUAGUGCUGGCCAGGAAAUUAAGGCUACUCUAGAAGAGGAAUCAGUUAAACCUAAUAAAAAUGUCGUUGAUUUAGACCAGAAAGUGGACUGUGGUCAAGAUGAGCAUCUUAAACGGAGCUAAUUGGAGCUCAGAAGAUGUGCACUACCUCAUCUUCAACAAUGUCAAGGCUGCUCAUUAUUCAAGCAGCUUGGUGAAGCCACGUCAGCAGAAGGUUGUUAGUGAAGAAUAACAGCUCAGCGUGAUUAGUCAAGUGUUAGCGAUCCAGCUCAUAAAAGUUAGUUAGUUAGUUAGUGAGUUACUAAGCAAUUCUCACGUGUAAGGAAUAAUAUAAAUACUUGUACUGAUUUGUAAAAGUUCUUAUGAAUCGAAUCUUAUCCAAUACCAGUAUUGAGAAUUUUCUCUGUGAUUUUCUAUUCAACCAAACAGCACAUCUCUGUUUUCUUUCAAACAACAUCAAAAGAAUCUGGAAAGACAAUUAAGCUUACCGAAAGUAGAGAUAGCUCCAGCCAAGAAAUCAAAGCCUAAACAGAAUCAGUUAAAGCUAUUAAAACUGUUGUGGGUUUUGACCAGAAUGUGGGGGGCGAAGAAGAUUCAGAGAACAAAAAUGAGGAGCUGCCAAAGAAGAAGGCGUUGAAUACAAUCACUCAGAAGACAACAAAUGGAAUACCAACUGGAGGGACGAUGAGGAGAAAACUUCCCCUUAGAGAGAACUUCGAAUUCUGGUGUGAAGUUUUUCAGGUUGGUACUCACUCCGCUGUUGUGAUGGAGGGUCAUAAAAGGGGGAAGAAACACAUGGCUCGGUCUAAUGGAUCCAGGAAAAAUAAUGAGGCUGUCCCCCUCACUACCCCCACUACAAUUGUGACACCAUCAGAGCCUACUGAGAAUGUUGAAGAUGAAGAUGCGGUGGCCCAAGAAUGAAAUGAAGAAACCGCAGAGAGUGUCAUUGAGAAGGCUGAAGAUGAAGAGGUGGUGGUCUAUAGAGGCAGAUAAAGUGAGCCUGAUGCAGCAGACUCCUUAUUAUGCUGAAGGUAAAGCUCUUAACUUUUAUUUUUCUCUUGCGCUCCAUUUUGAAUGUCUUAAAUUUCAAUGAACCAGCAGCGUGUUACUUUAUCAUUUUAAAACUCAGAAAUUACAAUAAUAAAUUUAAGUUCAUUCUUCCAUCUCGUCAUAUAUAGAUUUGAAGGUACUGAAUGAUGAAGCCUGUAAAUUCAAGCAACAAUACUGUAAUGGGGAUCAUGUGUUGUUCUCUACUCUCCAGUCGUUGGUAAAAAGCUCAAAAAAUGAAAACCAGACACUGUUAGAUCAACCAUUUGAAAGUGCUUCAUAUAUGCAUGAUUAUGACAUUGGACUCUUCGGCCCAAUGCAAAUUUUUCUUGAUCAUGACCUGACGUUAGUUUAUCUUGUGCUGGCAGGUAGUUGGUGGGAUAUCACUAACCACAACUUAUGCAGAAGCUUCCUAACAUCAGCCGUGGGUCCAGGAUGUUUGAUCGGAUCGGCUAAAUUAAAAUUUUUUUGUAUAUGUUUGUGUGAAUAUUUACAAAGGAGUGAAAAAACUAAUAUAUAUUAAAUAACGCGACAUUAAGAACCUCGUUCUGAAUAAAGUUUAUGUAUAUAAUUUGUAAAAUAAACUAAUAAUUAAAAUAACAAUUUACCCUUUUAACUCGUACAGAUACAACCGUAAAUUCCUUAUUUAAUUCAGCUCAUUCAGAGGGAGACAAUUAGACAAAACUUAUUUUAUCAGAGUGAACUGCGAAAGUACUAGCUUAACCAGAGAGAUUAAUGUCGUAGUUUGCACAUUUGUUUAAUUGCAAUUCAACAUAUAUAGGAAGUGAACGUGAAAAUAGAAUUAAUAAUACAUUGCAAGUACCUAAUAAUUUCAGAACCAAUUAACAGUCACCUUUAUUGGAAAAAUCCAUUAUGAUUAGAAGCAAUCCCAUCACAUGCAUGAACAGUUAAAUAUACGCAUCCAUAAUUAGAUAUCACAUUAAUCAACCAAAUACAUUUCUUGGUUUCUAAGCUCCAAAAUUGAAAUUUCAUGAAAAGGUUUCUGCAUCAGUGCCUUAUUGCGAGCGAUAAAUUCGUUGGACACGAGUUGCAUUGUAGGUCGAGACUUUGGUUGAGAACGCAAGCAUGAAAAUGCUACUGUUGAAACAAGAAUGACAUCCUGCCUAAUCUUUUGAUCCACCGGAGGUGAGAGGCGGGGGUCCAGCAAAUCAAUUAGCUUAAUAUUUUUAUCCAAUGACCAAGAGGACGAUGAGAGGAUCUCUUCUGGAUGCUUUCCCAUUAGU
RNAcentral lists this long non-coding RNA (114971 nucleotides) under Citrus x clementina. Its description in RNAcentral is "Citrus clementina (C. clementina) long non-coding RNA (CCLE_LNC003360)". The stretch from base 53685 to 53793 matches the Rfam family "Plant small nucleolar RNA R71". Lineage: Eukaryota; Viridiplantae; Streptophyta; Magnoliopsida; Sapindales; Rutaceae. The record is from RNAcentral.